This 107294-nucleotide long non-coding RNA is filed under the name Vitis vinifera (wine grape). RNAcentral's name for it is "long non-coding RNA (VVIN_LNC007105)". The record is from RNAcentral. Lineage: Eukaryota; Viridiplantae; Streptophyta; Magnoliopsida; Vitales; Vitaceae.
GCAAAGCCCUUGUCUUUCUCUGCCCCACUUUCCACCCACACCUCUCACUCCACCCCCUCACCUCUCCUCUCUCUCACCUCCCACUUCUCCACGGCCACAGCCGCUGCCGACAAGCACACGCCCCAUCUCCUUUCUCUCUCCUCCCCCCUCCGUCGCCGGAAACCCCUGCUGCACCACCUCCCUCCGCCGCUGCCCCGGAAUGACCGUUCUGCUGCCUUAACACUGGGACUCUCUAGCCGGAGAAUUACUUGCAAGGCGACGGAAGUGUCGGUGGCGGAGGAGCCGUCGGCUGCGGGCGAUGGCGAGAACUGGGUGCCAGUGGUGCCGCUGUCGGCAUUGCCCAAGGGGGAGCGGCGCGUGAUUAUACAGGACGGAGAGACGAUUCUGUUGUUGUGAUUAUACACGAAAUUUAUGUGAAGAAUGAAAGGCUCUUUUGAGGCUCAUGCAAGCCAUGUAAGAAUUUUAUGUGGCCUUGGUGUAUAUUAUUAUGUGAUAUUCCUUUAAAUAUUAUGGUCUAAUAAAUAAUAAAACUAAAAUUUUAUUUCCUAAAUUAAAGGUACUUUGAUGAAAAGCAUACUCCUCAUUCUAUAUGGAAAUUGAUCUUCUCUCCAUCCUAUAAAAUAAAUGUUCAGAAAACCUAAGGAUAAAAGGGUUUAGGGAGAACAACACAAUUUCUACUUGGCUUAUUGUUUGGUCUCUUCAAGACUUCUAUAUAGUUUAAAGGUAUGUCUUUUCUCAAUAAUGGAAUUGUGAAAAUCAUAUUAUUCUAUAAUUCUUGACUAUUUUGAUUUAAGUAAAAUUAGGAUUUGAUUUACAUAAUUAAAUAAUUACUUAUGAGUUUCAUUGGUGAGCAUAUAAUACCAUUGACAUAUGUUGAUUAAGUGACAUGUAUACCUUUGAUGCUACUGUAAUGAAGUUUAUGAUAAUAAAAGUUUAUUUUAUCAAUUUUCGAUAUGUUAUAUACAAUGUAUGUUUAUGGCUAAUAUAUAAAGUGAAUGACUUUCUUGAUUUAUGAAAUUUAGUGAAUCGAUUUAUGCAUCAACCGCUUUUGAUUGAACCAAAAGUAUGAUUUUGUUCAUGGUAUUGCAUCUUCAUCAUCAAAAUAGAUAUCUAUAUGUAUGUGAAAUAAAUUAUGCUAUAUAUAUAUGUCAAUAGUGAAUUUUGUGUCUUCAAUGGUAAUGUUUUAACGAUAUACAUAUACUAUAUAUAAAAAACCAAGAAAAUUCUAUAAGAGUAAACACAUUGAGAGGAAGUACCACAUAAUCUAUAGAUAGUACAAAAAGGUGAUAUGGUAGUUUAGAAGAUAUCUUUCGGAAAGAGCCUAAUAGAUUCAUAUACUAAGACAUUGACUGGAAAAGUCUUUGAUUGUAACCGGGACAACAUAGGUGUCAGAUAUGCACCUAAUUUACUUUUAUUGCAUUAUGUUUUGAGGGCUUAUGGAAGAUUGUUAUGAUAUCAUCCUACAAAGCUUUACAUGAUAUAAGACAUUUGGAUUUAUCAUUUAUUUAAUUAUAUUCUAAUUGCUCUUUUAUCUAUGCUUGUAAUAGAGAGUUCCCUACGCUCAGAUCCCAACACUUAUAUCAUAUAAAAUAAAGUUUCAUGCUAGUAGAAUAUCUAAAUAUAUUCUUGGUAGUUUUUGGUCAUGCAUGCAUUCGCAUAACUUUGGGCUAUGCACAAUAAUUUUCCAUAUAAUUGGCUUUUAGGUAUAAAUUUAAUUUCUAUAUGAAAUCGUUCAAUAUAUAACUUUCUGCUACAUGAGUCUAAAAGUUAUUAACUUCCAUGCAUGGUGCGACUGGUGGGGUUUCCAGUCACUUGGAAACCAUGUCCAGAUACAUAUGAAGAGAUCAAUAAAACCAACCUUCCACUUCCUACAAUAAUCGUUUACCAAGUGUAUCUUCAAUCCUAAGCCAGUCUGGUAUUCGUUGUUGCAGCUCCUGUAAACUGGCCUCUGCUUGGUCCAGCUCCAGAUAUAGCUGCUCUACUUCAGCUAUCUUCUCAUUCAAGCGCCUACGAAUCACGUCCCUCUUGCCCUCUGCUUGUGCAUACUCAACUAAAGGUUGCACUCCAACAAAUGGGCUUCUUAACCAAUCAACCUUAACCUGAGCCCUCUCCAAAUCACUCAAUGUUCUAUCAAUGAAGUAGGUGUCUGCACCAGACAGGCUACGGGCAGUAUUCUUCUGCAUCAGCUCCACAAUCUGCAGUAUGGAACCUUUGAUUAUCUCUACAAACUGGGGUGCUGUAAAGGAGCAAUUGGCAGUUACGUCUCCAUAUUUGGUCAAUAUUUGCUGCCAAAUCGACUCCCUGGUAUUGGAAGUUACACCAGAUCCCUCAACCAUCUCAAGAAGCCCUGCAGCGGCUGUGUUAGGAUCUGUGAGAGUUUUGUCUGUGUCCUCAGCUUCAGUUGGAGCGAAGGUAGUUUGGAUCUCCUAAAGCCCAAAAAAGAGAAGGAAAAGUAUAGAACUUGUGCUUGGAAUUAACCAACAAAAAAGAUUAAUUUUGAUGUAAAAGUGCCCAAGGAAAAAUAUUUUGGUAGUUUCAGUUGAAAAUUUUGACAAACCUUGUCAGCUCCCGAAGCACCUUCCACUUCAUCUGAAGGCCAAUUAAGUGUAUCUAGGCAUUGCAACCUGUGAUUAUGCUCAAGAUGAAGUUUUGUGAUCACCCAUUGUCCAUUGUCAAGUUUGACUUGGAUCUGGACAUUGCAACCUGUUCUUGUUUCUGAUCUCUUAUACUUUGUUCCCUGGUUGGGAUGCUUCUUGGUCCGGAAGCCUUCACAUGAACAAAGAAAGCAUCGCCCUUUCAGUGUACCAUUUGCUUUCCUUUGUACCUUUCCUUUUCUUACUGUAAAACCAAUUCUCUUGGCAUACUUUUUACAAAAUUCUUCAGCUUCUAACUCAGAAGAAAACGCCAUCCCUCUCCGUGGUAUCUGAUCAUCGUCUUCAGGAUUUUUCUCAUUUACAUUAACCAAUGUUCCAAUCUCAUCACCAUUUACAUUAAUAGCCAUUUCAGUCUCACCACUAUAGAACGAACUCCACCAAGAAUCAAAAUUAAGCUCAUCCUGUACAAAGUGAGAUAGAGAGAGAAGUUUUCUAUGAGAAAAAUGAGAAGCAAAAAGCGGUACAAUGCAUAACAACAAUUUUCUUCUGUUACACCAACUAUUGAUUCAAACUACAUCUUAUCCUGUAACUCUUGUAGAACAAUGAAUUAAUAUAAGAAGAGUGACACUGUAAGACGGCUUAUAGACAAGUAGAUGGAGCAACAAAUUCUUGAUUUGCUGGUUGCAGCUUUAUUUGGGCAGAAAAGUUCAUGAAUUAUUUAUCUUUAAAAUUAACCGUUGUUCUAGAAAAUGGAUCGAGCUUACCUGGAUAGUGAGGCCCCUGAAGGAACCGCCAACUCUGUGGUGGUUUACUAAAUCAUCAGAUUCCUGUAUGGCACCCCAAACAUCUGGGCGUGAACCGAUGGAACUAUACCUGCCAAGAUGAUAGGGUUCGAUAGACAUUCUGGUGCAGUUGAUGGGUGUGGAUCCAGAGGAUCGGUGCUUGAUUGCUUUGCUUCCGGCUGGACCUUGGGAUCUCGCCUUCUCAAGACAGGACUCGUUUUAUAGCUCUCGCAGCCUGCUGUGUGGGACAGCGUCCCUUUUUCCUUGUUUGCUUUGCUUCCAUUUCCAAAUUCCAACCCACUGCGCUUUGACCAAAUGGUCCAAAUCUCCAUUUCUCGGCGACGUCGGUGCGUUCGGUUCUCUUUUCCCUUGUUUUAUUUCCUUCAGUGCCUCUUUCCUCCCAAGAGGCUACUACUCGCCCUCUCAAAAAGUCAAAACUUUAGAAACAUUAAAUAUAUAUAUUUUUUUUUAAAUAGAGAACUAUCAAAACGGUGGGCGGAAAGUGAUAAUCCUUUUUAAAAGUCAUCAUGUUGACCAAUUCUACUCUUCGAGUAAUCAUUUGAAAGCUUAACCAUUCGAAAUUUUCAAUUAUAUCCUAUUUAAACUUUAUUUUUUUAUUUUUUUUCUUUUGUAUUAUUAUUAUUAUUAAAUAUUAAUAUUACUCUUAAUAUUAUUAUUUAUGAUAUUAGUAUUUUAAAUUAUUCAUAUUAUUAUUAAUAUCAUUCUUAUUAAUAUUAUUUAUUAUUUUUUUAUUAUUAUUCAUAUUUUUAAUAUUAUAUUAAAAAUAAUAUUAUUAUAUUUUUAUUACUACUACUACAAAGAAACCUUAGGAGAUAAUUUAUAUUUUUUAGUUCUUAAAACUUGUAAACUUUAUUAAAAAAUUAUUCUUUUUUUUCAAUUUAUACUUUAUAUGUUAUAUUAAGAUUAAUUAAAUUAUUAUUAUUCUUCUUAUUAUUACUAUUAAUAUUUAUGAUAUUAGUUUUAUAUUAUUAAUAUUUUAAUAAAAUAAUAUUAUAUCCAAGUUAUAGAUAUAAUAAAAAUGCAUUGAUGUUAAUGAUAUAGUAGAAUAAAACAAUGUUUCUAAUAUAGAUAAAUACAACAUUUAUCUAUUGAAUUUAUAACAUAAAUACAUUAAAAAUACAAUAUAUUACAACAUUUUUAAUAGUUUUCAUGUAAAAAUAAAAUAAAAUUUUAUCAUUCAAUGCGCUUUUUCUAUUUGAGUCGUAACACCCGACUUUUUCUUUUCCUCUUUAUCAUUCAACGCGCUUUUUCUUUUCUUUGUUGCGUAAAAUAUUUGAAGUUUUGUUGUGAGACUUGCUUCGAUCACAGUUGUAUUCUCAAUUUUGCAAUUAAGCAAAUUUAGCUUUAUUAGUCAGUUGUGGUUGAUAUAAAUGAACUUUUUCUACUGCAAUUAAGUCAGGACUCAUAUCUCAGACUUGGUGUCUCUACUGCUCAGUAAUGGCUGCUGCUGCUGCUUCUUCUGCGUCUUCUCAGGGGCGCUAUGAUGUGUUCCUGAGCUUUAGAGGGGAAGACACCCGCAAUAACUUCACUGCCCAUCUCUGUGAGGAGUUGCACACCAAAGGAAUCAACACUUUCAUAGACGAGGAGAAGCUCGAGAGAGGGCAAGCCGUAUCUGCUGCACUUGUUUCUGCUAUUGAAAACUCCAUGUUUUCUAUCAUUGUUUUAUCAGAAAAUUAUGCAUCUUCUAGAUGGUGUUUAGAGGAGCUGGUGAAGAUAAUACAGUGCAUGAAAAACAGGGGGCACAGGGUUCUCCCAAUUUUCUAUAAUGUGGCUCCCUCGGAUGUGAGAAAUCACAAGGGAAAAUUUGGAGAAGCCUUGGCUAAACAUGAAGAGAAUUCCAAGGAGGGUAUGGAGAGGGUGCAGAUUUGGAAGGAUGCUCUCACUCAAGUCACCAAUUUCUCUGGUUGGGAUUCAAGGAAUAAGUAAUUAUUUAAAGCUUUUUUUCACUCUUACUUUUAUUUUUUAUUUUUAAUAUUGCCAUUUUAAAUGCUCUUGCUAAUUCAACUAUUAGUUAUUACAACACAAAGGGUAUGAUAAUAUAUACCAUGUUAACAUUAUCUGAUUAAAGGACUGGGUUCAUAGGAUUUAGAAAUAUUUUACUGGACUUUUUUAAAUUAGAUAUAAGAUACCAACCAUAUCUUGACACAUAUUCUCAUAUUCUCUUUAUUUUUAUUAUCUUUUUGUAGAUAGCUGGACUUAUUAUGUGUUUAUGCUUUAAAUAUGACAGGAAUGAGUCUCUACUAAUCAAGCAAAUUGUUAAAGAUAUUUUGAAUAAAUUGUUAUCUUCAUCCGGUAGUGAUACCAAGAAUCAAGUUGGAAUAGAUGCUCACAUACAAGAAAUGGAAACCUUAUUAUGCUUGGCGUCAGAUGAUGUUCGAAUGGUAGGAAUAUGGGGCAUGGGUGGAAUAGGGAAAACAACCCUUGUCAGAGCUGUUUAUAGUCGAAUCUCCUAUCAAUUUGAAGGUUGCUCCUUUCUUGAAAAUGUUGCAGAGGGUUUAAAAAAGAAGGGCUUAAUUGGGUUGCAAGAGAAACUUCUUUCUCAUCUAUUAGAGGAAGAAAAUCUAAAUAUGAAAGAACUCACAUCUAUAAAGGCAAGGCUCCACUCAAAAAAGGUCCUUAUUGUUCUCGAUAACGUGAAUGAUCCAACAAUAUUGGAAUGCUUAAUUGGAAAUCGGGAUUGGUUUGGUCAAGGAAGUAGAAUUAUUAUAACGACUAGGGAUAAACGUUUAUUACUUUCACAUAAAGUCAAUCUUUAUAAGGUUCAUAAAUUCAAUGAUGAUGAAGCUCUUGAGUUUCUUGCACGUUAUUCAUUAAAACACGAACUCCUUCGAGAAGAUUUCCUAGAGCUUUCAAGAGCUGUGAUAUGUUAUGCUCAAGGCCUUCCAUUGGCUCUUACGGUUUUGGGUUCUUUUUUAUUUAGCAUGAGCAAAGAAGAAUGGAGAGAUCAAUUAGACAAAUUAAAAAGUAUUCCUAAUAUGAAAAUUCAUGAAGUUCUUAAAAUAAGUUAUGAUGGGCUAGAUUUUGAGGAGAAGAAUAUAUUUUUGGAUAUUGCAUGUUUCCUUAAAAGAGAGGAUAAAAAUUACAUUAAGGAAAUACUAGACUAUUGUGGCUUCUUCUCAGUUAGUGGUAUACGAGCUCUCGUUGAUAAGUCACUCAGUAAGUUUUUUUCACAAUAGGAUAAUGAUGCAUGACUUAAUACAAGAAAUGGGUAUGGAAAUUGUUCGCCAAGAAUCUCAUACUCCCGGCCAGCGUAGUAGAUUGUGGCUCCAUAAAGAUAUCAACGAUGCAUUGAAAAAAAACAUGGUAAGAGCAAAAAAAUGAAAUUUAUUUUAUGCAACACAAGUUAAGAUUUGAAAUUAUUUUGGCUUAAGUAGUUAUAUGCUAAUAAAAUUGUAGCAGACAUAUAUUUAUUCACUAUGCAUGUUUUUAACUUAGUCUCCUUCUUGGUAUGCAGGAAAAUGAAAAAAUUGAAGGCAUAUUCCUCGACUUGUCUCAUUCACAAGAGAUAAUAGACUUUAGCACUCAAGCCUUCCCAAGGAUGUAUAAACUAAGAUUGCUCAAAGUCUAUGAAUCUAACAAAAUUUCAAGAAACUUUGGAGAUACCUUAAAUAAGGAGAAUUGUAAAGUGCAUUUUUCUCCGAACUUAAGAUUUUGUUACGACGAAUUGAGGUACUUAUAUUUGUAUGGAUACUCUUUGAAAUCAUUGGACAAUGAUUUCAAUGCAAAGAAUCUUGUUCACCUCAGCAUGCAUUAUAGUCACAUUAAACGACUUUGGAAAGGAAUCAAGGUAUGAUUAUGAUGUAUUGAUAUUAUUUUCUUUAAAAAGCGUUUAAUGUGCAUGAAAGCUAAUUUUUAAGUCAACUUUCUUUCAUGGUAGGUUCUUGAAAAGUUAAAAGUCAUGGAUCUCAGUCACUCCAAGUCCUUAAUAGAAACCCUAGAUUUCUCAAGAGUCCCCAAUCUUGAACGAUUAGUUCUCGAAGGUUGUAUAUCUUUGCAUAAGGUACAUCCGUCUCUUGGAGUUUUGAAUAAACUCAAUUUCUUGAGUUUGAAAAAUUGUGAAAAGCUCAAAAGUCUUCCAAGCAGCAUGUGUGAUUUGAAAUCCCUCGAAACAUUUAUUCUUUCUGGUUGUUCGAGACUCGAAGAUUUUCCUGAGAACUUUGGGAACUUAGAAAUGUUAAAGGAACUUCACGCAGAUGGUAUUCCUGUAAGAGUACUACCCUCCUCUUUUUCGCUCUUGAGAAACCUUGAAAUAUUAUCCUUUAAGGGAUGUAGAGGACCCCCAUCUACCUCAUGGUUGUUGCCAAGAAGAAGUUCAAGUUCUACUGGUUCCAUACUGCAUCAUUUGUCUGAUGUAGGACAACCCUAGGAUGGUUGCCUACACUCAAGGGUAGGUGGGCUAGGGUUUUAUUUUUAGGGUGUAAGGAGGGGAACAAGGAAUAAACUUUAUGGUAGAGAAAAUUAUAAGAUAAGAAAAAGAGAGAAAGAAGAAACAAUGAAGAAAAGAUGGAAAACCUUAGAGUCUCACUAAGGCCUUCUAGGAGUCUCACCUAGAAGAAAAUCAAUGGAGUCUCACCAUUGAGGGUUGCAACCUUGCAAUGAAAGAAAGUAUAAUAUUAUUCAUCAAAAAUUCAUUCCUUUGAUUUACAUUGAUUAGCCUAUUUAUAGGCUUCUCUAAGAAAUCCAAAGUCUACUAGGACUCUAAUAACCUAUUCUACUAGGACUCUAAUAGGACUCUAAUAACCUAUUCUACUAGGACUCUAAUAACCUAUCAUGACUCAAAUUCUAAUUAUAUUAAUCCUACUUAAAGUUUACUUAGGUCUUCCCUUUCUUCCUUGAAUAAACUUUAAAAGGCUUUCCCCCAUCAUUGUCAGGUCUAUAUUCUUUAACAAGGCUAAACCUAGGUUAUUGUAAUUUAUCAGAUGAAACAAACCUUAGCAGUCUUUGCCUCUUAUCUUCAUUGGAAGUGUUAGAUCUAUCUGGGAACAACUUUGUUACUUUGCCAAACAUCAGGGGACUUUCUAGCCUAGAAGGUCUGUUGUUGGAGAAGUGUAAAAGACUGCAAGUACUGCCAGAACUUCCAUCAAGCAUAUAUAGUUUAAUUGCGCAAGAUUGCAUAUCAUUGGAAAAUGCCUCAAAUCAAGUACUCAAGUCACUCUUUCCAACUACAAAGUCCCCGAAGAAAACUUUCAAGGUGGGUUCUAUUUGUAUACGAUGUAUCAUAAUUUUAAUUAUAUAUGCAUAUAUAUAAUUAUUUCGAUUCUAUCUCUCUAACAUCCUAAUAAUUUUGAUUCUACAGCGUAAUUCGGGUGCACACUUGAUAUAUGUGAUGGUUUAUGGGAGUAGAAUACCAGAUUGGAUAAGGUAUCAGAGCUCAGGGUGUGAAGUAGAAGCAGAUCUACCUCCAAAUUGGUAUAAUUCCAACUUGCUGGGUCUUGCUUUGAGCUUUGUCACUUAUGUUUUCGCAUCUAAUGUGAUUAUUCCAGUAUCGUAUACCUUGCGCUAUUCAACAUCCAGUUACAUUGCUAACCGCAUUAGUAUCAGAUUUGAUAAGGAAGGUGUAGGGUUAGAUCACGUGUGGCUACUUUAUAUAAAACUCCCCCUCUUCAGCAAUUGGCAUAAUGGAACUCCCAUAAAUUGGCAUGAAGUGACUCACAUCAGUGUAUCAUUUGGGACUCAGGUCAUGGGGUGGUAUCCUCCGAUUAAGAGGAGUGGGUUUGAUCUAGUGUACAGUAAUGAUCAAGACGUGAAUCCCCCAGUGAUCCAAUUCAGUUCUAUCUCCUCUCCUCCUCUUCCGAACAAGUCAACAGUAGUCCUUAAAGAAAUCCAUAAGAAGGAGGAACCCAGUGGAAGUGAGUUGUCGAAUGUUGAUGGCUCAGAAUCAGACAGCUCUGAUUACCAUACUGCUGAUGAGGAAGAACCCACAACUGCAAAAGAAACUGACCGCUCAGAGGAUCACUCUGAAUCAGAGAUGCGGCCGCAGAAACGUUUGAAGUGCAGGCAUUAUGAGGGCAUCCCUUGAUGAUCGGAGAAACAGACCUAAAACUCUUCCCAUAACAUCAUCUCUUGGUAAUGGUAGGUUGUGUGUUUCUUUUCUUUCUGCCUUUCUUUCUUAAUCUGAUUUUCAACAUUUUUGCUUGGGUAGAUGUCUUAAGAUCAUUUAGAACUGUUUAAAGCGGGAACUAAAAAAUCCCAUAACACUGUUUGAAAUUAGAGUACUCUCACAUAUCGUCGAUUUCAUGCUUAAUCAUCCCGGGAUACACAUGGUUCCAUAUCAUUAGAAUCAUUUGUAUUAAUAAUGCAUUCUCAGUUUACUAAUUGUGGCAACUAAACAGAGUCCCAAAAUCUCUCUCGGGGUUGAUCAUCUUCAAUAGAUACGCAUUGUUUUAGCAGUGAUAAUGUAUUUUGUGAAUUGCAGUCGCAUGAUCUCCAUUCCUGUGAGCAUUGCAAUUAACUAGGGAGAUUAUUUUAGUGGGGGUGAUGCUACAGCACCAGCGAAGGAGCAGAAGCAGAAGCAGAAGAGAGAAAAGAUCUUGUAACGGAACCCAAUCUUCCAUAAACUAACUAUUUUUGGAUUGUUUUUCAUUUCUAGAAAUGGAACGACUAUGUAAAUUAAAGGAUUACUGGAUUCUUCAAUUCAAAGAGUCAUCACAAAUUUGAGUCACUACUCACCUACAUUUGAUUUCAUUCCUUCUACUAUCUCCACCUUGCUCCUUAAUUCUUAUAAUGAUAAAUGUGUUAUAUAAAAUUUUGAUUAUAUUUCAUUUAACCAUUUUUGCAUUAGGGUCACAUCUCUUAGUCGUAUAGAUAUUGUUUACUUUAAUCCAAAGGACUCCCACGAUUUUAAAACGCACCUAUAAGGUUAAAAGGAAUCCAUGCAUAUAUAGAUAUAUCACAUCCAAUAGGGUGAAAAAGCUUUUACUCUCUUACGCCAUCCCUUCCCAUGAAACCCUCUAUUUUGUGCCCACCUAUACCUAUCCUUUCCCUCUUUCUCUCAUGGGCAUAUCCUUUGCAUGAUACACAUUUUAAUCAACAAAUUAUAAUUAAUUUGUUCACUAAAAUAUUUCUUUAGGUUGUAUUUGGUUCCAAAAAUUACUAAGAAAAAAAAAGAAAAAUAUAAAGAAAUAUUAUUUUUUCAUAUUUGGUUAUCGUAUGAAAAAUAUAUAAAAAAUCAAAUAUAAUUAAAAUUAAGUAAAAUUUUUUGUAUGUUUAAAUUAUUUAAUUUUUAUAUCGAUGAGUUAAAAUAAAUAAAGUCAGUUUAAAGUAACAAAUAAAAAUAAAAUUUCAAAUUUUAAUCUAUUUUUUUAUUUUUCUUUAUUGUUUUUUUCUUUUACUUUUUCUUUCUAUUUUCUUCCUCCCAUAUUUUCCCCUAAUUUUCCACCUUAAAAUUGUAUUUUUGUGAUAACUUUCGAAUAUAUUUGACAUAGUGGUUGCCUAGGGUUCAUUCUAAACCAUUUGUUUGGAUUUCGAAUAUAUUUGACAAUUUUUUAAAUCCUUCCUCCCACCUAUACCUAUCCUUUCCCUCUCUCUCACACACACAACCAUCCCGUUCGGGCCAUUCCCAUGAAACCCAUUUUUUCUCUCUUUUCUCAUCCCUCUCACAAAUCACAACCACUUUUUUCUUCCUUUCUUCUCAUCAUUUCAUGUUCUUUAUUUUUUUUCUCUCUCUCUCCCUCUCUUUCUUUUUUCCAUAGCCAUUUUCAUCUGCCCAUCACCGACGCCACCAUCCAUUGUCCGCCGCGACGUGCCACUACCGACGCUGGCGUCACUCUUUCAUGGCUUCCUCCUCUCUCAUCUCAUCAUUUCUCUCUUCUUCUCUCCCUCUAAAAUACCAAGAGCAUGGCAUGGAGGGAAAAUGGGAAGUUCGGGUGAGCUAAACACCAAGGCAACUUGUAGAGUCAUUGCUAUGGCUACUUUCAUCUUGUUUUCAAGACAUGCAUGGGUAUACUCUUUGAUCUCUACACAGUAGAUGUUAGUAAUUUGUGGGUUUUGUUUUCAUUUGAUGUUUUGUUUAUUGAUUUAUAUUUUUGAUGUUGGGUUUGGACUUGUUGGAUUUUGUUUAAUUCUUUUAGGCGUCAAUUAUUAAUGUUAGGCUUGGUUAUUCCAUGCAGACUUGGGCCUGUGCGUAUUGAAUAUUUAGGUUGGGCCUCAUUCCUUGAUUUGAGCCUGGUAGGGAGGUUUUGGACUUGACCUUGGGUUAAUUUUAUCCUUUAUAGUUCAUUUAUGAUUCAUUGUCGUGUUUAGAUCAUUCAAAAAAUUUGUUUUCAACUAUGUUCUUGAAAAUAAUUUCACUAAAAGUAUCAGAAAUCAGAAGGUGUCCAAUUAGUCGAGUUUUAAAAAUAUUGUUGACAAAUUUACCAAUAAAUUCUUAACAGCCCAACCACCCAAAAUAUAAUUGCCUACUUGAAUGAAAUAAAUAAUAAACUUUAAUUUAUACAAAAUAUUUAUUAUUAUAAUUAAUAUUUUAAUAUCCUUCAUUUAAAAAUAAAAUGAAUAAAUAAAUAAAUAAUCAACACAGACUCUUCUUCAAUGAUCGCAUUUAAUUUACUGCAAAUUUUGCUAAGAGUAUAUUAUUCCCAAUUCUCAUUUUCAUACAUAUUCUAUUAUUUUUCUUUUGCAAAUAAUCAAAUAUAGUUAUCUGUUUGUUUGAUUUGUUCAUCAAUUUGGAAUUAUAUGUAUCUUUUUGUUUCCCACUGGAUAAUUUAGGAUUCACAACUCAAAAUUUCUGAAUCCAUCUUCUCCACUCCUCAUAAUGGCUGAUCCUUCUUCUUCUCCCUUUCUUUACAACAGGGCUAUAACGUGCUCUUGAGCUUUGGAAGAGAAGAGAAGACACCCACAAUAGCUUCACUGCUCAUCUCUAUAAUGAGCUUGAAAAGGUGUUUAUACUUAUGAUAUCUUAAUCUAAUUUCUAGAUUUGGACUCAAUUUUUCGUAAUCAUGUUUUUUUUAUUAAAAAAUGAGUUACAUUAGAAUUUUAUUUCUUAUAUUAUUUUUCUUUAAAAACAAAUAAAAAUAAGUAAUGGCUCUAAUUUUUAAAAAUUAAUAUGUUUUUUAAUAAAAAUGAGUUUCACCAUUAAAUGGAAAUACAAGUAAAACAUACAAAUCAUAGUUUCAUUGUUGUUUUCCUCUUAUGAUCUUUUAUGUUUAUAAAGAGAAAUAUGAAAAAAGUAAUACAAAAGGUAAAAUUAAGUCCUUAUACAAAUUCUAAAAACUGAUGACCCCAUAGACUACUUAUCCUUGCCAAUUCACACUGUUCCACAAUUUUGCAUGUUCACAUUGCUCAAAAUAAAACUAUUAUAGAUCAAAAGAUGCGUCUAGGUUCAAAGAGUUUAGCAGAUUUUUAGGAAUGCUAGUUGAAGGGUGAGAUGAAGAAAUCUACUUGUUGCUGAGUAAGUUGAGGAAAAUGGUCGAAAGCAGGACAUCUUGCAAAGGAAGGAAGAAGAAAUCGGUGUCCGUUUCUCACUUUGAAAUGGAGCUUAGAAGGUUGGAUUGUUCGAUUAGUUAUGGAGAUUUUGUGUUCACUUCCAAAAAGGGUGGCAAAAACUAUUGGGAGCUAAUUUUGGUGGAUUGAUGAAGAUCAAAUCCUCUCUUGGAAUGUUAGAGGGCUCAAUGACAGGGAGAAAUAAAAACUGCUUAAGUCAGUGAUUAGGUCUCAGAAGAAAGAUUUGGUUUGUCUUAUUGAGAUGAACAUGCAGGAGAUGUUGUUAAAGGUGGUGAAAAGUCUGGAUGUUGGUAGGUUUUUGGACUAGGGUGUAGUUGAUGCUAGGGGAGUGUCCGGAGACAUCUUGAUUUUUUGGGACAAUAGAGUUUUGGAUCUUCUAGAGCUAAAAUGUGGAGGUUUCACCAUCUCGAGUAGUUUUAGGAAUGUGGAAGAUGGUUUUGUUUGGGUAUUCACAGGUGUCUAUGGUCUAGUCCUCUCAAGGAAGAGAAAAAAAAAAAGACUUUUGGGAUGAGUUGGGUGUAAUUAAAGGUAUGUAGAACGAUCCCUGGUGUGUAAGAGGGGAUUUCAACUCUGUUAGAUUUCCAAGGGAAAUGAGGAAAGAGGUCAGUUUAACGGCAAAGAUGAGAAGAUUCUAUUAAGUCAAUGAGGAACUAAGACUAAAAGAUUUACCCCUUUCUGAUGGUCAGUUCACGUGAUGUGGUGGCUCAAACUCUCAAGCAGCGUCAAGGUUGUAUCAUUUUUUAGUUUUUAAUGAAUGGGAGGACCACUUUUCAAGUGCCUUCCAAUGCGCUCUUCCUAAGAUCGUCUCUGAUCACUAUCCUAUUACACUAGAGGGUGGAGGGGUUAAAAGAGGUAAGACUGUGGACCCACAUUUUUCACGUGCGUCCCCACUCGAUCGGCGAGACUCGCUUUUUAUUACUAGUGAAAAAAUAAUUUUGGAAAAAGUCGGAAUCGCCACUUAUUUUAUUUUUAUUUUAAAGGGAAAAUAAAACAAAAAAGAAAAACCUUAAAAUGUGACUCCAUAAUUUUUGGAAAAAACAUGUCUUUGAAAAACCUGAGUUUAGGUCCAGGGAUCAAGUUACUUAUUGGGAAGGUACCUCUAGGAGGUAGCACCCCUCUAAGCCUAAAAGAGGUCUCUACUUACUAAGUUGGGGGAAGUGUGGCAAUUAAUUAAUUAAUUGAGGAUACCUAGAUAGGCUAAGGUGAUUUCAAAAAUAACAUGCCAAACAUGAUCAAAUUACAAUAAAUGAGAGUUAGGGUGCAUACCUGGACUGCUUCUUAAGCGCCAUCUAAAGACAUCAAUGAUUAGUUUGGAAAAUAAAACGCACAACAUAUAUUUUAUCCUAGUCUCUUAAUCAAACAUGGCAAGCUAAACAAACAAUAAAAAAGAUAUGUUGAAAAAUUUGAGAAUCGCAUACGAAGCAAUACAUAACGAUCAUAUAUAAAGCAAUACAUAAUUUAUGGAAUUAAGAUACGAAGGUAAGAAGCAUACCUGAAUAGCAUGGGUAACUCAUAAUGCUCUUCCACAAGACAUGAGGGGUUAGAUAAUAAAUAAUGAGAUAAAUUCUAGCAUGCUUGUUAUCUAAUUAGCAUAGCAAAAAUUAUCAGAGUAUACUAAUUCAUCAAUUAUCACAUAGUCUUGUAUAUAAUUCCUAAAAAAAUUGAUAUGAUUGUAACAACCAACAAAGGUGGUAGCAAAAAUAAGUUUUGAAUAUAUUUUUUUGUGUAGGGGUUUCACCAAUUCCCCAAUUGAUAUACACAAAUCUAACCUAGAAUUAUCCCAUUUAUGUGGGACCACAAGCUUGGAUUCGUGUUUGAUUUAAAACCAAAAUUUUCAUUAAAAAAACCGAGAAAGAUGCAAACCAAUAAAAAAAAAUGGUUGCAUAUUAUUUUAAGAAAAUGGGGUUUUUGAUUCUAAGGACUCUAAAUGAAUUUUUAAAAUAGGUUUUUAUAAGGAACAUUUUGGGAAAAGUAUUUUAUUUUAAAGGGAAAGACAUUAUUCACAAACAAACGAUUCGCAAAGGUCAAAUAUAGGCAACCCAAAAUAAAACAAAAUCACAAAGUAAAAUUUUCUCAAUAAUCAACAAAACUAAUAAAGGUGAGGGUAGAGGCCAAUCUUCAUGAUUUGCCAAUGGCCUCUAAAAAUUAAUCUUCACAAAAAAAUAUCAAAGCAAUAAACUAAAUGAUUUUAGAUCAGAUAAGAUUAGAAGAUAUUAAUCAGGAGUUAAAAAUGGGGAAUCAAACACAGAAGAAUAAUAAAAAAACUAACAUAAGAUCAAUUAAGCUAAUUAACUAAAAUUUUAGAGAAACAUAUGAACUAAAUUAUGAUUAAUCCAAGAAUGAAAAUUUAUACAUUUAAGAUGAAAAUAAUACAACUUAAGAUCAAUUAAAACAGUUAUCUAAAGCUUUGAAAAAACAUACAAACUAAAAGUGGACCAACCAAGAAAUAAAAUUAACAAGUUCAGAAUAUGAAAAUGACAUGGAACCAAUCAACUUAAACAACCCCAAGUCUUAAAAACUCACGUACUAAAAGAUGAAAUAAAAAAAUAAGAUUAAUAUUGGAAAACAUAAAUUCAAUUGCAUAGGAUCAAUUAAACUAAUAAACUAGAAUUCUAAAACCACUUAAACUAGAUAACAUGAAUCAAAACAAGGAUAAACAAUUUUAAAAGACAUGAGAUUAAUUACAUGGAUCAGCCAAAUUGAUAAACUAAAAUUAAAAAAAAAAAAAAAGAACCUAAACUAAAUAGAUAAAUCAAAACAAAACUAAAGCAAGGCUAAAAACAUGAACUUUAUCAAUAGAAUUGGUUAAAUUAAUGAACUAAGAUUAUAUAAAAAAAAAAAUGCAAACCAAACAAAUAAAUUGCAAUUAAACUAAAACAAGAUCAGAAGCAUAAAUUUUAUCAAUAAAAUUAAUUAAUCUAAUAAACUAAACCAAGAUUAUAAAAAUACAUCAACUAAAAAGAUGGGACAAAACAAAAUCAAAACUCGUUUUAAAAAACAUAAACCUUAUCUAAUAAAAUUAUUUAACUAAUGAAUUAAAAUUACUAUUACAUUCAAACUAAAACUAAACUAAUGUGGAAUUAAAAAAAUAAACUUUACUUUACAAAUUACUUAAACUAAGGAAUUAAAGUCACUAACACACUCGAAUUAAAUCAUAAGCUAAAAUUAAGUUAAUCCGGAAUUUUAAAAAAUAAACUUUACUUCACAAAUUACUUAAACUAAGGAAUAAAAAUCACUAACUCAUUUAAAUUAAAUCAUAAGCUAAAAUUAAGUUAAUCCGAAAUUUAAAAAAAUAAACUUUACUUCACAAAUUAUUUAAACUAAGGAAUUAAAGUCACUAACACAUUCAAAUUAAAUCAUAAACUAAAAUUAAGUUAAUCCAGAAUUUUUAAAAACAAAUUUUAUCUCUCAAAUUAUUUAAACUAAGGAAUUAAAGUCACUAACACAUUCAAAUUAAAUCAUAAACUAAAAUUAAGUUAAUCCGGAAUUUAAAAAAAUAAACUUUACCUCUCAAAUUAUUUAAACUAAGGAAUUAAAGUCACUAACACAUUCAAAUUAAAUCAUAAACCAAAAUUAAGUUGAUCCGGAAUUUAAAAAAAUAAACUUUACUUCACAAAUUACUUAAACUGAGGAAUAAAAAUCACUAACUCAUUUAAAUUAAAUCAUAAACUAAAAUUAAGUUUAAAAAAUAAACUUUACCUCUCGAAUUAUUUAAACUAAGGAAUAAAAAUCAUUAACACAUUCAAAUUAAAUCGUAAACUAAAACUAAAAGGUGGAUUAGAACUAAACUAAUUGAGAAUUUAAAAAACAAAAUAAACUUUAACACAAAGAAUUAAUCAAAAACUGAAAUUUGUUUUAAAAGAAAUCUAGACUAAAUAAGAAUAUUAUAUGGAAAACUAACCUGUGAAGUGAAAGAGAAAAUCCCUUCUUGGUGACUAAGGUGAUAGCCCGGUCUCUGCCUGAAGUCCCUUGCUCUCCUCUAAAGUUCCGCGUGAAAAUUCUUUCUGUCUCUUCCCCUCUGAAAAAAAGUUCCUUAUGCUUGGAUUCUCUCCUUUAUUUAUAAGGCAACCCACUCCUUAUGGAAUAUCUUAUUUCCAUUUUUUCUACAUGCCCGUGGAUAUGGGAAGUCCAUUAUGUGUGGCUCACUUGGACAUUUCCCCAAGGAUGCAGCCGUAUCUUGUUUGGUAAGUGAUCAGAUCCCUUUUAAUCUUCUUUCCAUAUGCUCCCGGAUUCCUUCUUAAAGCAAAUCAUAUGCAGCCCGGAUUGUUCUUAAAGCCGUGAUCUGCCCACUUUCUAUAUGCAGCCCGGAUUCCUUCCAAGUUUCCCUAUUUGGCCGUGAUCUCCUCUCCUUGAUGUCUUCAAUUGUUUCCUUAUCUCCUAGAGCCACCUUUCCUUAAACUCUCCCAAAACGUAUCUUCCAAUCUCAAUAUGGUAUCCAUUCCAUCUCCAAUGAUCAAGCAUCCAAGGAAAUCCCACAUUCCAAAUAUCAAUACCGUGCACAUCUUCCAUACAUUUCCUAUAAAAUUUCAAAUAAAUAAGGACAAGUAAUAAAAUAAUAAUAAUAAUAAUAAUAACAAUAACAAUAAUAAUAAUACUAAAAAAAAUAAAAAUAAAAAUAAAUAAAAAUAUUUACACAAAAUUAUUAAAUUAAAAUAGAUAAGUAAGGACAAGCAUUAUGGAAAAAGUGACAAAAUAAUAAGGAAAUAAAAUAGAUUAAGAAAUAGACAAGAUAAUAAAUAAAAUAAAUAAGAAUUAAAUAAUAAAAAGUCAAGUCAUGCAACUUUAAAAUAAACAAGUCAUGCAAGUCAUGCAAGCCAUACAAAAAAUGCAAUCAUGCAAACAUGCAAAAAAUUGCCUGAAAGGUGACCUAAGUGGGCCUAAAUGAGCCUAAGUAGGCCAAGUGUAUCUAAAUGGGCUUAGGGUGUCUAAAUGGGCCUAGGGUGCCUAAAUGGGCCUAGGGUGCCUAAGUGGGCCUAGGGUGCCUAAGUGGGCCUAGGGUGCCUAAGUGGGCCUAGGGUGCCUAAAUGGGCCUAGGGUGCCUAAAUGGGCUUAAAGUGCCUAGGUGGGUCUAGGGUGCCUAAAUGGGCCUAGGGUGCCUAAAUGGGCCUAAGGUGUCUAAAUGGGCCAAGAGUGCCUAAACGGGCCUAGAGUGUCUAAGUGGGCCUAGAGUGCCUAAGUGGGCCUAGAGUGCCUAAGUGGGCUUAAGGUGCCUAAGUGGGCCUAGGGUGUCUAAGUGGGCCUAGGGUGCCUAAAUGGGCGUAGGGUGUCUAAAUAGGCCUAGGGUGCCUAAAUGAGCCUCGGGUACCUAAAUGGGCCUCAGGUGCUUAAAUGGGCCUUAUGUGCCUAAAUGGGCCUAGGGUGUCUAAAUGAGCCUAAGGUGCCUAAAUGGGCCAAGAGUGCCUAAACGGGCCUAGAGUGCCUAAGUGGGCCUAGAGUGCCUAAGUGGACUUAGGGUGCCUAAAUGGGCCAAGGGUGUCUAAGUGUGCCUAGGGUGUACUAAGUGGGCCUAGGGUGGUGCCUAAUGGGCCAAGUGUAUCUAAAAACUAUCCUAAAAAUGAAUGAAAAGCCUAAGUCUAAAUUAGGGCUGCCAAGGGUCACAAUAAGGGGUCAGAUAAUCCCUAAACCAAAGUCUCCGAGGUGGCUAAAAAAAGGUAAGUAGUGUGAGUAGCUAUGGGCCACCAAGGAACUACUGUAAAGUAUCGAAUAAGUAUCUAAUAGGACAUGUGCUAGGAGGACAAAAUUGAGGGUCUACAAAGACCCAUUUCCGUUUUGAGAAUAUGUGGCUAUUAUCGAAUGGUUUCAAAGUGUUAGUGAGGAAGUGGUGGACCGAGUACUUGAUUACAAGGAGUAGUAGUCAUUGUCUUGAUGAGACAUUGAAGGGCUCUUAAAAAGGAUCUCAUAGUGUGGAAUAAAUAAAUUUUUGGCAACCUCUUCUUUAAAAAAUCAGAAGCCUUUUCUCGAGCUCAUUUUUAGGAUUCCAAGAGAGAGUUAAUCCCCUCUCUAUUAAGGAGGCAAAGGCUAGAAAAGAGGUUGUCAAGGAGUAUAAGAAAUGGUUUUUAUUGGAAGAAGCUUCUUGGAGACAGAAAUCUAGGGAAAUCUGGUUAAAGAAGGGCAACAAAAACACCAGGUUUUUUCACAAGGUGGCCAAUGCUCGGGCAAGAAGGAAUCUAUUAUCCAAGGUGAAAAUUAAUGGGGUUAUUUUAACUAACAAUGAGGAUAUCAAGGCUAAGGUGUGCAGGGCUUACCAAACUCUACUGACUGAAAAUGGGGACUGGAGACCAAGCCUUGGGAAUCUUCAAUUUAGAGUGUUGGAAAAAGAUAGGUCCAGAAGUUUAGAGGAGCCUUUUUGGAAGAAAAGGUGUUUAAAGCCCUUUCCAACCUUUGUGGUGAUAAAAAGUCAAGUCCAGACAACUUCACCAUGGCGUUCUGGCACUUCUGUUAGGAUUUCACAAAAGUUGAGAUUAUAACCCUCUUUGAAUAUUUCUUCUACCUUGGCACAUUCCAAAGGAGUUUAAACUCCACUUUCCUAGUUCAGAAAAAUGGGUGCAGAAGAGUUGAAAGACUUCAGACCGAUUAACCUGGUUGGUGGACUAUACAAGUUGUUUGCCAAAGUCCUGACAAACAAGUUAAAGUCAACCAUGGGGAAGUUGGUUUUAGACAGUCAACAGGCCAUUAUGUGGACCCGCAUUUUUCACGUGCGCCCCCACUCGAUCUGCGAGACUCGCUUUUUAUUUGUGAAAAAUUAAUUUUUGGAAAAAAAGUUGGAGUCGCCACUUUUUUUAUUUUUAUUUUAAAGGGAAAAUAAAACAAGAAAGAAAAACCCUAAAUGUGACUCCAUAAUUUUUGGAAAAAGCAUGUCUUCGAAAAACCCGAGUCUAAGUCCGGGGAUCAGGUUACCUAUUGGGAAGGUACCUUUAAAAGGUAGCACCCCUCUAAGCCCUAAAAAGGUCUCUAUUGACAAAGUUAAGGGGAGUGUGGCAAUUAAUCAGUUAAUUAUAGAUACCUAAGUAGGCUAGGUGAUUCCAAAAAUAGCAUGCCAAACAAGAUCAAAUCACAAUAAAGGAAGGUUAGGGUACGUACCCGGACCGCUUCUCAAGCGCUAUCAUAAAACAUAAGAGAUUAGUUUGGAAAUAUAACACAUAAUAUGUAUUUUAUCAAAGAUGAUCAAACAUCAAGACAAUCAAUUAUGGCAUUAGACAUGGUCAUGAUUCAUGAUAACAUAUAGAAUUUUAGAGUUGAAGGGUAGAAGGAGCGUACCCGUUUAGCGAGCAUCCACACGUCUAUGGGAACAAGGGUAUCUCAACAAUAGAUAUAAAGUGAAUUCAAGUAUUGCAUCAAGAAGAAAAAAAAUCAACAUAUCAAGCAAACAGUAUUGAAGUGAGUGUUAUGAAUGUUGGGCCCCCACCAAAGCCCUAAUUAAUUUCGCAUGAGUUGAUCCCAUAAAUUCCAUGACUUGAAAUUAUGGAGUUUGUUCGUGCUUAAGAAAAUCGAGAAAAAUCAAGAAGAUCGGUUGAAAAUCAAAUAAAAUAGUGAAAGCGCAUGCCAGAAGAAAAAUGGCAGCAAGAGUAUGUUAGAAUAUGGAUUUUAUACCUAGAAAGGAUCUAAGAUGAAUUUUUCAAAGCCAGGAAUGUUUAGUUGAACAAUGAUUAAAAAAUUCAAUUUAAAAAAAUAAGUUCCCAAUCAAGGAAGCAAAUAGAGGAGAAGAUGUGUAUAGCAAGGUUGCCAUGAAGUGAAGCCAGGGAAAUUUUGGAUAGAAGGGACCAAUUCACUGCAAGAGCGUUCAACUGUCAAAUGCUUCAACGAGCCAAGCUAUCCAGGUGGAGUGUUAAUCGUUGGCCACAAAUGCUAUCCGAAUAAGCGUUAUCGAAGGAUCCGGACAUGUCUGUCCAGGGGAAGUUGAAUCGUCCUCAUCUCCCAUCUGGUGGCAGGCGCCGGAUGUGAAAUAUCUGGAGAAGGUGGAACGUCGGUCGGAUAGAAUUGCGGCGGUGAGAUAUCCGGAGAAAGCGGGGUGUCGGCCGGAUAGAAUGGCGGCUAUGAGACAUCCGGGUGGAAUUGGGAUGUUGGCCGGAUAGAAUGGCGGCUGUGAGACAUCCGAAGAAAGUGGGAUGUCAGCCGAAUAUAAUGGCGGCUGUGAGAUAUCCGGAGAAAGUGGGAUGUCUGCCGGAUAGAAUUGCGGCUGUGAAACAUCCGGACAAGGUAGAACGUUGGCUGGGCAGAAUUCCGGAUGUGAGACAUCCGGGUGGAAUUGGGAUGUCGGUCGGAUAGAAUUGUGGUUGUGAGAUAUCCGGAGAAAGUGGGAUGUCGGCCAGAUAGAAUUGUGGCUGUGAGAUAUCCGGAGAAAGUGGGAUGUCGGCCGGAUAGAAUUGUGGCUGUGAAACAUCCGGACAAGGUAGAACGUUGGCCGGGCAGAAUUCCGGAUGUGAGACAUCUGGGUGGAAUUGGGAUGUCUGUCGGAUAGAAUUGCGGCUGUGAGAUAUCCGGAGAAAGUGGGAUGUCGGCCGGAUAGAAUUGCGGCUGUGAAACAUCCGGACAAGGUAGAACGUUGGCCAGGCAGAAUUCCGGAUGUGAGACAUCCGGGUGGAACUAGUGAGAAUUUCCGUCCGGGUGGAAUGAGCGAUGCCACAAACCAAGAACCCUCAAGAACUAUGGUAACCUCUGCAUCUGUUUAACCCCAAGAAAAACCCGUUUUACACAGCCUUUAUCAAGUUCCCAUCUUUCUUGGAAUGCUCAUGGUCUCCAUAUCCAAGAAUACCAAGGUAAAGAGAGGAAAGAAACGUAGAUACAGAAGCACACAAAAAGACCAAGAAAGAAAAGAAAAGAAAAAACAGGGGAAAAGAAGACCACCAGUGGGUAUUUUGAAGCCAGAUUGGGACAUAAAUGGGGGCAAGACCCAUAACAUCAAAUUCAAAGGUAAACCUAUAUUCAGAUUACUUUCAGAGGAAACCAAAGACAUUAAAAGGAAUAUUAAAAUAGCAUAAACAUGCAAGUAAACCAGUCUCAACUAAUCAAAUUGUGGCCCUUGCGUCCACACCAAACGACGAGAAUGAAUCUUCAGAAAACUAAGAAGUCAGGAAAGAUUGAAACCAAAUGGUGAUAUAGCAAAAAUCUGGAAACAUACCUGCACGUUCUCCUCUCCAAUUGCUUGGUUCCAGGCUGCUGCACCUUUUCCCGACUGAAAAAUCUGCUCCCCAAACCUUUUUCCAUCCACCAAUCUUCUCCCUCUCUAUACAUGUUCCAAGUCCCUCUCUUCUAUGCUUCCUCUUCCAAACCCCUCUCCUGCCCCCCAAACCUUUUUUCGUCCGCCAAUCUUCUCCCUCUCUACACGCGUUCCAAGUCCCUCUCUUCUAUGCUUCCUCUUCCAGACCCCUCUCCUGCUUUCUUUUCUCGCUAAUGCCCCACUUGUUCUUUUUCUUUUCUCCUUAUAUUCGUAUCAGCCUCUCAAACUCAAUCUGCUCAAGAGAAUCCACUUUCCUUUCUUCUAUUUCCCUUCAUUUUUUCAAAAAUCAAAAUGCUUCUCUCUUCUCAUGCAGGAUCUUCUCUUUCCAUAUGUAUGCAGCCACAUUAAUUCCUUUUUCCUCACAAAAUAUUUCUCUUACCUUUUUGAGUGCACAUACCUUAGUGAGAGUUGAAUAGCAACCCCUAUUCUCUUAUCAAGUCAUACAAAAAAGUGGGUCUAAAAGUGCCUACUGGGCCAAGUGUGUCUAAGUGGGCCUAGAGCGAUGCCUAAUGGGCCAAGUGUACCUAAAAGCUAUCCUAAAAAUAAACGAGAAAGCUUAAGUCUAAAUUAGGGCUGCCAAGAGUCACAAUAAGGGGUUAGAUAAUCCCUCAACCAAAAUCUCCGAGGUGACUCAGAAAAAGGUAAGUUGUACGAGUAGUAAUAGGCCACCAAGGAACUACCGUGGAGCACUGGAAGUGAAUUUAAAGACAUGUGCUAAAGGGACAAAAUUGAGGGUCUACACAUUAUUCAAGGUAGGCAUAUUUUCGAUGUUGCCCUUAUAGCAAAUGAGGUUGUGGAUUCUAAGUUAAAGGUCAACAUUCCUGGCCUUCUCCUAAAAUUGGACAUUGAAAAGGUGUUUGACCAUGUCAAUUGGGACUAUCUUCUUUUUAUUAUGGCUAAAAUGGGGUUUGGGGAAAGAUGGAUUAGCUAGAUUAGUUAGUGUAUUUCCAUUGCUAGCUUCAGUUUUAAUCAACAGAACUCCAUUCGGCUUUUUCCAUAACACUAGAGGCUUGAGACAAGGGGACCCGUUAUCUCCCUAUUUUUUCAUUUUGGUCAUGGAGACUCUCAAUCAAUUGCUAUCUAGAGCCAGUUGUGGGGACUUCAUUAAGGGGUUUAAGGUGGGAAGAAGUAGUGGGAAGGGAGAGACUUGCUUCAUUUCCCAUUUGCUAAUGACACUCUAAUUUUUUGUAAUGUCAAUAGCAACCAUCUGAGAUACUUGAGUUGGGUGUUUUUGUAGUUUUAGGCAAUCUCGGAUUUAAAAGUGAAUAGAGAUAAAAGUGAGGUUAUUACCAUAAGAAGGUUAGAGUCUUGGGAGGAUGUUGCUUCGGUGAUGGGGUGUAGAGUUGGGAAGCUUCCCACUUCUUAUUUGGGACUCUUUUUGGGUGCCUUUUUCAAGUCUUCAAGGGUAUAGGAUGCAAUGGAUGAGAGAUUUAGAAAAAAAUUGUCUCUAUGGAAGAGGCACUAUCUCUCUAAGGGGGGAAGGCUCACCUUGAUAAAAAGCACUCUAUGAGGUCUUCAAAUUUAUUUCCUUUCUCUCUUUGUUAUUCUGCGGAAGGCGUGUGUAAGACUUGAAAAGAUUCAAAGGGACUUUUUGUGGGGCGGUGGUGUCUUAGAGAAAAAACCCCACUUGGUGAAUUGGAGCUUGGUUUGUACUUAUAAAAGGAGGGGGGCUUGGGAAUUUGUAGACUUGUGGUUCUAAACAAAGCCUUACUUGGGAAGCGGAGUUAGAGAUUUGCAGUAAAGAGUGAUACCUUUUGGAAACAAGUCAUAAUCAACAAAUUUGGGUUAGAGGAAAGAGAGUGGUGUUCGAGAGUAGCAGGGAGAGGCUACGGUGUGGGGGUGUGGAAAGCCAUUAGAAAAGAAUGGAAGAGUAUUUGUUGCAGAUAUCGCUUUAUUGUUGAGAAUGGGAAGAAGGUCAAAUUUUGGAAGGACUUGUGAUGUGAGGACUAAACAUUGAAAGAAGUUUUCCUUAACUUAUACUGGUUGGCUGUUAAUAAAGAUGAGUGGGUGUCAAAUGUUUGGGAAGGGAGUGAGGAGUUGGGUUGUUGGAAUCCUCACUUCCCCAGGCAUUUUAAUGAUUGGGAAUUGGAGAAAGUGGAGGGUUUGUUCCUGAAACGGCAUCCUUUGGUAGUGAGAAGAGAAGUGGGGGAUGUAUUGAGUUGGAAAGAAAGUAGGGAUGACAUUUUCUCUGUUAGAUCCCUCUACCAUUCCUUCACAAGGGCCUCUAGUGAUCCUUUUCCUUAGGAUAUUAUUUGGAGGUCUUGGACUCCAAUGAGAGUACACUUUUUUUCUUAGGAAGCAUCUUGGAACAAAAUUUUAACCCCUUGAUCAGUUCAAAAGAAGGGGAUAGAAUAUGCCGAAUAGGUGCUACUUGUGUAACGAGAAAGAGGACACUAACAAUAAUUUAAUCUUAUUUUGUGAAAAAAUUACAAUGCUUUGGAGUUUGAUUUUCUCCAUUUUUGGUGUGUAGUGGGUUUUGCAUUCUUCAAUUAAAAGGAAUUUGCUUAAUUUGCAUGAUGUCUUUGUGGGUAAGAAGAGGGAGAAGGCUUGGAAGGCUGCCCCUUUAUGUUUAAUGUGCACCUUAUGAAAGGAAAGAAAUGAAAGAGCGUUCAAUGAUAUCGAACAAUCAAACCAAGCUAUAAAACAUUCAUUUUUGUAUACUCUUGUAAAUUAGGUUAGGGUAUUUAUAGAGGAUCAUACUUUGUCUAUGAUUGAUUUUAUAAAUUGACUAUGUCUAGUUAGGAGAAGGUUUUUUGGCUUCUUUGCCUAAUUUCUUGGGCGUUCUGAUUGUAUACUUCAUUUGUACUUUUUUUUUGCCACUUCUAGGCGUUUCUAAUACAAGCUUUAUUUACCUAUAUAUAUAAAAAAAAAUGCUUCCACUCCUUUGCCUUGCUUUUGAAGUAAACUAGUUUUAUUUUGACCAAUUAAUGUCACACGGCUUUUAUCUUACCUUCUAUCCUUCAAGCUUUUGAAGCAAAUAGUUUGACCAAUGUCACACGACUUUGACCAUCUCUUCCAGCCUUCAUUGUGCUCUCGUCCACCUAAAAAUGGGAGCAUUUUCUUUACCUGUUGUAGAAGCAACUUAUUCCCCUCGUUUACUGCAAGUUUUGUAGUAAAAAAGCAUCAUCACCAAACACUUGUCACUGUUUUUAGUUAUUACUAUUGGUCAUGAUUCUCUUGUGUUUAGAUUUCUUAGUCGUAUUCUUCAGUUAUUAUUAUUAUUAUCUGUUUGUUCAUGAAAUAUUCAUCUGUAAUAUCUAAUAUUAUUUUAAUAGAUUGAUCAAAGCACCUUUUUUCUGCAAGUUAAUUAUUUGAAGUUACAGUUGAAGUCUUUAUAACUUACAUCUCUUCGUCUCUCUGCUUCUCGAUAAUGACUUCUUCUGUUUUUUUUCCUUCUCCUUCUUCCUCAUCUCUCUACUUAUUGACAAUGGCUAUAUAGCUCACAUCUCUUCAUCCCUCCACUUUUCCACGAUGGUUUUUUCUUAACUCAACUCCCUUCAUCUCUCUUUCUCAACAAUGGCUUCUUCUUCUUCUCGACAAUAACUUUAUAACUCGUAUCUCUCUACUUCUCAAUAAUGGCUUCUUCUUCUUUACUCAAAUCUCUUCAUCUCUCUCCUUCUUGACGAUGGCUUUUUCUUCUCAAUAAUGGCUUUAUAAUUCAAAUCUCUUCAUUUCUCUACUAAAUUCCUGAUAAUGGUUUUUUCUUAACUUAAAGCUUUUCAUUUCUCUCCUUAUCGACAAUGUCUUCUUCUUCUUAACUCAAAUCUCUUCAUCUCUCUACUUCUCGUAAUGACGUUUUCUUAACUCAAAUUAUCUUCAUCUCUCUCUUUCUCCUAACUCAAAUCUCUUCAUCUCUUUCCAUCUCGACAAUGGCUUCUUCUUCUUCUUCUUCUUCUUCUUCUUCUUCUUCUUCUUCUUCUUCCCACUAUGAUGUCUUUCUCAGUUUUAGAGGUGAAGACACUCGUAAUUCCUUCACUGCUCAUCUCUAUAGGCAGUUGUGCCAGAAGGGAAUCAACGUUUUUAUAGAUGAUGAGAAGCUUAAGGGAGGGCAAGCCAUAACCCCUGCACUUGUUACAGCUAUCGAGAACUCCACUGCUUAUGUCGUUCUUUUAUCAGAAAAUUAUGCGUCAUCUAGCUGGUGUCUAGAGGAGCUUGUGAAUGAGUGCAGGAGAACAAAGGGACAGAGGGUUCUUCCAAUUUUCUAUAAGAUCGAUCCAUCAGAUGUGGGGAAUCAAAGGGGGAAAUUUGGAGAAGCCUUGGCUAAACAUGAAAAGAAUUUGGAGGGUAGGGAGAUAGUGCGGAUUUGGAGGGAUGCUCUUACUAAAGUUGCCAAUUUAUUUGGUUGGGAUUCAAGGAAUUGGUAAGUUUUUAAACCCUGCAUGUAUUUUUAAUAUGUUUCUAUUAUUAUUAUUAUUAUUAUCAUCAUUAUUAUUAAAAUGAAAAUUGGUUAAGGAAAUAUUAUGAAUGUAUUAUGAUUGUCCACUUAGACUUAAAUAUAGACUUUCAUAAUUAUAGAAUUACAUCUAUUAUGUGAAACCUUUUAUCUUUAAGUCCAAUCUAAAAUUUAAAAUAGAAUAUGAAGAUUUAGAUACUUAGGUGGUGUUUGUUUUUUUACUCUAACUCUAAAUAGAACUUUAAUGCUUAGAGUGCAUUUUGUAGUGAUUUUAGGAAGUGUUUUUACUUUUUUCAACACUCAAAAUUUUUUAUCUUUCAAAUAUCAAAAAUACUAAAAACAUUUCUUAAAAUCACGGUCAAAUGCACUCUUAAUAAUGUUAAGUAUUAGACUAUUUAUUUUUGUAAUAUUUUAUAUCUAUUAAAUAUUAAAAAGUAAAGAAAAAUCAAUAUGAUACUUUUUCUAUUUUUAAAAAAUUAAAUAUAUUGGUUUUUGUACCUAACAAAAUGUUUAUAAUAAGUUAUAAAAAGUAAAAAAAAAAAAAACAAUUUAAAAUUAGAAAGAAAAUUAUUUUUAGCAAAAAAUUAAAAAACCAAACACUCUCUUAGAGUUGGCAUAAGUCAAACUCCUUUUUGAAUGUUUUAUUUAAACAGUGAUUAGUAAAUUUCUAAACUUGUUUCCUUCCCGAAAAAUAAGGAAAAGAAAAAAUUACUAAAGAAAAUUGCAAUACUAGCGGUCACCAUUUAAACCAACGGAUCAUGCCUAUUAUUCUUUGUUCUGCAAUCAUGGCAGGAAUGAGGCUAAGCUUAUUGAGAAAAUUGUCCAGAGCAUUUUGGAAGGCAUGGACGAGCCUUUGAGAAAAUCAAUUGAUGAUGGUAGGGACCCAGUGGUACGAUUUUUUUAAGAAAAUGAGCGAAUUUAUUCUGAGAACUUUGAUACAAUCGACUAGUAGAAUAACGGCUCGUACUCAAUUAACUAGUCGCCAUGGUAGUGAUAUCGUGAGAAAUUUGAUACAGUAGCUAAUUCAAUAAGGGCUUCUAUACAAUCAGCUAAUCCCAAUGAUAUCAUGAAAGAUUUGAUAAAAUUAACUGCUGAAAUAAGGGCUCUUAUAGAAUUAAUUGGUCCUGAUGAUGAUGCUAUCGUGAGAGAUUUGACACAAUUAGCUAGUGAAGUAAGUGCUCUUAUGAAAUUAAUUGGUCCCCUCGAUGAUGCUGUCGUGAGAGAUUUGAUGCGAUUAGCUAGUGAAGCGGAGGCUCGUAUACUAUCAAUUAUUCCCAAUGAUAAUGGUAUCAUGAGACGUUUUGUAGGUGAAACUCAUCAGGUACCUUCGCGAGCAGACAAAAGGCUUCAAAGGCGCAUGGAGCAAGUGCGUUCCAUCUCUUCUGACCAUGUUGGAGAAGAUUUGAAGAGACAAGGAAAACUUCUUUCAAAAGUAUCAGGGUGUAAAAAUCUAGGUUUGAAAUUCCUAUAAGGGCAAGUUUUCUGGGUUUAACACGGAGCACUACGAUAAAGGCAAGACUUCGUGCCAAACAAGUCCUUAUUGUUCUUCACUACGUGAAUGAUUCAGUAGUCAGCAACUAUGCCAAUGCCUCCAUAUUGAUUUUAAUACUAGAUUCUUGGAAUCUCCUGUAUGUGCUGCUUUUGCAGUCCUGUGAUGAUGUGUUUCAUGGCAGCCCUGCUACAAUAUUUUGUGAAUCGAAGUUGAGUGAUCUUCGUUCCUGUGAGGUGGCCGCAUUGGCAAUCCACUGAACUGGGGUGAUGGAGGUCGUUCUAGCGGAAGUGGUAGGAGAAGAAGCAGGAAAGGGAAAAACCCUAAGAAUGGAAGAUUUUGAAGAUAGGAGGUGAUAGAUAAGGACUGACUCCCACUGCUUGCCAAGGAGCUGAAGCUUUUGAAUUAAAAGGCAUUUUCUUGUAAUAUAAUAGUAUGUUCUUGGACUGAUUUACAUGCUCUAUUUUGACUUCAUCUGCACGGUUCUAAUCAAUAUUAAAAACUUGAAUAUUGUUUUAUUCUAUAAUUAGCUUCUUUUAUUUAUGAUCAUAUUCACUUAAGUACUACUUUAUUCUCUUAUUCAUGUUCACAUAUUAGUAUUCAUAAGAUUGAAAGGAUCCACUUGAUAGUUUUAUUAGUAUAAGGAAAGUCGCAUUGUUCUCCCAUGUCUUGAAAAAUCAUUUGUAUUACUUCCUAAAAAAGCACUUGAUAGACGAUUCUCUGAAAAAUACUUUCAUUAAAAGCACUUUAGAUAAAAAUACUAUUAAUUAAUCGCACUUUACAUGAAUUUGUGGUUCUAUGGAAAAAUAUAUCCAUGUAUAUUAGAACAAGCAUAAUUAUGAUGCAUAUUAAAAGAAAGGCAUGUUUCCACAGUAGUGGAGAAGAAAGGAAAAGUAGUUUGUAUUUUCUUAAAGGAUUCGUGUGAGCAAGUUGUCCACCAAACCUUAUAAAAAAAUGGUUAAAAUAAAAGUCAUUUAAGAAAAAUAGUUUAUUUCUAAAUAUGCUUUCAUGAGUAAAAGUAGUUUGUAUUUUCCUAAAAGAUGCAUAUGUGAGCAAGUUGUCCACUCAACCUUAUAAAAAACGGUUAACAUAAAAGUACCUUAUAUCAAAAGAUGCCUUCACGAGGAAAAGUAGUUUGUUUUUACCUAAAAGAUCCUCUCCUAUUGUUAGAAGAUUCUUAAAAUAAAAAAAUCCUCCACGAAGUUGCUUCUCACUACCGGGCAACCUCCUCUCAUCUUGUUUUAGUUGUUUCAAGCUCUUGUUAGAAGAUUAUUAAAAUUAUCUUUCUUUAAUAUUGCUGCUCAUGAAUGGAACCUACCAAAAGACUUGUGUGUGGACAAUAUAUUUGUUGUUUUAGGAUUUCUUUUUAAUGAUGAAGCAUUUUCUCAAACCUUGGAAUCAAUCGAGCUAGCCUAGUAUGAAGUCUAAAAAAAUUUGAACAAGCAUAAAUUCUACUUUAACCUAAGGUUGGUUAGGGAAUGCUUGGGUCCUUGUUUUAACCAUCUACAACCUUCAAAAAACAAAUUUGAUAUCAUUCAUUUCAAUUCCUAAUGUCCUCAUGUUUACUCACUUUUUUUUACCAAUCCUACUAUAUAUAUACCCAAGUUGAAAAAGUCCAAACUAACUUGCUAUUGACCUAGGUACCUUUUCAAAAUAUUGGUCCUUAUUUCUCAUUCUAUAAUUAUUAAGGAAAAUAAUUAAAAAUAUGUACAAAAUCAAAAUCAAUCAUGACAUAAUAGAAAUUAUAAAGAACAUGUACACAAUCAAAUGCAUAAUGAAAAAAAAAACUCACUCCAAUUUGCAUUUUAAAAAAUAAGUUAAUUUCAUUCACCUCAUCCAAAGUUUUCACUAAAUACACCUAACCUCUAUCGAUUUGAAAUUUCAUCAAGUUUUCAUAAAUCAACACCCUCUCCAUGUUCCUCAAGUUUUCUUCAUGUUUAGUCAAUGCUUCUCCAAAAUUUCCAUUUGUGAUAUCUUACAUGUGAGGGAUCCACAUUGUAGAAAAUAGGGAGAACCCUCUGUCCCUUGGUUCUCAUGCACUCUAGAAUCUUCACCAGCUCCUCCAAACACCACCUGGAAGAAGCAUAAUUUUCUGACAAAAUGAUGACAGAAAACUUGGAGUUUUCAACAUGGUUUUGAAAACCGAAUCGGACUGGCCGGUCAUGGUUUCGGUCCAAUCAGGUCAUGAAUUAGACCGGAAAUAGGUUGAACUAGGAUCGAACCUAUUGAACUGGUGGUCCGACCAGUUCACCGGACAAACCGGUCUGUUCGAUUAAAAUUUUUUUUUUUUUCAGCAUCAAAACGAUGUCGUUUUGAUGUUUCUGGAGUCAAAACGAUGUCAUUUUGGAGGACCUUCUUCCAAACCCUCCAUCUCCGACAAUUGCCGCCCACCCCCAACGCGCUGCAACAGGCUCCCACCAUCAGCCAUUUCACCUCAAUGGCAACCAAAGCUCUACUUCCUCCUCCAACAAUGGCAGCAAGAGCAUCAAGUUCCUCAAGAAGACUCUCUCCUGCACAGACACUAGUUCAAUGCUUUCUACUGAGGUCGUCCCAAAAGGGUUUCUGGCCGUGUGUGUUGGGAAGGAGCUGAAGAGGUUCAUCAUCCUGACAGAGUAUCUGGGUCACCAAGCAUUUGGGGUUCUGCUGAGGGAAGCCGAAGGAGAAUUCGGGUUUCAGCAGGAGGGUGUGCUCAAGAUCCCAUGUGAAGUGGCUGUGUUUGAGAGGAUCUUGAAGGUGGUGGAAGAGAAGAGAGAUGUGUCCUUCUUGUAUGAGUUUGGAUUGAAUGCGGAGAAGGAGAUGAUUGGUUGUUGUUCAUCCUCAGAUUGUGAGCUCACACCUUCUCACCAUCCUCAAAUGAGUAGGUGAUCAGAAGAUGAGAAGAUCAGAUCAUAUCAGAUUUCCUCAAAUUGUUGCUUGUCCCACCCAAUUAGUGAUUUAAAUUUCAAUUUGUAAUAAUAAAUUGGCCGAGAAGAAAAGAAAUAGGCACCGGUUGUAGAUCGCACAACCCCCCUCCCCGACUAGUGGUAGUAGCUGCUCCAACGAUUUAUUUUUAUAUAAUUUUUUUUUUAUGUUUUAUUACUUUUAUAUUUAUUAUUUAAUGUGUUAUUUUUAUUUAUUGAUCAUAAUUUUGAUAGAUAUCAUAAAAAUUUAGAUAGAAUUUAUUUUUUUAUUUUUUUUAUUUUAAUAAUAUAUAAAAUGAUAAAAUAUAAAUUUAUGACGUCACCGAUUCGACCGUCGGUCCAAUCAGUGAACUGUGAACCGGGAACUUUUCCGGUUCAAUGACCGGUCCGAUUAUAAAAACAUUGAUUUUCAAUAGCCACAACAAGCGCAGAAGCUAUGACAUCACCCCUCUCAAGCUUGUCAUUGUCGAUGAAAGUGUCGACUCCUUUGGUGCAUAGCUCCUUAUAGAGAUGGGCAGUGAAGCUAUUGCAGGUGUCUUAUCCUCUAAAGCUCCGGAAACAUAUCAUAACUAUUAGAAUUUUUGGGUUGUGUAUUAAUGGUGUUACUGACAAGUUUUUGAAGAGUGAUGGAUGUUGGGUUAUUGUUGCUGGUUUAUGCUUCUAAUUUGCUAUGAAUAUCUAUACCUACAUACUUACAUUCAGUUCAUAAAUGCAGUUUCUUCUUUUAUUCUACAGAAAGGUUGCAGUCUUAUAUGUAGUUCUAAGUGUGGUUGUGAGUUUAAACCAGCCAUGAUUCAAAUUAUUUGAUACUUUCUUUUCAGGGAACACACUAUCCAAACUAUUUUCGUAACUUCAAAAAUAUGAGUAAAAUUGGGCUACAGCCAAUAAAACUGAAUGAAUUUCUCAAAUUAAAUCAGAAGUAAACAAGCUUAUAAAGUCAUCUUCAUAGAGAGUAGAUGACAAUUGGAGACUCUUCAUUCUCAAAGUUUUUGAACAUCAUGAAAAAUUAUUCUUGGAAAAUCACUAGUGGAAUGCGAUGACCAGGUCAAAUGCUCACUACCAAUCAAAUAAAAAAUUCAGGAACCAAAAAUACAAAUUCUACUUUGCCUUAUUCUAAAACCUAAUUCAUUAGGUACGUUAUAAUUAUCAAAGGCAUUAAAAUCAAUACCAGCAGGGUUCGAAUCAUAUACUCAGAAAAAUGGUGACAAAUAGUUUAAUGAUAUAUGCAUUGUAUAAAAGUUUUAAUAAGUUUCUACCCAAUUUAUCACAUAAAAGAAACCAACUAGGUUCAUAAAUAACAUCAGACAAGUAUAUAAAAUAAUUCAUAAGAAAGCAAGAUUCCAAGCUCCUGGAAUCGCUGCAUUUGCAAAGGAGUUGCUCUGCAGAAAGCAAGAAAAUUAACUCCCUCCAUGGAAAUUCUGAUUCUGGCCUCUGCAAAAGAGGAACAGCUUGUCACAUGGUGUAACUCAAGAUUCUUAUCAUUUCCACCCAAAGAAAGUUUUGAAUGUUACAAUUUGCCAUGAUUGUCAAACUCGUGUUAAACAAAAUGUAGAAGAACCGGAUUUUAUGACUCAAACAUCAUAAAUGUUAGCAAAUGUUCCUGCAGUUUUUAUCCUAGUACUCAACAUCAUAAGUUUCUAAUGCUUAUAACACAAGCAAAACUACUACUAUUAAAAUUGAAUCAUUCACAGUCAGAAAAGAAGUAUGCUGGGUGAUUCAUCAGGCAACUUGCAUUCAUCACCCAACACCAACUUUGCUUCAUUUUCUUAAUCAAACUCCCCAUAUUCGCCACCAAGUGCUAAAUAAAACUCAACACUGUCAACAACUAAUUUUGAAGGCUUAAUAACAAAUUUCAGCAUAAUCAAAGGUCAGAUUCAAACAAAAAUAUCUGCCUAAAAUAUCAAAGAAUACAAGAAAAAAUGACAAAGAGAAUUUCAGUUGCUUCAAUCAAUAUAUCUCAAUAAGAGAAAAGUUGAUGACUCACCGAAAAGUCAGACAGAGAUAUAAUAUAUAGACAUGAUUGGAGGAGUUCGCUGAGAAUUAUUGACGAAAAAUAUCAUCACUGAUUUUGAGAAUGCAUGACCAAAUCAACAGAAAAGAGAAUUUUAUUGGAAAAAAGACCUGGAUGAUGGUAGUCAUUCUUGAGGACGUUUGCGCUUGAGCUUGAGCGUGGGAUCAUUGGUGGGUCCAUCACUGCAGCCACUAGAACUAGAGUCCAUUCCACUUCGAUUGAGUCCUGCUCUGUCACUGCUUCUCUCAACUACAUUACACCCCCUACUCUUAAGCUGUUUUCUAUUUUGUGGAUGGAUUCCUUCAAGAUCUUCUGCAUAUAUAAGACAUACGCCACACUUCUUCACCACAUUGGAUGCACUUGAGUUGAAUCUGUGGGCUGCUUCAAAAGAAAUCUCAAUGUGAUUCCACUCAUUGGGGUCAUUGAAUUGAAACAACCUCAACUGGGAACACGGUUGAUAACCCAGCCAGACAUGUUCUGACCCAACAAUGUUGCCUGUCCAAUGGAAAUCAUGGCCGAAGUCUUUCAAGUCCCCAUAAUUAAAAACAUCAGAAUUCAAAUGGCAUAUAAUUCUCUCAGGAAGAUGUUCAAGAACAGAGCAGAGAGCAAAUCCCAAGAAGUCAUCACUAUACCAAUUUGUAGGUAGCUGAAUUUUUAUAGAAGAUCCCACAUUCUGAUGCCAGAUCCACUCAGGAAUCCCAGUGCCAGGAAAAACAAUACUAAAUGCAAUAUUUUCAAGCAAUUUCUGCAUCAUAACAGGUGAAGUAGUCACAGAGGAAUCAGAAGCAGUGGAAGACACAUAAAUAUGUGGAAAUAUUUGUAAUUCUGUCCUCUUAUCAUCACUGGAUUGGUCCUCAACUGGUUUGGAGCAAUUAUAGAAUAGGAACUGUAGCCCUUGCAAUGUGCUUACACUUGAUGAGCCUGGCAAAAGAGACGUGCAAUUGUGUGCAUCUAUGUCUCGGACACUUGGUGGAAGCUCCGGAAUUCCUGUGAGACUCUGGCACUGCGCCAAUCGAAGGUCUUUUAGGUUUGUAAGUUCACUGAUGCCAGCAGGUAUGCUUAGAAAAUUGUUCCGGCUUAGAUCUAAUUUCUUCAAUGAGAUUAAGGAGCAAAUACCGUUGGGGAUUGCUCCUUCUAUUAGUUUGCAGUCACUUAUGUCUAAAUUUGAUAAGGACCUGAAACUAGAAAAACUAGAAGGCAAGCGCAAACCAAUCCCAUUUGAACUGUUUCCAUGCAAUAACCAGAAUGAAAAGAGCGAACCCAAUGAGGUAGGUGCUAAUAUUUUACAUCCAGGAUAGAUCAAUACUUGCAGGUUUCUCAAAAGAACAAUUGAGUCAGGAGGUUGUGCUAUAGCAGUUCCAUCUGCAUGGAGCUGUGCUAGACGUUGCAGGCUCCCGAGGUUCCUCGGCAAAUUGUUUAAUUAUGAACAACCAGAGACAAUGAGUGUUUCAAGAGAUGUCAAAUUACACAUGCCGUUUGAAAGACUCAGAAGGUUUUUGCAUUUCCUCAGAUUCAAUAGAACGAGGCCUUUGAGACGUUCAAUUGAUGAGGGUAGCACUUCGAUAGGUGUCCCAUCUAAAAGAAGCUCUUUCAAAUUGUCCAUAUUCUCCGUCACUUCUGGAAAACUUUCAAGUUGUGAACAUCCAGAAAGAGAGAGAUUUUCAAGGGAUUUCAACUUACAAAUACUUGUCGGAAGACUCUUAAGAUUUUUGCACCAUUUCAGAUCCAAUAAAACAAGUCCAGUGAGAUGCCCAAUUGAGGAGGGAAGUUCCUCAAUAGCAGUUGAAGCUAAAUAAAGCUCCAAUAAAUUUUCCAUGUUACCUUGAAUAUUUGGAAACUUCUUGAGCCCUGAGCAGCCAGAGAAAUUGAGAAUUUCAAGCGCUUUCAUGUCGAUGAUGCUUGGAAAACAAAUAAGCUUUUUGCAAUUUUUCAAAUUCAAUAAAAUAAGCUUGUUCAGCUUUCCAAUAGAUGGGUGAACCUCAAGCAAACUUGAACAACCAUCAAGAAUUAGUUUCUCCAGAUUGGGCGCACUCACUGUGAUGUCUGGAAUUUCAAUGAGGUGUUGAGAGCAACUAACUCUUAUAGUAUUUAACUUUUCAAGAAGCUGUAACAGGAAAAAAAAAAAAAAUUACUUUGAUAUAUUUGCUUUCAUGGACUUUAGAGUUUAACCAAAGAAGAAAUAUGAAUAAAUAAUCAAUCAUCAUACCAAGUCACCUUCCCAAAGUCGUUUUAAGCUGCUAUAACACAUGUCAAGUUCAACAAGGUCCUCUGCAUAAAAUCCUAAUGGCAAAGAUUCCAAAGGAUAACCAUGCCAAUGGAGAUAUCUUAGCUCAUGAGAAGGGAAUUCAAAGUCUUUAGAUAGCUUUACUUUAUUAUCCUCCCUCGUAGAAGCAGAUUCUAGAUCCCAAUGGAUUUUGAGUAGUCUAAGAUUCUUCAUCAUUGCAAAAGCUUCAGUAGUAAUAUGUAUCCGCGUCAAUCUAGACAAGUUCAGAAGUAUGCCUUCAAUUGCCUUUGUUCCCUGGUAAACAAGAGUAGAUGAUGAGUAGAGCAAAAUACAUAGAAGUUAAAUAAGACAUGUAACUUAAACAAAAAUGAUAUUGUUGAAGCUUAGGUAUUUUGAAUAACCUUAAACAUGAAAGUAUAUUCAUUUGCAUUUUCUCUUACCAUUUUUCUUGUCAAUACACGAUUUACAACCUCAGGAUAGCACAAUCUGCUCCAUUUUCCAGGGUCUCUAGGACAUUCUUGUCGAACAAUUUCUCGUCCCAUUUGUUGUAACAAAUCAUGCAUCCAUAUCUUGUUGUCUAAAAUAGUUACAAAGCACUUAUCACCAAGGACUCCUAUUCCACUCUCCGCAUAGAAGUUGCAAGCAUCUAGGAUUCUAGUAACAAAAUCUUUCUCCUCUCCAUUAAAGAAGCAAGCAAUAUCUAAGAAUAUCUGUUGUUGUGUGUCAUCUAAUUCAUCAUAACUUCUCUUAAGCACACGUUGGAUUUCUUGGUUAGGUUCCCUCUGCAGUUUUUGCAAUUCACUUUCCCAUUGACGUACUGUCUUGCCAUAUAGGAAACAACCCAAAAUCUUAAGACCUAGCGGAAGACCAUUAACAUAAUGUACAACAGAGUUUGAAAGUGUUUCAUAGUCUUCUUUGGGAUGGUUCUGUUUAAAUGCAUUCCAACAAAAGAGUUCAAUAGCUUCCUUGUGAUCUAAUUUCUUAGCCUCAUAUAAUGCAUCCAUUCCAUGCAGCUCCAACAAAUGCUUAUCUCUAGUUGUUACAAUAAUUCUACUUCCUGGACCAAACCAACUAUGGUCACCAGCUAAGGCUUCCAAUUGGUUCAAAUCGUCAACGUCAUCAAGAACAAGAAGAACCUUUUUAAAGCAUAGUCUGUCUUUUAUCAUAUGGACCCCUUCAUCAACAUUCCUUAUAAAGUUCUUCCUUCUUGGCAAGAUAUCAUGAAGAAGUUGUUUUUGUAAAUAAAGUAGACCUCGACUUUUAGAAUCCUCUCUAACAUUAGCAAUAAAGCUAGCAAUCAUGAACUGGGCACCAAUUCGGUUGUAUAAAACUUUGGCCAUGGUUGUCUUACCAAUUCCUCCAAAUCCAUAGAUCCCAACCAUGCGAACAUCAUUUGAUAAUGGAUCUAUUAUUUGUGGAAAAAUUUCUUCCAUUUCUUCCAAACGAUAAUCCAUCCCGAUGAGGUUCUUGUCAACCUGUAAGAGUUUCUGACUAAAUUUCAUCAAAAUAACGCAAGUGAUAUCCUCAAUAAAAUCUGCCUCAGACUUGCUGCCAGAAAGCACAUACAUAGGUGAGCUAACAGAGCAACAAAUGGUAGAAAACAUGAAGUAAACUUGAUUAUGCUUGGUUUAGUACAAAACAUGAAUUAUGGGCAAUUAGAAUUUGUUAAGGGGAUAAGGAUGAAUUAAUUAGAUGUUUCAAGCACCAUUAGAACACUAUAAGAAGAAGAAAGAAAAAAACCUUCUAAAUGUUGCCCUUUAUUUCAUCUUUGCUAACCUCUACCUAUACUGGAAGAUUACUCAACUCCCUUCUUAGAUGAUGUUGGCCUUUAUUUUAAACUUUACACUCUUCCUUUCAUAAGCUUUUUUUUCAUUAGGUCUAUCCUAAGUUAGCAUUUGUAUGUAUCAGAAAACACUAAAAAAUCAAGAAUAGUUGUUUGCCCAUACUAACAUAUUAACCUUAUAAAAGAAUGGAAAGAAAUAGGAAAUCAAUUAAAUUUUAGAUGGGCUUUGAUAGAUCAAUUUAAUGACUUGAUAACUUAAUUUAAGUCAUUAAUAGAUUAAGUAUGUUUAGCAAAAUAACUUAAUAUUAUAAUUUAAAGUAAAAAAUAAUUUUAAAUAUUAAGUCAAAUUAGGUUCUUUAUAAUCUGCAAUCCCUUUUACCUCAUGUCCUCAUGUUUAGUGAGAGUACUACACAAUCAUAACUCCACAUUCACAACCCAUCUUUUAUAGUAAAUAUUUUUUAACCAUUCUAGAUAUCUACAAUAUAUGUUUAACAAAUAAAUUUAUUAUUUAAGAUUAGUCAAAGUAAAUAGGAGUUAAAAUUAGUGAGAGUAAAUAUGAGUUAAUUUGAUGAUUUAGAAUAAAUUUUAAAUUAACUUUAUCAAACAACCUUAAUACUUAAAGUGAAAAUUAAGUAAUAUAUUUUAAGUUAACAACUUAAGAAUAAUUUAAUACUAAUUCCGUCUAAUCUACUCUAUCUAUCGGAAUUCUCCAUAUUAUAAAUUCACUUUAUUUUUUAGGAUAAGAUGCAUGUGCUGAUUAUAAAUUCUAGUAGAUUUCUGAUUUAUCAUUAUGUAUAGAAAGAUAAAAGGAUACUUGCAAAAGAUUAUGCGGAUCGAACAAGCUAUAUUUACCCAUUCUGUAUAUGCCAUCCAGAAAGAUUGCCCACUUCCCUCAAAGCUGCUCUCAACUUCUGUGUAUACUCCAGAGGAAUUUUUCUUUCAUGAUUGGCCAACGCUUCUCCAUAACUCUCCCCCUGAUUUCGCACAUCGGAAGGAUUCACAUGAUAGAAAACUGGAAAAACUAUUUUUCCCAUUUGUCGCCUCGACUCCAUGAUCUCCUUCAACUCGUCCAAACACCACUUGGAAUGAGCAUAGUUUUUCGAGAGAAUUACGAGAAAGCACCUUGACAUCUCAAUAGCUCUCAAAGUAGUUGGCAAAAUCAUUUCUCCCCUGAUAUAAUCCACUCUAAAGGUUCGAAACCCUUUCUGAUACAAAGCUGCAUAGAGAUGAUCUGUGAAAUUUUGUCUGGUAUCUUGACCCCGAAAACUCAAGAAAACUUCAUAUUCCCAUGGACCAAUACAAGUAGAAGUAGAAGAAGAAGACGCCCUUCGAAGAUCCAUCCCAACAAGCUUCUUCUCAACCUGUAAGAGUUCCCGGUUUAAACUCUUCCAAAUAGUGGAAGUAAUCAUCUCAAUAACAUGUGACUCGGGUCUGCAAGUGGCAAAGCAUGACACAUGGGGUGAGUCAAUGGUUGCAAACACCAGCAAAACAUGAAUUAAGUGCCCUGGAUCAUAUAUGCUUUUAGCUUUACUUAGAAAACACGAUUUAUCAUGCAAAGAAAAGAAGUUAUAGUUACCCAUUCCUUAAACACCAUCCGCUAAUCUUCGCCACAUUCCACAACGCUUCCCUCCACCUCUUUAUCUUCGACAUUCCUUCCUCGUCUGCCGUUCUUUCAUGAUCGGCUAAUGCUUCUCCAUAACUCCCCAUCUGUUUUCGCACAUUGGAGGGGUCCACCUGGUAGAAAAUCGGAAACACUAAUUGUCCCAUACACUGCUUCCACUCCAUGAUCUUUACCAGUUCAUCCAAACACCACCUAGAACGGGCAUAGUUUUUGGACAGAAUUACGACACAAAUCCUUGACUCUUCAAUAGCUUUUAAAAGUUCUGCUGCAAUCUCUUCUCCUCUUCGUAGCUCCUCAUCAUCUCUAAAGGUACGAAUCCCUUUCUGAUCCAAAGCUCUGUAGAGAUGAUCUGUAAAAUUAUGGCGAGUAUCUUCACCCAUAAAGCUCAAGAAAACAUCGUAAUUCCAUACACGAGUAGAAAUAGAAGAAGAAGAAGAAGAAGCUCUUUGACUUUGAGGGUCUGCAAAAGCCAUCCACUCUUUACUGUGAGAACUCACUCAACUUAACUUAAAUGGCAGGCAAUUUCUUCAUAAAAGGCGGAAAGAAAUGGCAGGAAAACACUGGUAGGUAGAAAGACAGCGAUGAACUCUGCCUUGGAAGGUCGGGAUGCUGUGUGCUAAAAUUGUUGUGAAGGUCUCCACUGUAUCCCGAAUCUUUUCUAUUGUUUACAAAUUAUUGUCCAUGUAUAUAUCAAAUAUAAAAAUGGAUUACAAUAUUUUUAAUUAUUAUUUUAUUUUAAAUGCAAGAAAGAAGUUUGAUUCCAGCUACCAUCCAUCCACAUACGAUGCCUAAAAAAAAAAUUGAUUGGGUUUAGCUUGACACAUGGGUCUGAACAAACCGGCUUUAGCAUUCAGGUUCUCAUGCCAUAUAUCCAUCAUCGUCUCCGAGGAAGAAAGAAAGCCAUGAAAUCUAGUUUAAAUGAAAUUAACCUUAAAGUAAGUGUUUAGUUUAGAUGUUUGCUAAAAAAUUAAUUUAAAACUUCAUCCGGUGAUAUGAAAUUUAAAUUUUAGAGUUUAUUUACAAAUUAUAAUUUAAAACCAAUUUAUUUUUAAAUAAUUCAGUUCUCUUGGGUUUUGUUUUAUAAAUUCAAUUUAUAUGACAUUAAUUUAAUUUAUAUUAUUAUUGAUUCAAUCAUGGCAGGUGGGGAUGGAGGACGAAAUUUCCUUCCAUUGACCUAAGAAAGAUUCAAGUCUUUUCCUCCCAAUAUUUAAAGACUCAUUGGGAUAUGUAGAUGACAAUGAGAAGGGAAUUAAUUGACUCAUUUUCUAAAAGGAGACACCACAAAAGCCCAAAGUUUAAAAUAAAGUAGCCUUUAUGCUGCCCAAACAAUUCACUACGUAUGACUAGCUCUUUCAACUACUACCACUAUAUGUUUUUAUCAUAAAUUAAUUUGUGGUUGAAAAAGUAUUUUAUGGUGAAAUAAUUUUUUUAUUAAAAAUUAUUAUGGUUAAAAAAAUAUUUUGGGGUAAAAAAGUCUUUUUCAUUAAAAAUUAUUUGUGGGGAUGCUUGAUAUAAGUUGGUGAGUAAUUAUUCUUAGGGUUUUGCUUUGAAAAAACUUGUGUAUAAAAUGAUUAUCUAGGAAUUAUAUUAAGUGAUUAUCUAUAUUUGUCACUUUUAAACUUUAAUAAAAAUUUAGUAAAAGAAUAGUUAUAAUUUAUUUAAUGUUACUAAAGUUAUAACUCUAAGACUGUAAAAAAAUAUUUUUGAAAUACAUUUGUGAAAGUGUUCAUUGGUAAAUUAGAAUAUAGAAUCUACUCUUAAUUUAAAAUAGUAUUAUUAAUUUCUUUGAUUGUAAUUAUAUUGUUAGUUUUUAAUUUAUAGUUGAACUUGUAUAUGCAAAGGAUUGGGUUAAACAUUGAUAGUAUUUUUUUAAUUCAUAAAUUAUUACAAUGUUAAAAUAAAUUUAAAAAUAAAUAAAUAAUGUAAAUUUUGAGGAGGGUACGAAAAAUGUGAUGAAAGUACAAAGAAUAUAAAAAUAGUAUAGGAAAUGUGAAGAAAGUACGAAGAAUUUAAGGAACGUACAAUGAAUGUAACGAGUGUAAGAAGAAUAUGAAGAAUAUACAAAAAAAAUGUGAGAAAAGAACGAAAAAUGUGAGGAAUGGAUAAAAAAUGUGAGGAAUUGAUAAAAUAAUGUGAAGAUAGUAUGAAGAAUGUGAGGAAUGUAUAAAAAAAAUGUAAGAAUGGUAUAAAAAAAUGUGAAAAUGGUAGGAAAGAAUAUGAAGUGAGUACGAAAAAUGGGAGAAAUAUACAAAAAAUGUGAGGAGUGUAAAGAUAAUAUGAGAAGGUAUAGAGAAUGUGAAAAUGACACAAAAAUGUGAGAAGAGUACUAAAAAUAUAUGGUAUGAAAAAACAAAGAGAUAUAUGUUCUUUUCUUAAAUGCGAUGUUGGAGUUAUAUUUUUUUUUAAUUAAAAUGUUUAAAAAUCUUAUAUUUGUUCUUAUCUUUUUAAAAAAUAUUUUAAUAAGAAAAAUGAUAUGGUUCAAAGCAAGCUUGAAAAUGACAUGUACAAAUUUCAAGUCUCCGAAUCAACUAAUUCUCAUUCAAAUUGUCAUUCUCAUGAGCCUUUUAAUCAUCCUAAUGUAGCAACUAAUAAUGCUAUUAUAGUACCUAUGCUACCAACUCUCCUAAAAGCAAUUGUUGUUAGGAAAGGUGUACCCUAACCUUAUAGUGCAUUCACCCAAGCGCCACACAAGGGGAAUUGAUGGAUGCAGCCAACCCUCCGAACUACUAACAAUCCCCCUCCCACCCCCAGCGACACCCCUGGGGUUCAAACCCAUGACCUCGGCUCUGAUACCACUUAUAGGACCUCAGACGCUACCAACUCUCCUAAAAGCAAUUGCUGUUAGGAAAGACGCAUACCCUAGCCUUAUAGUGCAUUCACCCAAGCGCCCACGGCGAACACAAGAGGAGUUGAUGGACGCGACCAACCCUUCACUCUGCCAACAACUAUCUCUAAGAUUUUUUAUAUUUGACAUUCUUGUUUAGGUCACCCUUCUAUUGAGAUUGUAAAGAAGGUGUUCUCACUCUCUAUUUUCUUAGUUGUAUCGUUUGCGUACAAAGGGUCAAGCUUUGUGAUUACUACUCAAAAAGUGCUAUUUCAUAGCUUGUAAUUAACUCUUUUAAACACUUUUGAGUAGUAGUUAUCACCUUUUAACCCAAUUAACAUAUUAAGGACCCUUGCAAUCAAUUCUAAUCAAAUUGUGUUAAGUUUUGGUGUUUUGAUAGCUUUUUGAUCACCAAAGCAAUCCGAGAUUGAGAAGAGUUCUUUGGAAUCCAUGGCAAAAGAUGUCCGGACAGGGCGUCCGGACACACCAUCGGAGGGCGGCGGAACGUGGGUUGUGGCAGGCUAUUGGAAUGACGUAGCAAGGCUUGUGCGCUUUAGCAAUGAUCCUGACAACAUAUCCGGAAUUCUGCUCCGUCGAUAUUACACCCGGAUGUCUCACAUCCGGAAUUCUGCUCCACCGACAUUCCACCCGGAUGUAUCACAUCCGGAAUUCUUCUCCGCCGACAUUCCAUCCGGAUGUCUCACAUCCGGAAUUCUGACGCCGGAUGGGAAAGGAGGGCGUUUCAACUUCCCCGGUCAGACAUAUCCGGAUCUUUUGAUAGCGCUUACCUGGAGAGUUUCGCAGCCAUUUUGCAUAGUGCCGCGGUGUUCUCCUGAAGCUUCCAAAUAUUUGCAACCGACAUUUUGAGAUAUUUUGCUUUAGAUAUUUGAUGUCUAAAUCCCCAAACUCUUCUUAUAACCCACCAAUUAUAGGAUUCCUUAGUUCUUAAGUUUGGAAAAAGGGUGAAUAACCCCUUAUAUAUAGUUUGUAAUCUUCUUUAGAAAAUAUCCAUCUCUCGGGAGCUUGUUCUCAGAGACGGAUCCUUUGUACAGUUUUGCAAGGAAGUAAAAUACAGAGCCUUUGCUCUGCCUUACCUUCUCGUUUUAAUUGUUUUGUAUAUUAUUUACUUUUUAUUUCUAGCCAAUCAAACUCUGAGGAUUUUUCCUCAGAGGAUGAGAGGCUAGGCUCUUCGUCUCUUGGAGUGAAGAAAGCCGGGUAAGUUUCCAUAUGCAUAAAUUGGAAGUUUUGUUGUUUUAGUUUUUAAUGAAGAAAAAGUGUGACCCGUUAAUGGUUUUUAUCUUUUUAGUUAACUUAAAACGCCUUUAAAUCACCUGGGCCAACACUUGAUAAGGCAAGUGAUCUCCAUCCAUUGAGAUGCACUAGUUUAUCUCUUGCGAGCCUUUGGGAAGUGGUUUAAAGGUAGGAUUUUCUAGAAUAGCCAACACUUGGUAAGCUUUUGGACUCCAAGGAGACAUCCAUUAGUUAUCUCUUGCGAGCUUUUGACGGGUAAUCCAAGGUUAAAGAUCACCUUGAAUGGUAAAUGCUAGGUGAGAGGCAUGAGCCAUUGCAAGGUGCAUCAGUGAGAGGGAUUUAAUGUUUGAACCCAUUAAAAGGAAGCAUCUGUACCACACCGGUUAGAGAAUUAACUAUAUGUUAAUUCUCUAAAGCGAGGAAAAGAAACAAGUGACCGGAACUCCCUUUUUGUACAAGGAAUCUAAGCCCAGUGAUCUAAACUCCAAGAAACACUUUUCUUUGUAAUUAAAAUCAGUUACUAUUAUUUUUGGUUAGCUUAAAACCAAUCCUUUUUCAAACAUCUUUAUGUUUUCUUUUAAAGCUAACCUUGAAAUGAAAAGGCACCAAUUCAUCUUUGAAUUAAUAUCAAUUGUGAAAUGAAAACCCAUCCUAGUGAACGAUCCUAGAGCCACUAUGCUAUAGUAGCUUUGUCUUUGCUACCCUAGUUCAUGGUGUAAUAGGUUAUAAAUUUUGUUGAUUACUCCCUGAGAACUACAAUCAAGGGAUACCAGCUGGACACGAAUCAGCUAAGACACCAAUUGGGAACGAAUCACUUUGUCAAUCAAUAUUUGUUCACUUCAAAAAUCUUGUAGAAAACCACUUUAACAUUAAGAUAAAAUUAUACCCAAUUGAUGGUAGGGAUGAGUUUAAACCUUCUCAUUCUUAGUUAAUCAUGACAUUAAACAUUGAUUGUCUUGUCCCAAAACUCCAUAGUAGAAGGCUCAGGUAGUAUGUAAGAAUCAUUAUGUUGUAGGUUAGCCUUGUUUGCUCAAGCAUUUAUGCCUUUCAAAUUUUGGGUGUAUGCAUUUCAUGUUGCUAUUUUUCUCAUAAGAAAAAUGGCUUCUUAUAUGUUAAACUUUCAAUCUCCCUAUCAGGUUCUUUUUAGAUCAAUUCUUGAUUAUUCUUCCUUUAAAUCCUUUGGGUGUCUUUGUAAUCGCUUUAUUCAUCUUUUUAAUAAAUAGAAACUACAAUAUUGGUCUACUAAAUGUCUUUUUGUCAGUUAUCACACUCCUCACAAAAUGUAUCUUUGUCUUUAUUAAACCUUUGAUAAAGUUUACAUCACUCAUCAUGUUGUUUUUGAUGAAUCUUGUUUUCUUGUGGUUGUAGGCACUCUCCCUAGUGUUUCUACUAACUCAUCUCCUUUCCUUAUUUUUCCACUUGCUUUUAUUCAUGUCUUUUUCUUCUCCUUCUCAUGGUUCCUUCAAUACUUUACAUUCUACUCAUCAUUCUUCUUUUGUUUCCCCUAUGUCAUCCCCUAUUCAACUUGUGGUUUUGGACUCUAAGAUGCAUCCAUUACCUCCAACUAUUAAUACUCAUCCUACGCUCACUCAUGUCAAAGCUGGUGUUUUUAAACCUAAGACCUAACAAGCUAAUGCUUCCAUUGAGUUAUCUAAUUUUUAGCAAUUUAUCAAGGAUCUUCAUUGGUAAAAAGCUAUGGAAACUAAUUAUGAUGCCUUAAUGGAGAAUGAUACCCAUACACUAGUUUUUCUACAUUCAAAAGCUAAUAUUGUUGGUUGCAAGUAGGUUUAUAAGUUCAAGUACAAUCCUAAUGGCAACAUUGAACAUUUUAAGUCAUGCUUGAUUGCCAAGGGAUUUCAUCAAACACCUGCCAUUGACUGGUUUUAGUCCAGUGGUCAAAGUGGCUACUAUUUGAAUUUUUCUCAUGAUUACUCUCUCAUUUGGUUGGAUGAUUUGCCAAUUAGAUGUGCAUAAUGCCUUUUUAUAUGGUGAUUUACAUGAGCAAGUAUUUAUAUCCUAGCCAUAAGGAUUUUUUCAUCCCAGUAUCUUGACUAUGUUUGCAAGCUUAACAAAGCUCUCUAUGACCUCAAAUAGGCUCCUCAUGCCUGGUUCACCAAAUUAAGAUUGGCCUUAAGCAGCUUGGGUUUUAGAUGUGUAAGGGAUGAUAAUUUAAUGUUUGUUUAUUAUUUAGCCUCAUAUCUUAUCAUUAUCUUGGUCUAUGUUAAUGGUAUAUUAGUUAUUGGUAGUAGCUCUACUCAAGACCCUCAAUUGAUUGUUUUCUUUAUUGCUUCCUUUCUUUAUAUGAUCUUGGUGUUAUCAAUUAUUUUUUUGGUGUUGAGGUCACUCAUACAUUUGGAGCCCUUCUUCUUACUCAACAUAAGUACAUUAAGGACUUGCUUAAUUGCACAAAGAUUCUCACUUGUAAACCAACUGCUACUCCUAGUUGUGUUAGUCCAACCUUGCCUCAAUUUGAUACUUGAUAAGUCCAUUUAGAGCAACUUAUUAUCUAUGAUUUAACUUGAUAUUUCAUUAGUUUAAGAGUAAUUUUAUCUCAACAAUCAUUAUUUUUAUUGUUUUAGGUCUCAAAUAGCCAAGAGUAUGAAAAGUGAGCAAUAUGAGGCAAAAUUGGAAGAAAAAAUGAAGUUUGACGGCCUCUUACGUGACAAUUUGCGUAACUCACCCGAGAAGAAAGCGCCAUUGCGGGAAGGACUUAAGCGCCACGGCGUACGCAUGUGGAAAAUCAUAGUUGGGGACUCGAGACAAAACCGUCGCAAUUGGAGAAGCUUGUCCGUAGCGGCGCCCAAAGGAAUUUCAGAAAUCCUAAGAACCCGAGACUAAAGCGCCACGGCGGGAGACACUGAGCGCCACGACCUGAUAUUUAAAAUUUGAAAAUUAUUCGUCCUUAUCUCAUUCUGUUCAGAUCAGAAUUAGGUGGGACAUCAGUUUACGAUAUUGGGGCUAUAAAUAGACGAAAGUAGGGUUUAUUUGGGGAUUUUGGAGACUUGGAAGAAUGAGGAUCUUGAAGACCUAGGAGAAGAGAGAGCUUGGAGAACAAGAAGGAAAUUUGUAGAUUUUCUUCUAUUUGUCUGGUUUAUUCUUCCAUUUUCUUUAUGAUUGUAAUUCAAGAUGUUUGUUCUUCAUCUUAAGAUGAACUAAUUUCCUUUGUCUAGGGCUGAGAUGUAGCUCAAUCACGAUUUUUGUUUUUGAUUGGUUUAAAUUAAUUCUCUGUUUUGCAUCAAUUUAUUUGUGUAUCUAUUCUGCGCUUAAUGCUCUCAAUUCUUAAGGGCCCAAGUUUUGAUUGAUUUUAUGAUUUAGGUUGAUAACGAGAGUUAGAAUCUAAAUUAAAUCCAUAGAAUAGAUUACGUUAGAAUGAAUGAAUAGUAGAGAUACAUUACCAUGUUUUAAGAGAUUAAUAGUUAAAUCUAUAAUAAUUCCAUAGAUCGUAAUUACUCCUUUAGACUUAAAUUCACAUAAAGAUAUGUUAGGUUAGUAAUUUAAGGAGCAAUCUGAUACAUUUUGAGAGAAAAUAUUGGUUGGCUUAGGGAAAUAAAUCUCCAAAUAAAGCAUAACAGGAAUUAGGUCAAGCAAUCAAUUGCAUGAAAAGUGUUUGUAGUGAAAUCAAAAGCCCUAGAUCGUUUAAAUCAUAAGAGUUUGAAUUUAUUUUCUUUAAUUGUUUAAGUUGUUUUCUUUUACAACUUUAAAUAUUUGGUUGAUCAAAUAGUAAUAGAAAUAAUAAAUUUUAGUAAUUAGUAGCAUAGUCCUUGUGGGUUCGAUAUCCGUACUUAGGUACAAUUAUAUCACUUGAACAAUUCGUUUACUUACGAACCAACACAUCAAGUUUUUGGCGCCGUUGUCGGGGACUAUUUGUUACUAAUAUUAAUUCCAGUUAUUUAUGUGCUAAUUUGAUUUAUUUUCUUUUUAUUCUCACUCAAUUGUUUUUCUUUUUUUAGGUUUUCUUAAUGUGUGAGACGUACAAGGAGUCUGAACUUAGUACCAAUCGACCUUGAUAUCAACAAAACACUACGAAAACUAAAUCGAAAACGCAAGCAACAAGUAAUUCAAGAGGUUCCUGCAAUGGGGGAUGAGAAUCAUGUUGAUAAUGGAGUCCCAAACAGGGUACUCAAGGAUUAUUAUGUUCCUAAUGUGGGUGUCUCAAGCAUUCGAAGGCCACCCAUCCAAGCUAACAAUUUUGAGAUCAAACCGGUAAUUAUUCAAAUGAUUCAAUCUUCGAUUCAAUUUGGAGGAUUGGCCAAUGAUGAUCCUAAUCUACAUAUUGCAAAUUUCUUAGAAAUUUGUGAUACCUUCAAGCAUAAUGGUGUGACCGAUGAUGCAAUAAGACUUCGAUUGUUUCCAUUCUCUCUAAAUAACAAGGCUAAGGCAUGGUUAAUUUCAUUACCUCCGGGGACAAUCACUACAUGGGAUGGACUAGUUAACGCUUUUCUUACUAAAUCCUUCCCACCAGAAAAAUCUGCAAAAAUGAGGAAUGAUAUAACUAACUUUUUACAGCAAAAUCAAGAGUCUCUUUAUGAAGCUUGGGAAAGGUUCAAAGAUCUUUUAAGAAAGUGCCCACACCAUGGCUUACCAAUGUGGAUGCAAGUGCAAACGUUCUACAAUAGUUUGCACCCUAAUACUCAAACCAUGGUGGAUGCAGCAAGCGGAGGAGCUUUUAUUAAUAAGACAUCGGAUGAGGGAUAUCAACUUAUAGAAGUGAUGGCUAGCAACAAUUUCUUGAAGUCUACGGAUAGAAAUGCACAAAAGAGGACAGUCGGGGUUCAUGAUAUCGAUGCUUUUAAUAAUUUGGCUGCUCAAGUUGCAAUUUUAAAUAAUAAUUUUAAGAAACUGAAUGUUGCUACUGUUUCUAAUCUAGUUUGUGAAAAUUGUGCAGGUAAUCAUCAUAACUUAGAGUGUCAAGUUGGAGGCCCAUAUGAAGCAAAUCCAUCCAAACAAGUGAACUAUGUGACCAAUAAUCAACGUCAAUACAAUCCCAACUCCAAUUAUUUCAACCAAGGGUGGAGGAAUCAUCCGAACUUCUCAUGGAGUAACAACACUCAUGUGCAAAAACCACCUUCCGGUUUCCAAUCUCAAGAUAAUAAGCCAAACUUGGAAGAAGUUUUCACCCAAUUUAUACAAAAGACUAACGAUUUUAUUGAUGAUACUAAAGCAAAUUUCAGGAACCAAGGUGCAAGUAUUCGCAACCUUGAGCAUCAAGUGAGGGAGAUUUCUAAGUUAUUGACGGAGAUAACACAAAGAGCACUUCCUAGUAUCACAAAGACGAAUCCUAAGGAGCAUGUAAAGGUCAUAACUCUUAGAAGUGGGAAGUAGUUAGAACAAUCAAAGGAAGCCGAGUAGCAAGCAAAUAAGGAGAAUACUUCAGUUCCCAAGGAACAAGAUGCUUCCACUUCUAUAUAGCCAUCUAUUCCAAAACCAUCAUCUAAUGCCAUUCUUUUUCCUCAAAGGCUGAAAAAACAAAAUUUAGAUAAGCAAUUUUCUAAAUUUAUUGCUAUUUUUAAGAUCUUACAUAUCAAUCUUCCUUUUGUAGAUAUGCUGGAGCAAAUGCCGAAAUAUGCUAAAUUCUUAAAGGAGGUGUUAUCAAAUAAGAGGAAAUUGAUGGACAAUGAGAAUGUGAUGCUCACUGAAGAGUGCAACACCAUUCUUCAAAGGAAGCUUCCUCCUAAGCUAAAAGAUCCAGGGAGUUUCACUAUACCUUGCACUAUUGGUGAUUUUUAUUUUGAUAAAGUUUUAUGUGAUCUAGGUGCAAGUGUUAAUUCGAUGCCUCUUUCUAUUUUCAAGAAACUUGGACUAAGGGAAGUAAACCCUACUACGGUAUGUUUGCAGCUUGCGGAUAGAUCUAUCAAACAUCCAAGAGGCAUUAUUGAGGAUGUUUUGUUAAAAGUGGAUAAGUUUAUAUUUUUGGCUGAUUUUAUUGUAUUAGAUAUGGAAGAAGACCGGGAUGUUCCACUUAUAUUAGGAAGACCUUUUCUUGCUACAGAUAGAACUCUUAUAGAUUUUCAUCAAGGUAAGUUGAUUUUAAGGGUUCAAGAUGAAAAAGUUACGUUUAAUGUUUUUGAGGCUAUGAAAUUUCCAUCUGAUAUUGAUGCAUGCUUUGCAAUCAGUGUUUUUGAUAGGGUGGUAGCUAAAACAUUUCAUGAAACUUUUCCCACUUCACCUUUAGAAAAUUGUAUAAUGAAUGGUAGAAAUUUAGGAACUCUUUGUGAUGAUGAUGAUGAUAUAAUUGAAUGUGUUAAUAAUCUUGAUGCAUUGCUAACUUAUGAGUUUCCAAGAAAGUUAAAAUUUGAGGAAUUAGAGGCCAUUCAUGUUAACAAUCAUACAUUAAAGAAGAAGCUUCCUAAACUUGAACUUAAAUUGUUGCCAUCUCACCUCAGGUAUGCUUUCUUAAAAGAUUCUAGUUAAUAUCCUUUUAUUAUUAACUCUUCUUUGAAUGAUUUGGAGGAAUAAAAACUAUUAAGAGUUUUGAGGGAGCAUAAGAAAGCUAUUGGAUGGACUAUUGAUGACAUUAAUGGAAUAAGCCCAUCGAUUUGUAUGCAUAAGAUCCUAUUUGAAGAAAGCUACAAGCCAACAGUUCAACCACAACGAAAAUUAAAUCCAUCUAUGCAAGAAAUGGUUAAGAAAGAGGUUGUGAAGCUUUUGGAUGCAGGUAUAAUUUACCCAAUCUCGGAUAGUACAUGGGUAAGUCCAAUUCAAGUAGUUCCUAAGAAGGGAGGUAUAACUGUAGUGAAGAAUGAUAAUAACGAACUUAUCCCCACAAGAAUGAUAACCGGAAGCUUAAUGAUGCCACAAGAAAUGAUCACUUUCCUUUACCCUUCAUUAACCAAAUGGUGGAGAGACUUUCCGGUCAUGAUUAUUAUUGUUUUCUAGAUGGAUAUUCAGGAUACAAUCAAAUCCCCAUAGCACCGGAAGAUCAAGAGAAGACCACUUUUACAUGCUCAUAUGGCACUUUUGCUUACUGACGAAUGCCAUUCGAUUUAUGCAACACUCCGGCCACUUUUCAACGUUGCAUGAUGUCCAUUUUCUCUGAUAUGAUUGAAAAAUGCAUUGAAGUGUUUAUGGAUGAUUUUUAUGUUUUUGGUUCUUUUUUUUAUGAUUGCCUUUCUAAUCUUUCUUUGGUUUUGUAGCGAUGUGUUGACACAAACUUGGUUUUAAAUUGGGAAAAAUGCCAUUUUAUGGUAAGAGAAGGUAUUGUGUUAGGACAUCGAAUUUCUGUAAAAGGAAUUGAGGUGGAUCGUGCUAAGAUAGAUUUGAUUGAGAAGUUGACACCACCUACAAAUGUAAAGGGAGUUAGAAGUUUUCUUGGUCAUGCAGGAUUUUAUAGAAGAUUCAUUAAGGACUUUUCAAAAAAUUUCUAAACCUCUUUGUGAUUUAUUGGCUAAGGAUGCAGUUUUUGAUUUUUCUAAAGAAUGUUUAAAUGCUUUUGAAACUCUUAAGUCUAAACUGAUAUCUUCUCCUAUUAUUGUUGCACCUGAUUGGGAAUUGUCUUUACAUUGAUGUGUGAUGCUAGUGACUUUGCUAUAGGUGCUAUUUUAGGGCAACGGAAAAGUAAAAUUUUUCACGUGAUUUAUUUUGCUAGCAAGGUUUUAACAGAGGGUCAAGUAAAUUAUGCAACCACUGAUAAAGAACUUUUAGCAAUUGUUUAUGCUUUUGACAAAUUUCGAUCUUAUUUGAUAGGGUCUAAGGUGAUUGUCUAUACUGACCAUUCAACUUUGAGGUAUUUAUUUGCUAAGAAAAAGGCAAAGCCAAGGCUACUUUGUUGGAUCUUGCUAAUACAAGAAUUUGACUUGGAAAUCAAAGACAAGAAAGGAACUGAGAAUUUAGUUGCAGAUCAUCUUUCUCGGAUGAAUCAUGUGGAGCCUAAUGAAGAAGUUGAUGAUGAUAUUAAUGAAAGAUUUCCUGAUGAGCAACUUUUUGCAGUUGAAAAAGCGUCAUGGUAUGCAGACAUUGUUAACUAUUUGGCUAAGAAGAUUUUGCCUCCCAAGCUUACUUAUCAAAGGAGGAAGAAGUUUUUCUCAGAUCUCAAGUACCAUUUAUGGGAUGAUCAUUUCCCAUAUAAGCAAUGCGACGAUCAAAUAAUUAUGAAAUGUGUGCCGGAAGAGGAGAUGGAGAGUAUUCUGCAUCAUUUUCAUUCUCGUGAAGUUGGAGGACAUUUUGGAGCUACUAAAAUUGCAGCCAAAGUUUUACAAUCAGGAUUUUAUUGGCCUUCUCUUUUUAAAGAUUCAUUUAAUUUUGUUGCCAAUUGUGAUAGAUGUCAAAGGGUUGGAAUAUAUCUAGGGAAAAUGAGAUGCCUCUAAUAAAUAUUUUAGAAAUAAAAUUGUUUGAUGUAUGGGGUAUUGAUUUUAUGGGUCUUUUUCCAUCCUCUUAUGCUAAUGGUUUUAUUUUGGUUGUUGUAGAUUACGUUUCCAAAUGGGUUAAAGCUGAGGCACUGCAGACCAAUGAUGCUAGAGUGAUGGUUAAAUUUCUUAAGAAGAAUAUUUUUGCAAGAUUUGAUACACCAAGAGCUAUCAUAAGUGAUGGGGGAUCUCAUUUUUGUAAUAGUCAAUUUGAGUCACUAUUGGGUAAAUUGGAGUAACACAUCGUAUAGCUACUCCUUAUCACCCGCAAACAAGUGGUCAAGUUGAGGUAUCUAAUCGUGAGCUCAAGCGAAUUCUGGAGAAAACAGUUAAUUCUUCUAAGAGGGAUUGGUCAAGUAAGUUGGAUUACGCUUUAUGGGCUUAUAGAACGGCAUUCAAGACACCUAUUGGGAUGUCUCCAUAUCAAUUGGUUUAUGGCAAAUCGUGUCAUCUUCCGGUUGAGUUGGAGCACAAAUCAUUUUGGGUUGUUAAACUUUUGAAUUUUGACUUACAAACUGCAGGGGAAAAGAGAUUGUUACAAUUAAAUGAGAUGAAAGAGUUUCGUAAUAAUGCUUAUGAGAAUGCUAAGAUUUAUAAGGAUAAGGCAAAAAGAUGGCAUGAUAAGCAUAUUCAGAAGCGCAAUUUUGAAGUUGGUCAAUAAGUUCUUCUUUUCAACUCACAUCUCAAGCUUUUUCUGGGUAAAUUAAGAUCGCGAUGGUCUGGUCCAUUCAUAGUUAACAAGGUUUUACCAUCAGGAGCAAUAGAAGUUCAUCAUCCAUCAAAGGAGACUUUUACAGUGAACGGGCAACAAUUGAAGCACUAUUUGGGAGGAAAUUUUAGCACCGAACGGGUGUCUGUUGUGCUUUCAAUUCCAAAGUACAAGAGUGGAGAAAGUCUAGCUAACAACUUAAAUUUUAGCGCUUUUCGAAAGACAACUCGAUUUAUUUUGAGCAAUUUUUAUUUUCGAAUCUUGAAUUAUUUUUAGUUGUUAGGAUUUUUAUUAAUUUUGUUUUUAUUUUGUUUCAAAGUUAAUUUAGUUAGUGAAUUUUUAGAGUUAAUUGUUUGGUAGUUUAGGAUUAAUUUUUAUUUUUUUUAUUUUUAACUAUUUUUCCUUUAUUUUCAGGAGAAAAAGGGCUUUUUACAUACCCAGUGAAAGGAGCCGCAGCGGGAGGCAUUGAGUGUCGCGGUUGACUCUUCAAAUGCUACUUAUAAAGGACCCGAGGCUAAACCACUGCAGCUAGUAAGGCUUUGCGCCGAAGCAGUCACCCCCAAUUGAAUUUCUCUUAUAAAAAUUAGGGCUUUGCGCCGCGGCGAAAAGACUUGAGCACCGCUACGCGAUGAGUAAAUGGGAGUUUUAAAAGGGCCAUUUUCCUUCAUUUUUCACAAACAACUUUUCUCAUUUUCUCAUCUUCUCUCCAUUUUCUCUCUAUCCUUCGAUCCUAAUCAUAUUUAAACUCCGAAUUCUUUGUUUUCUUUUGGGAUUACUCAUGGGUUUUGGAGAUUUGGCAAGAUUAAAGCUUGAUUUGGUGUAAUUUUGGAAGGAAAAUUGCAUAUCCAAUCCGUCUUCUUGUUGGGUCACGAUUUGGGGUGAUUGUUUCUACCUUUUUGCUGCAAUUUGGACACUACUAAAUGAUAAAUGAGCGAUUUUUUUAUGUGCCCCAAAAAUUCAUCAAAAAUGGAGUUUUUUCUUUUCCUUACUUUAUUUUCUUUUGUUCAUUGAGGGCAAUGAAAGUAAUUAAGUUUGGGGGGAACGAUUAAUUUCUUCUGGGUUUAGCUAAGUUCAGUUAAAAAUGUUUUUUUCGAAACUUCUUGAUUUUUUAGCAUUAUUUUUCGAGUUGAUUCAUAUAGUCAAUGAUAAUAUCUUGAUUGCUAUGAUGCGUGGUUGUUAAGAUGAAAUUUGAUAUUGCUUAGAUUUUGAGGAUAAUUUGGAUGUUUGUUUUGUUUGGAUUUGAGAUUCAAUGUUGGUCUAGUAUGGUGAUUUUGAUAACAAUCCCAUUUUGCAUGCUUAGAGACAUUUUAUUUAGACAAUUGUGGAUGAUAGAACUUGGCUGAUUGUUACUCAAGGUGAAAUCCUAGAUUUUCAUGUUACUUAGGAGAUGAUUUAGGCCAUUUUUAGAUCGUUUGAGCUUUUCUUACCUUACCCAAAAUAUUUUAUCCGCUAGUUACCUAUUUGAGCCUUUUUAUAUAAUGUUAGCCUUAUUUUUCUUUCUUUAAGCCUAUCUUCCUACCUAUUUUAAGCCUAAACACUUAUCCUUACCCUUGAUGAGAAUAUUUACAUGUUUGUUAUUUAUUUUGUUUGAGAGCAAAAAUAUCUUAUUGAGGAAAAUAUGGAAAUGUGUAUUGUUAACCUAGUUAUAAUAGAGAAAUAAGUUUGGGGGUUUUGAAGAAUAAAAGGAAGAGUGUGCAUAAAAAAAAAAAAAAAUUGGCAUUAGGGUGAAAUAUGUGAAAAGUGCUUAUGAGCACGAAAGAAAGAAAAAGUAUGAAAAGUUUCAAGAAGGUAGGAAGUGAUGUUAAUAUUAAAAGCUCCUUGAGUCUGUUACAUUUUGUUCAAUUGUGAAUGUUCUCAUUCUUUGAAUUUAUCCUUUCCAUUCUUUGUGAGCCAACACCUUAGCCUAACAUUACAAGCUUAUUAAAGACCUUUUGAUCCGAGGUAACAUGAUGAAUAUACAUUAGUGUAGGAUAGCAAGAAAGCCAAGCCUAUGAGAUUCGAUAUCAUACAUUACUUGUUAGAGGUCGACUUUGUCUAUAAUUGUUUUUAUAAAAUCAUUUAGGUAGUAGAAUUGAUUGUUUGAAAGGUUGCUUACUUGGAUUUUUCAUAAGAUUGAAGGUUUGAAUGGAAUGAAUGUCUGAGUAAUCCUUCUUGAUUCGUGCCCCGUUAGUGUACCUUGAUUUUUGGUCCCCUGAUGGGAGUAAUCAACAAAAUUUAUAACCUAUAUCACCAUGCACUAGGAUAGCAUAAGCUAGUAUAGCAUAGUGGCUCUAGGAUCGUUCACUGGGAAGGGUUUUCAACUUACAAUUGAUACCAAUCCAAAGUUGAAUUGGUCCCUUUUCAUUUCAAGGUUAGCUUCAAAAGAAAACAUAAACUUUGGUUGAAAAAGGUUUGGUUUCAAGCUAACUAAAAAGAAAGUAAUGGGAAUUACUUAUAAAGAAAAAGCGUCUCUUGGAGUUUUAGGAUCACUGGGGUCAGGCUCCUCAUGCAAAAACAGAGUUCCGGUCACUUUGGUUCUUUUCCUCGCAUUGGAGAAUUAACAUAUAGUUCAUUCUCCAACCGGUGUUGUACAGAUGCUUCCCUUUUAUGGAUUUUAGUACUAAUUCCCUCUCACUGAUGCAUCUUGCAAUGGCUCGUGCCUUUCACCUAGCAUUUACCAUUCAAGGUGAUCAUUAACCUUGGAUUUCUCUUCUCAAGCUCGCAAGAGAUAACUAAUGGAUGCCUCCUUAGAGUCCAAAAGCUUACCAAGUGUUGGCAAUUCUAGAAAAUCCUACCUUCAAGUCACCUCCCAAAAGCUUGCAAGAGGUAAACUAGUGCAUCUCCAUGGACGGAGAUCAGUUGCCUUACCAAGUGUUGGCUCAGGUGAAUUGAAGGCGUUUUAAGUUAACUAAAAACAUAGAAAUCAUAAACGGGUUACACUUUCUCUUCAUUAACAACUGAAACAACAAAACUCUCAAUUAUUGCAUUCGGGACCUUACCCGGCUACCUUAGCUCCAAGAGACAAAAAGGCCUAGCCACCCAUUCUCUGAGGAAACAUCCUCAGAGCUUGUUUGGCUAGUAAUGAAAAAUAUAAUCAAAUUGAGUAGGUAAGGCAGAGCAAAGCUCUGUAUUUUACUUCCUUUCAAACUAUACAAAAAGUUGUCUCUGAGAACAAGCUCCCGAGCUCCCCUUUUGUAAAGAAAAUUACAACUAUAUAUAAGGGGUUAUUCACCCUUUUUCCAAACUUAAUAACUAAGGAAUCCUAUAAUUGGUGGGUUACAAGGAGAGUUUGGGGAUUUAGACAUCAAAUAUCUAAAGCAAAAUAUCUAAAAAUGUCGGUCUCAAAUAUCUGGAAGCUUCAGGAGAACACCGCGGCACUGUGCAAAAAUGGCUGCGAAACUCUCCGGGUAAGCGCUAUCAAAAGAUCCAGAUAUGUCUGACCGGGGAAGUUGAAACGCUCUCCUCUCCCAUCCGGCGUCAAGUGCUGGAUGUGAAAUAUCCGGAUGGAAUGUCGGCGGAGCAGAAUUCCGGAUGUAAGACAUCCGAGUGGAAUGGCGGCGCACUUUCCUAUCCGGACUCCCUCAGGGAGAAGCACACGGCACUCGUGAUCAUCACACCCCGGACGAUAGCAUAUCCUAUUCGGAUAUGUUGUCCGGAUUAUUGACGCCCAUGUUCCUCCGCCCUCCGAUGGUGUGUCCGGACGCCCUGUCCGGACAUCUUUUGCCAUGGAUUCCAAAGAACUCUCCUCAAUCUCGAAUUGCUUUGGUGAUCAAAAAGCUAUCAAAACACCAAAACUUAACACAAUUUGAUUAGAUUUGAUUGCAAGGGUCCUUAAUAUGUUAAUUGGGUUAAAAGGUAAUAACUACUACUCAAAAGUGUUUAAAAGAGUUAAUUACAAGCUAUGAAAUAACACUUUUUGAGUAGUAAUCACUUCUCAUUUUUGUAAUGUUCGAUAGAUUCUUGACGGCUUUGUGUUAUUAGUAAUUUUUGAGAUAAUAUUAUGAAUCAAACUUGACAAAUGAAUUUGAUUCUAGAAGUUUGAGAAGUUUUGAGUCUUGAUUUAGUUUGUGAUUUAAUUAUUUUUAGAAUAGUUUUAGGUUAGAUUUUAUUUUGUUUUUGCUCGAGGACUAGCAAAAUGUUAAGUUUGGGAGAAUUUGAUAAGUCAAUUUAGAGCGACUUAUUAUCUAUGAUUUAACUUGAUAUUUCAUUAGUUUAAGAGUAAUUUUAUCUUAACAAUCAUUAUUUUUAUUGUUUUAGGUCUCAAAUAGCCAAGAGUAUGAAAAUGGAGCAAUAUGAGGCAAAAUUGGAAGAAAAAUAUGAAGUUUGGCGGCCUCUUACGUGACAAUUCGCGUAACUCACCCGAGAGGAAAGCUCUGCCGCGGGAAGGACUUAAGCGUCGCAGCGUACGCAUGUGGAAAAUCAUAGUUGGGGACUCGAGACAAAACCGCCACGUCUGGAGGUGCUUGUCCGCCGCGGCGCCCGAAGGAAUUUUAGAAAUCCUAGGAACCUGAGACUAAAGCGCCACGACGAGAGACAAUGAGCGCCACAACCCGAUAUUUAAAAUUUGAAAAUUAUUCAUCCUUAUCUCAUAUGUUCAGAUUCGAAUUAGGUGGGACGUCAAUUUACGAUAUUGGGGCUAUAAAUAGACGAAAGUAGGGUUUAUUCGGGGAUCUUGGAGACCUGGAAGAAGGAGGAUCUUGAAGACCUAGGAGAAGAAAGAGCUUGGAGAACAAGAAGGGGAUUUGCAGAUUUCCUUCUAUUUUUCUGGUUUAUUCUUCCCUUUUCUUUAUGAUUGUAAUUCAGGAUGUUUGUUCUUCAUCUCAAGAUGAACUAAUUUCCUUUGUCUAGGGCUGAGAUGUAGCUCAAUCACGACUUCUAUUUUUGAUUGGUUUAAAUUAAUUCUCUGUUUUGCAUUAAUUUAUUUGUGUAUCUAUUCUGCGCUUAAUGUUCUCAAUUCUUAAGGGCCCAAGUUUUGAUUGAUUUUAUGAUUUAGGUUGAUAACGAGAGUUAGAAUCUAAAUUAAAUCCAUAGAAUAGAUUACGUUAGAAUGAAUGAAUAGUAGAGAUACAUUACCAUGUUCUAAGAGAUUAAUAGUUAAAUCUAUAAUAAUUCCAUAGAUCUUAAUUACUCCUUUAGACUUAAAUUCACAUAGAGAUAUGUUAGGUUAGUAAUUUAAGGAGCAAUCUGAUAUAUUUCGAGAGAAAAUAUUGGUUGGCUUAAGGAAUUAAAUCUCCAAAUAAAGCAUAACAGGAAUUAGGUCAAGCAAUCAAUUGCAUGAAAAGUGUUUGUAGUGAAAUCAAAAGCCCUAGAUCGUUUAAAGCAUAAGAGUUUGAAUUUAUUUUCUAUAAUUGUUUAAGUUGCUUUCUUCUACAACUUUAAAUAUUCGGUUGAUCAAAUAGUAGUAGAAAUAAUAAAUUUUAGUAAUUAGUAGCAUAGUCCUUGUGGGUUCAAUAUCCGUACUUAGGUACAAUUAUAUUACUUGAAUGAUUCGUAUACUUGCAAACCAACACAUCAAUAGGGAACCAUUUCUUCAUGUCUUUCUUCAUCGCAAUAUUGUUAGUGUUCAACAAUAUGUCUUCAUUACCCAAACAAACCUAUCUUUUAUUGUUAAUAAGUUUGUCAGUUCAUGUCUCAACUUACUUCUACAUAUUGUUUAUCUAUGAAACACACUUUGCAUUAUUUGAUAGGAUCUUUAUAUUAGUAUCCUUUUACAAGAAAUUGAUCGUCUUCAUUUUCAAGCUUAUUCAAAUUCUGAUACAGUCUAGGCUCUUGUCCUAAUGACAAGAAAAACAAUAAUGAUUAUUGUGUCUUCCUUAGGUUGAAUUUGGCUUCUUAGUCCUCUAAUAAGCAAUGGGUUAUUUCAAGGAGUAGUGUUGAAUUAGAAUAUUGUGGUCUAACUACUACAAUUACUAAACUCACUUAGAUCUACUCUAUGCUUUAGGAACUGUGUAUAGCAUAGGUUACCCCUCCAAUUCUGUGGUGUGAUAAUCAAAAUACUGCUUAUCUUGCUACAAAUCCUAUCUUUCAUGCUCGCCUGAAACAUAUUGAACUCGAUAUCUGACAAAAUGUUACAUAAUGAACUUGUUAUUCAAUAAAUUCCCUCUACUGAUCAACUUACUGAUGUGCUUGUUAACCGAUUGUAGUAAACUUUGUGUUGUUCCCAAAUUGAUUAACUUGCGACGGGAUGAUAAAGAGUAGAUUGCCACCUCAACCUAACUUCUAGAAUAAUCUAUUAGCUGCAACAACUAUUUGUUAUGGAUACUACACACCCAUGUUUUGCUCUUGUUAGAUCUAGUGAAUUAGACAUUAAAGCUUAAAUAAAUAUUUAACAUCACAAGCUCAUGAGUUAGGUGAUUUUUUAGUUCAUUCUCUAGAAUUUUCAAUUUACUUCCAAAGCCUAUAAAUGACCAAUUGUUGAAACAUUGUACUAACAUAUUUUUUUUUUUCCUCAAAGCAUAAAAAUCACAAAUUGUUCGAAUAUUGGAUUGACCUUUUUUUUUCCCUUAUACUUUCGUAGUUGAAUUCAUAAUUUUAGCAAUAAAAAGGGACUAAUUACUUCCAUUAUUGAUAUUGAUGAAACAAUUCCAAUGUAUAUAUAUUGACUAGAUUUAAUUCAGUUGAUUUGAGAUUGAGGAUGAUUUUAUAUGAAUUUAAUGCAUUUUCAAGAUGUUUCAAUGAAGAAUUAAUAGAUAGCAUUUAGUAUGAUUACCAAAUUUGGCUAAAGAAAAAAGGAACUAAUGCCAUUGAAUGAUGACUUAUUCUCUUCCAUUUAAUAAAGGUUAUGUUUUUUAUAUUAUAUAUUUCUUGAUGUAAUUUUCUUUUUUUCAUUCUUCUAGGAUAACUCAUGAGUUUAUUAUUAUUUUUUGGAAUAUAAGAUUUUGCUCAGAGAAUUAGAAAAUGCAAUGAAAUUGAAAAUAUAUAAUUAAAACUUGAAUUUUAAUUUAAAUUUGGGGCUAGAAUAAUUGGCUCUAAUAUUCUAGGCUCCACUACUAAUAACUUUCUCUUAUAGAUUCCAACCAUUCCAAUAUCAUUUGACCAAUUACAUCACUAUGUUUAUCAUUCAAUCUCUUGAAGAUGUUUUCCACAAUUUCAUUGAUGUAUUUGGACUCAUACCAACCAAUUAUAAAUCAUAAUAAAACAUAUGGUGAGUCAAAUGAGCUACAAAAUAAUGAUAAAAGCAACAUGAGGAAAAUUUUAUAAUAUUUUUUUAUAAGCAAAUGGUAGUAAAUUUUAUGCUUAAAUCACAUCAUGACUACAUGAUUAGUAUCCAUGUAAAUGAAGCAAUAUCUUAGUGAGGGCUCCCAAGCUCCUAAUUAAGUAUUAUUAUCAUGGAAAAGAUGAUGUAAGGGUGGUAAUUCUUGAUUAAAUCAAACUAUAAAUAGGAUUUGAAAAUGACAUGAAACUAGUGAGUUCCAUUAAUUGAUGUUGAUCGAUCAUAUUCUAAGUUGAAGUUUUCAACCUGAAUGUAUACUUCAUUUUUUUCCUCUUAGUAUUGUUAUCCUAUGAUUGUCUUCCCUCAUCCAUGUUCCUUCAUUGCAUACAUACUUAGGAUCCUUUUCUAAGUCAUUUAUUGUGUCCUUAUUAGUUGUUCAUUGUUACUCAUCUUAUCACUGUUUUUGGACCUCUUUUAGGGAUAUAUAUUAGAAGGAUUUUGUUUUUCUAAUAUGAUUUUAGUAUCCUUUAGUUUUAGCUUAAGAGUUUGUUUUCAUUCGUAAGUUUUCUUUUGAUUUUGGUUUUUCAACUUGUUUUUAGUUUAGCCCCUUUAUCUUUGUUCUUAGGUAAAUUCAUUUAGUUGCAUUUUAGGAAAAUUCACUCAGUAGUUGAUUACUACUCAAAAAGUGCUCUUUUAUAGCUUGUUAUAAACUCUUUUAAACACUUUUGAGUAGUAUUUAUUACCUUUUAACUCAAUUGGCACAUUAAAGACCCUUGCAAAUGUUUCUAAUCAGGUUUUGGCAAGUUUUGGUGUUUUUGAUAGCUUUUUUAUCAUUAAAACGAGCCAAGAAUGAAGGAGAAUUUUGUAUAGUCCAUGGCAAAGCAAGUUGAAGCUCAAACACAUGAAGAAUUCAAGGUUUGGAGAGCUUCGUAGCCUUUUCCAAAUCAAUCAAGUAUGCAAGGAAGAGAAUCAAAGAAGAAAUCUAACAUCCAACAAUUUCACCUGGCUAUGAGAAAUUUUCGCAUAGCAUGUGAAAUGUCCAAAAGGAGUACAAGCUGCAGGACAGAGAGCAAGACUGUGAAAAAUGAAUUUCGCACCCUAUGCGAAAUUUCGCAAGCCUUGCAAAAAUCCUCCUGUGUAAUUUUCAGAUAUUUUUGCACCUACUCCGUCAGAUUUUUAUCUCGAGAUAUUUUGUGUAAUUACCUAUUUUAUCCUUGUAAUCAAUUAAAGAUAUUUUUAGAUAUUUAGGAUAUCUAAAUAAGGGGUUAAAAUAUCUCUUUAUAUAUGUCUUAAAAUAUCUCUUUUGUAAGCUCUCGGAAGAUUUUCCAGAGAACACUUGUAGAUUCUUGUAGUAAGAAAUACACAGAGCUUUGCUCUGCCUUACCUACUCAUUUUGUUUUUAUUUUCUUUCUAGCCAAACAACCUCUAAUGAUGUUUUCUCAGAGGAUGAGUGGCUAGGUUUUUCAUUUCUUGGACUGAAGGAAGCUAGGUAAGGGAUCCAGAUACAAAGGUGGGAGUUUUCCUUGUUUUAAAUGAGGAGAGUUGUUACCCUUUAAUGGUUUUUAUUUUUAAGGUUUAACUUAAAAUCCCUUCAAAUCAUCUGGGCCAAUACUUGGUAAGCUUUUCAGACUUCCUGGAGAUCCAUUAGUUAUCUCUUAUGAGCCUCUAGGAAGUGGUUUAAAGGUAGGAUUACCUAAAAUGACCAAUACUUGGUAAGCUUUUCGGACUCCCUAGAGAUCCAUUAGUUAUCUCUUACGAGCCUCUGGAAGGUGGUUUAAAGGUAGGAUUACCUAGAAUGGCCAAUACUUGGUAAGCUUUUCGGACUCCCUGGAGAUCCAUUAGUUAUCUCUUACGAGCCUCUGGGAGGUGGUUUAAAGGUAGGAUUACCUAGAAUGACCAAUACUUGGUAAGCUUUUCGGACUCCCUGGAGAUCCAUUAGUUAUCUCUUACGAGCCUUUGAAGGGUAAUCCAAGGUUAGGAUCACCUUGAAUGGCCAAUACUUGGUAAGCUUUUCGGGUUCCAUGGAAUCCAUGGAUGUCUAUUAGUUAUCUCUUACGAGCCAUUGAAAGAUGAUUCACAGUGAGAGGUCUUUAGUGUUUGAAACCAUUAAUGGGAAGCAACUACAGUUUUUCAUGGACCAAUGGGAUCAAAUCUUGAUUGCUAAAUACACACCGGUUCGGGAGAUAACCAUUCUUUAUGUUAUUAUCCCCAACGCGAGGAAAAGAUCCGGAAUCUCCUCCUUUUGUCUAAGGAACCUGAACCUAGUGACCUAAAACUCUAAGAAAUCCUUUUCUUUGUAAUUAAUCUCAGUUACUAUUUUUGGUUAACUUAAAACCAACCUUUUUCAACCAAAAUUAUGUUUUCUUUUAAAGCUAACUCAUAAAAGAAAAAGCAUCAUUUCAGUACUUUAACUAAUAUCACUUGUAAUAUGAAAACCCAUCCUUGUGGACGAUCCUAGAACCACUAUACUAUGCUAGCUAUGCUACCCUAGUGUAUGGUGAAUUAGGUUUAUAAAUUUUGUUGAUAACUCCCGUCUGAGGACUGAAUCAAAUAGAUCACCAAUUGGGGACAAAUCAAAUGGCGUCGUUGUCGGGGAUGGUGCCACUUCACAGUGAUAUAACCUUUACAAAACACUUGUGAUCUUCAUCACAAGUUUGGUGAUUUUUCUUUUCUUUUACUAACUCUUUUUAUUUGUUUUCAUUUUAGUUUAUCUUUUAUCUAGUUUUUAGUUAACCUUAAUUUUUUUUUUCUAGAAUUGUAUUUCUUUUGUUUUCUGUGUUUUUGUUUCAAUUAUUGCUAGUUGUGCAUGCCCUAUUGGAUAUGAGACAAUGAGGGAAGACUUAUGAAAAUCGAAACUCCUCACGAAACAGAGUUGGAAUUGUGCUUGAACGUCAUGGAAGCUACACCUGAAGAUCAGCAUAGUCAACAUGCUCAGGAGGAGAAUUUCAACGCAUACCGAUCCAUGAGGGACCGCAUGCAUGCACCUCGUAUGAGUGCACCGUCAUGCAUAGUGCCACCUACAGAGCAACUGGUGAUCCGACCACAUAUUGUGCCACUUCUACCUACUUUCCACGUGAUGGAAAGUGAGAAUCCCUACGCGCAUAUCAAGGAAUUUGAGGAGGUUUGUAAUACUUUCCAAGAAGGAGGAGCUUCAAUCGACUUGAUGAGGCUCAAGUCAUUUCCUUUCACCUUGAAGGAUAAGGCCAAGGUCUAGCUUAAUUCUUUAAGGCCAAGGAGUAUUCGAACUUGGACUGAUUUGCAAGCUGAAUUUCUUAAGAAAUUUUUCCCGACCUAUAGGACCAAUGGCUUGAAAAGGCAAAUUUCAAACUUCUCAGCUAAAGAGAAUGAGAAAUUCUAUGAGUGUUGGGAGAGAUACAUGGAAGCUAUCAAUGCUUGUCCUCACCAUGGCUUUGAUACAUGGCUAUUGGUGAGCUAUUUUUACGACGUUAUGUCUUUCACUAAUGAAGCAACUCCUAGAAACUAUGUGCGAAGGAGACUUCAUGAGUAAGAAUCCGGAGGAAGCCAUGGAUUUCUUGAGUUAUGUAGCUGAAGUUUCAAGAGGAUGGGAUGAGUCGAAUGCUAGAGAAGUGGGAAGAAUGAAGUCUCAACUUAAUGCUCCUAAUGCUAAGGCUGGAAUGUAUACUUUGAACGAAGAAAUCGAUAUGAAAGCAAAAGUUGCAGCUAUGGCAAGAAGAUUGGAGGAGCUAGAAAUGAAGAAGAUAUGAGAAGUGCAGGUCAUUUCUGAAACACCAAUGCAAGCUAUGUCGUGUUCCAUUUGUCAAUCUUUUGAGCACUUAGUGGAGGAGUGUCCUACGAUUCCAAUUGUGAGAGAAAUGUUUGGGGAUCAAGCAAAUGUUAUUGGACAAUUUAAGCCCAAUAACAAUGCUUCAUAUGGCAACACCUACAAUUCAAAUUGGAGGAACCAUCCGAAUUUCUCAUGGAAACCAAGGGCACCUCAGCACACACAACCUGGCCAAGCACCUCCGUAAGCCUCAAAUCUUGAACAAGCCAUUAUGAAUCUUAGAAAGGUCGUGGGAGACUUUGUUGGAGACCAGAAAUCCAUCAAUGCUCAGCUCAGUCAAAGAAUUGACAGUGUAGAGAGUACAUUGAACAAAAUAAUGGACGGAAUACAAAAUGAUCUAUCUCAGAAGAUAGAUAAUCUCCAGUACUCAAUCUCAAGGCUCACCAACCUCAACACAGUAACAAAGAAAGGAAAGUUUUCUUCUCAACCUCAUCAGAAUCCCAAGGGUAUCCAUGAAGUAGAGGCUUAGGAGGGAGAAUCUUCACAUGUGAAACAAGUCAAAGCAGUUAUCACUCUAAGGAGUGGUAAAGAGAUUGAUCUGCCUACCUCCAAGCAAGAGCAUGAACCAGAGAGUGAAACAUAGAAAGAAAAGAGGAAGGAAAUCAAAGGAAAGAAAAAAGGGAACAGUGCAAAGAAUGAGGACCUUGAAUCUACUGUGAAUGAAGAACCAGAGAGGACCAUCAACCAAGAAGAUAUGAUGAAGAAACACAUGCCUCCACCUUUCCCCCAAGCUUUGCAUGGCAAAAAAGGAAUCAAUAAUGCAUCAGAAAUUCUUGAAGUGUUGAGGCAAGUGAAAGUUAACAUCCCUUUGCUAGACAUGAUUAAACAAGUUCCGACUUAUGCAAAAUUCCUGAAGAACUUAUGCAUUAUAAAAAGAGGGUUGAAUGUGAAUAAGAAAGCCUUCUUGACUGAGCAAGUAAGUGCCAUUAUACAGUGCAAGUCUCUAGUGAAAUACAAAGAUCCAGGUUGUUCUACCAUCUCAGUGAUUAUUGGAGGGACGUGUGUGGAGAAAGCUUUGUUGGACUUGGAGGCAAAUGUGAAUUUGCUACCCUAAUCUGUCUACAAGCAAUUGGGACUUGGAGAGUUGAAGACAACAUCAAUCACUCUAUCUCUAGCAGAUAGAUCUGUGAAGAUUCCAAGAGGCAUGAUUGAAGAUGUCCUAGUUCAAGUUGACAAAUUCUACUACCCAGUGGAUUUUGUUGUUCUUGAUACAAACCCAGUUGCCAAAUGAACUAACUAUGUUCCUAUCAUACUUGGAAAACCAUUCCUAGCUACAUCAAAUGGUAUCAUCAAUUGUAGGAAUGGAGUCAUGCAACUUAUGUUUGGCAACAUGACGUUAGAGCUCAACAUCUUCUAUUUGUGCAAGAAACAAUUCCAUCCAGAAGAAGAAGAAGAACCAAAAGAGGUGUGCAUGAUUGACAACUUAGUGGAGGAGCAUUGUGAUCAGAAAAUGCUCAAAGAUUUGAAUGAAAGUCUUGGGGAUCUUGAUGAAGGGUUACCUGAACCCUCAGAUUUGCUUGCACUUUGCCCCCUUGGAAGAGGAGGGAAGAAAUUCUACCUUUAUUCAAUGGGGAGGAGACACAAGAAGUUGUUAAGGAGGAGCCCCCAAAGCUUAUUCUGAAGCCACUACCCACGGAGUUGAAGUAUGCAUACCUGGAAGAAAACAAACAGAGCCUUGUUGUUAUUUCUUCAUCUCUUACCACUCCUCAGGAGGAUUGUCUACUUGAAGUCCUCAGGAGAUGUAAGAAGGCGAUAGGGUGGCAAAUAUCUGAUCUGAAAGGGAUCAACCCUUUAGUUUGUACCCAUCAUAUAUACAUGGAAGAAGAAGUUAAGCCAGUUCGAAAACCUCAGAGAAGGUUGAACCCUCACAUGCAAGAGGUGGUGUGAGCUGAAGUGCUUAAGCUACUUCAGGCUGGUAUUAUCUACCCCAUAUCAGAUAGCCCAGGGGUGAGUCCUACGCAAGUCGUGCCAAAGAAAUUAGAGAUCACGGUGGUGCAAAAUGAUAAGGGAGAAGAAGUUUCUACACACCUCACUUCAGGUUGGAGGGUGUGUAUUGAUUAUAGAAAGUUGAAUGUUGUAACAAGGAAUGACCGCUUCCCGUUGUCGUUUAUUGAUCAAGUGCUUGAGAGGGUCUCUGGCCAUCCAUUUUACUAUUUCUUGGAUGGCUACUCCGGGUAUUUUCAAAUGGAAAUUGAUGUUGAAGACCACUUUCACAUGUCCAUUCGGAACCUACACAUACGGAAGAAUGUCUUUCGGCUUAUGCAAUGCACCCGCAACAUUCCAAAUAUGCAUGUUAAGCAUUUUCAGUGAUAUGGUGGAGCGUAUUAUGGAAGUCUUUAUGGACGAUAGCACCAUAUAUGGAAGUACGUUUGACGAAUACUUAAUCAACUUGGAAGUUGUUCUGAACCGAUGCAUUGAGAAACACUUGGUGCUUAACUAGGAGAAAUGUCAUUUCAUGGUACACCAAGGGAUUGUCCUUGGGCAUAUUAUCUCAAAGCAAGGCAUUGAAGUGGACAAAGCAAAGGUUGAACUUAUUGUCAAGUUGUCAUCGCCAACAACUAUCAAAUGAGUAAGGCAAUUCCUUGGUUAUGCAGGGUUCUAUAGGAGGUUUAUCAAAGAUUUCUCUAAACUUGCAAGACCUCUUUGUGAACUAUUGGUAAAGGAUGCUAAAUUUGUAUGGGAUGAUCGAUGUCAACGGAGUUUUGAAGAACUGAAGCUAUUUUUGACAACCGCUCAAAUACUGAGAGCUCCCAACUGGCAAUUGCCCUUUGAAGUGAUGUGCGAUGUCAGUGACUUUGCUAUAGGAGCUAUUCUUGGGUAAAGAGAAUAUGGAAAGCCCUAUGUGAUCUACUAUGCGAGCAAAACGUUGAAUGAAGCGCAAAGAAACUACACAACCAUAGAGAAAGAAUUGUUGGCUGUAGUUUUUGCCUUAGACAAAUUCCACACUUAUUUGGUGGGGUCUUUCAUUGUGAUUUUCACUGAUCAUUCGACCUUGAAAUAUCUGCUAACUAAGCAGGAUGCAAAAGCGAGGCUGAUUAGAUGGAUUCUCUUGCUUCAAGAGUUCAAUCUUCAUAUCAAAGACAAGAAAUGAGUGGAGAAUGUGGUAGUCGACCAUCUGUCAAGGCUAGCCAUCGCAACAAAAUUCCCAUAGUUUGCCCAUUAAUGAUGAUUUUCCAGAGGAGUCACUCAUGUUGAUGAAAGUCGCUCCUUGGUAUGCUCAUAUUGCUAACUAUUUAGCUAUCGAAGAAGUUCCAAGUGAGUGGAAAGCACAAGAUAAGAAGCACUUCUUUGCAAAAAUUCAUGCCUAUUAUUAGGAAGAGUCAUUUCUAUUCAAAUAUUGUGCAGAUCAAAUAAUACGGAAGUGCGUCCCUGAACAAGAGCAACAGGGGAUCCUCAGUCAUUGCCACGAAAGCGCAUGUGGAGGCCACUUUGCUUUUCAAAAGACAGCUAUGAAGGUAUUGCAAUCGGGUUUCUGCUAGCCAUCACUUUUCAAAGAUGCCCACACCAUGUGCAGGAGCUGUGAUAGAUGUCAGAGGCUUGGGAAGUUAACACAUAGGAACAUGAUGCCUUUGAACCCCACUUUAAUAGUUGAUCUUUUUUAUGUCUGGGGCAUUGACUUCAUGAGACCUUUUCCUAUGUCCUUUGGCUACUCCUACAUCUUGGUAAGGGUAGAUUAUGUUUCUAAAUGGGUUGAAAUGAUCCCAUGCAAAUGCACUGAUCACAGAGUUGUUCUCAAAUUUCUCAAAGAGGACAUCUUCUCUAGAUUUGGAGUACCCAAGGCUUUAAUCAGUGAUGGGGGUACUCAUUUUUGUAACAAGUCGUUCGAAACUCUCUUAGCCAAGUACGGGGUAAAGCAUAAGGUAGCUACACCUUACCACCCUCAGACUUCUAGGCAAGUUGAGUUAGCAAAUUAGGAGAUCAAAAACAUACUGAUGAAGGUGGUGAAUAUGAGCAGAAGAGAUUGGUCUGUUAAGCUUCAUGAUUCACUAUGGGCGUACAGAACAGCUUACAAGACCAUUCUUGGAAUGUCUCCUUAUCGCCUAGUCUACGGCAAAAUGUUCCAUCUCCCCGUGGAAGUGGAAUACAAAGUUUGGUGGGCAAUCAAGAAGCUCAACAUGGAUUUGAGCAGAGCCGACAUGAAGAGGUUCUUAGACCUUAAUGAGAUGGAGGAACUGAGAAAUGACGCCUACAAUAAUUCAAACAUUGCAAAACAAAGAUUGAAGAGGUGGCAUGAUCACUUAGUCUCCCGCAAAGAAUUCCAGAAGGGACAAAGAGUCUUGCUAUAUGACUCUAAGCUCCAUGAUUACUACUCAAAAAGUGCUAUUUCAUAGCUUGUAAUUAACUCUUUUAAACACUUUUGAGUAGUAGUUAUCACCUUUUAACCCAAUUAACAUAUUAAGGACCCUUACAAUCAAUUCUAAUCAAAUUGUAUUAAGUUUUGGUGUUUUGAUAGCUUUUUUAUCACCAAAGCAAUCCGAGAUUGAGGAGAGUUCUUUGGAAUCCAUGGCAAAAGAUGUCCGGACAAGGCGUCCGGACACACCAUCGGAGGGCGGCGGAACGUGGGCUGUGGCAGGCUGUCGGAAUGACGUAGCAAGGCUUGUGCACUUUAGCCAAUGAUCCGGACAACAUAUCCGGAUAGGAUAUGCUAUCGUCCGGGGUGUGAUGAUCGCGAGUGUUGUGUGCUUCUCCCUGAGGGAGUCCGGAUAGGGGAGCGCGCCACAUAUCCUCUUAGAGAAUCCGAAUGGAGUUGCUCCGGAUAGCGAUGCGCACUCCGUGUCAUCAGGAGAAGGGGUCCCUACACCUUGCACACGCAGACAGCCCCCUUGCGAUGUGUGGCAUCGCACAUUCCACCCGGAUGUAUCACAUCCGGAAUUCUUCUCCGCCGACAUUCCAUCCGGAUAUUUCGCAUCCGACGUUUGAUGCCGGAUGGGAGAGGAGGGCGUUUCAACUUCCCCGGUCAGACAUAUCCGGAUCCUCUGAUAGCGCUUACCCAGAGAGUUUCGCAGCCAUUUUGCACUGUGACGCAGUGUUCUCCUGAAGCUUCCCGAUAUUUGCGACCGAUAUUUUGAGAUAUUUUGCUUUAGAUAUUUGAUGUCUAAAUCCCCAAACUCUCCUUGUAACCCACCAAUUAUAGGAUUCCUUAGUUAUUAAGUUUGGAAAAAUGAUGAAUAACCUUAUAUAUAUUAUUAUUGUAAUUUUCAUAUAAAUAUCUCUCGGGAGCCUAUUCUCAGGGAGACGACGCAUCCUUUGUACAGUUUUGCAAGGAAGUAAAAUACAGAGCCUUUGCUCUGCCUUACCUUCUCGUUUUGAUUGUAUUGUAUAUUAUUUAAUUUUUCUUUCUAGCCAAUCAAACUCUGAGGAUUUUUCCUCAGAGGAUGAGAGGCUAGGCUCUUCGUCUCUUGGAGUGAAGAAAGCCGGGUAAGUUUCCUCAUGCAUAAAUUGGAAGUUUUGUUGUUUUAGUUUUUAAUGAAGAGAAAGUGUGACCCGUUAAUGGUUUCUAUGUUUUUAGUUAACUUAAAACGCCUUUAAAUCACCUGGGCCAACACUUGAUAAGGCAAGUGGUCUCCAUCCAUUGAGAUGCACUAGUUUAUCUUUUGCGAGCCUUUGGGAGGUGGUUUGAAGGUAGGAUUUUCUAGAAUAGCCAACACUUGGUAAGCUUUUGGACUCCAAGGAGACAUCCAUUAGUUAUCUCUUGCGAGCUUUUGACGGGUAAUCCAAGGUUAAAAAUCACCUUGAAUGGCAAAUGCUAGGUGAGAGGCACGAGCCAUUGCAAGAUGCAUCAGUGAGAGGGAUUUAGUGUUUGAACCCAUUAAAGGGAAGCAUCUGUACCACACCGGUUAGAGAAUUAACUAUAUGUUAAUUCUCUAAAGCGAGGAAAAGAAACAAGUGACCGGAACUCCCUUUUUGUACAAGGAACCUGAGCCUAGUGAUCUAAACUCCAAGAAACACUUUUCUUUGUAAGUAAAAUCAGUUACUAUUUUUGGUUAGUUUAAAACCAAACCUUUUCCAUUCAAACAUCUUUAUGUUUUCUUUUAAAGCUAACCUUGGAAUGAAAAGGCACCAAUUCAGCUUUGAAUUAAUAUCAAUUGUGGAGUGAAAACUCAUCCCAGUUAACGAUCCUAGAGCCACUAUGCUAUAGUAGCUUUGUCUUUGCUACCCUAGUUCAUGGUGUAAUAAGUUAUAAAUUUUGUUGAUUACUUCCUGAGGACCAAAAUCAAGGGACACCAGCUGGACACGAAUCAAAUGGCACCACUGUCAGGGACCAUUGAGAUGACAGCUGAGACACCAAUUGGGAACGAAUCAUUCCACAUCUUCCCGGGAAAACUGAAGUCAAGGUGGAUAGGUCCGUUUACUAUCCAACAAGUGCAUUCAAAUGGAGUGGUGGAACUACUCAAUUCCAACAACAUCGAGAGUUUCAAAGUCAAUGGCCAUCGUCUCAAGCCAUUUGUGGAGCCUUUUUCUCUAGACAAUGAGGAAAUCAUCAUCUUUGAGCCACAUCAAGCUUAACAAGACAAGUGGUUAGAUGGACUUAGUCUGUCGAAAGACAUUAAGUCUAUAAUUUUUUGUUUUAAUGUUGAUUUAAAGUUUUAUUGAUUUAGUACUUGUUUUAAUUGUAAUUUCUUGCUUUAAUUUUAUUUUUUUGUGAUUUAAUUUAAUUUUUUAUGAUCAAUUGCAAGUGGAUUUCAUAAUAGAUGGGAAAAACCUUUAAAAAAUUUAUGGUGGAGGAAAAACAGAGCAUUUCGCACAUGCUGCGAAAAUUUUGCAAGGCUUGCGAAAAUCCCAAAUAUCAUUUCGCAAGGGGUACGAAAAUUUCGCACACCCUGCAAAAGCCAAUUCGCACACCCUGUGAAAAUUUCGCAAGGCAUGCGAAAAAUUCGCAUACCCACCUUUGCAUUGCGAAAAUGCCAUGCGAAAUUGCUUUGCUUUGCGAAAAUGUUUUGCGAAAACCUGUGCCAAAUUAGAGAGGGUAUGCAAACCCAUUUCACAAUCCUGUGCGAAGUCCAACAGCCGGUGCGAAAACCAACAGUCACUUAAAACUCUAUUUAAAGCCCUCUAAGCCCUAUUUUCAUUUCGUACACCCCAUCUACCCAUUGCGAAAGCCUCUAUCACCUUGCGACGCCCAAACUUCCAUCGUUUUUCUCCAUUGGACGCCCCGCGACCACCCAUUUGAAGAGGCGACCCCCACCGAACUUGAAGAACACAGACCCGAGCCUUUCACUCCAUUUUUUACAUGGCGCGAAUUAGAGGAGGCCAUACCGACUCUUCACUCUCUCGCGAGCCGAGGCCAAGAGCCUGCUCUCCUCAAGAUUCGACAUCUCAGGCCCUUGAGGCCCCAACCAUUCCAUCUUUUGAGGGAGGAGUGCCCUCUAAUCCUCCUCAACAUAGAUACGAGACGUGGAGACCACCGACUACACCUGGGACUACUUCUUCGCGCCCUGAGACCUCAAUACGUUGCACUCCAACUAAGAGGGCCAGGACUUUAGGCCCUGGAAAGUCGUCUAGAUCUUCACAGCCUGAUCAUAGGGCCCCUGUCGAUUCUCAGCGUCCUUCUAACAUGUCACCGGAAGCCAUCAUCAAACGACCUAUGGUCACCGCGCCGCCCAUUAAGGGCAAUUCAGAUUGUAGAGCCAGACCAUUUCAUUCCGAGCUAUAUUUUGACCUCGAGGUUAUGCGACAGUAGUCGGAGCUUCGGGAUUCAUUUGGACUACUCCAGAGGUACCAUCUCGAGCACCUUAUGACUCCCAGGGAGUUCUUUUACCCCAAAGUGGCAAUGGACUUCUAUCAUUCUAUGACUACUCAAGGCGCCUGGAGUCCUACCGCCAUUCACUUCAGCAUUGAUGGGCGCCAGGGUAUCCUUGAGGCUAGACACAUUGCAGAGGCUCUACAUAUUCCAUACGAGCUAGUGAAUCCAGCAGAUUGCCAGGAGUGGUCCCCUGUAUCUCAGUGGGACAUGGUCCGCAUCUUAUCCAUGGAAACCUUUGGAGAUUCAGUCCUUCUACGUAAGGAGCUUCCACCUAGGAUGCUCCUAGUAGAUGUGUUGCUACAGUCCAAUCUUUUUCCCCUUCAGCAUUUAGUGCAGAUGAGAGGAGCCAUUCUGAACGCUUUAUUCCGGAUAUCCAAGGGUUUCUAUUUCGGGCCACAUCACUUGAUUAUGGCCUCUCUCCUCCACUUUGAGGAGAAGGUUCACAGGAAGAAGCUCCAGAGAGCCGACACUAUUCCACUACUGUUUCCGAGGUUGCUAUGUCACAUAUUGGAGCAUAUGGGUUAUCCUACUGAGCCCUACCUUGAGCGCCGCCAUCAUUGUCGAGAGCGAUUCACUCUCAACAAAUGGACACAGUUGGCGGGCUAUUCGGCACCUCUAGAAGUCCCACCCAGGCCAGCACCUCCAGUGCCACCAUAGGCUGAGUAGGCACAACAGGAUGAGCUUCCCACGGAGUCUGUACCACCUACCCCUACAACACCUAUGCCUGAGGCCACUUAUACUGCUCCUCCUACCACUCCUGCCGUUCCACCAGUUGCACCUUCUAUAUCUGAGGCCUUCAUCACCAUUUCUGCCACAGAGUUUCGCGCCAUGGUACAUACAUUCCAGACACUGACCACUACACACAAUGCUUUAUUCCAACAGAUGGCCACCAUGCGUGCUCGGUAAGACCAUCAUACUGCUAUCCUUCAUCAUAUUCAGCAGCAUUGGGGACUUCUGCCACCACCUCAGCCUGACAUUCAUGGACCAUCACAGCCCAUAGCUCUAGUUAAGGAGACUAUUCCAGCUGAGGAGACCACUAAAGCCAAUGUCCCGAUCUAGCCUACUCAGGAGGCCACCACAGAGGCAUCACCUCCACCAGAGGCCCCCGCUACUUGAUCAUCUCUUUAUCAUAUUGUAUUUACUUAUUAUAUUAGUAGACAUAAUUACAUGUUUUGAUGUUUUAUAUUAUGGGAUUGGAUGUAUUACAUGAUCAUAUCUCACAUUGUACUUUCUCAGAGUAAUAUAUACACAUCAUUUUUUAUUAUAUUUGUCAUUCUUCUAUUUCCUCUACUCAUUACUCUUUUGUUUUUUGAAUCAUGUGGUUUAUCCUAUACGACUCAAACUCCAUGUCACUCAGGAGGUACCACUUCCUUCUUUUAUUUUCAAUCGCUCUUGCCACAUUGAGGACAAUGUUGAUCUUGGUUGAGGGGAGAGUUAAGGAAGAAAGUUUUGUUAAUAAUGCUAGGUUAUUUUGUUAAUUUAGGUCUUUUUUCUUAAUUUUAAACUUUUUGCUUAAUUUUAAAAGUUUUUAUUCUACCAUCCAUGAUUAUUAAGAAAAUUUUCUCAAAAGGAAAUGGGAGAUAUUGAAUUCUUAUCUUUUUACUUGAAUCUUAGAGUUUAUAUUAUGUGUAUUGAGGUUGAUGAAUUAUUGAAAAUCCUAUUGAAUUCAACCUUAUUUCUUCCACUUUAAUCUUACCACACACUAUGCACAUUAGGUUCCAUUUAUAAGAUGAAAAACUAUCUCACCCCCUAAACUUAGGAAAACUUUGACUUAGUACCUUUGACCUCAUUUUAAUAGUAUUGGGACACCUUAUAAAAGGCCAAUGAGCCUUUGAAAAAAAAAAUAAGAAAGAACAAAGUGUUUCGCUUGCCUUGAAACCCGAGCAAGAUCCGAGGGGUUUAUGGCGAAAGUCUUUAAAACCCGAUGCCCUAAACCUUUAUUGGUUGGGAGUCACCAACCUCAAUGCUCGUUGCAAGGGUGAAUAGGUGGAGUUUAACAUAUUGUAGGUGCUUGGGUAUUAAAUGUCAAUCUCAAAAGUCCGGGGUAAAAUCUGAAGAGUUAGUGGUCGAAAGAUCCUUAAAGCUUGAUGCCCUAAACCUUGAUUGGUUGGGAGCCAUCGAUGGAUCCCUAUUACAUGGACACUUUAGAAAACAAUACCUUAAGCAUUGCACACUUACAAUGAAAAAAAAAAUUUGUGAAAUAAAAGAGGUGCGUUUUUAGCCUAUUGGAGGUUGGUCAGUUUGCUAAAGUUUGAGAAAGAACUAGGUUGGGGGGAGAGAUUAGUUCAGCAUACUAUAUUCGGAAACUAAUAAGCUUAACACAUAGAUUUUUGUGCAAUAGUAAGGAUUGAGGCUAUGAGAGUGGAAAUCCUUUUAAUACUUAAAUUUGCAUAAUGCCUACUUUUUAUGAAUUGUGAUCAGGCAAGAUAUUUGAUAAAUUCUUGUUGAAGGUUGAGUUUUGCUUCUUUAAUGUCCCAUGAGAGAGUAUGCUCUACAUCAUGCCACUUGAAAAAAUUUUGGAGUGAUCAGCAUGAUUUUGUAAAUUAUUUUACUGUCUAUUUUUCAUUUUUCUCUCCUUCAUUGCUAAGGGACUAGCAAUAUGUCGGUUGGGGGGAGUGAUUACUACUCAAAAAGUGCUCUUUUAUAGCUAGUUAUAAACACUUUUGAGUAGUAUUUAUUACUUUUUAACUCAAUUGGCACAUUAAAGACCCUUGCAAAUGUUUCUAAUUAGUUUUUGGCAAGUUUUGGUGUUUUUGAUAGCUUUUUUAUCAUUAAAACAAGCCAAGAAUGAGGGAGAAUUUUGUAUAGUUCAUGGCAAAGCAAGUUGAAGCUCAAACACAUGAAGAAUCCAAGGUUUGGAGAGCUUCGUAGCCUUUGCCAAAUCAAUCAAGUAUGCAAGGAAGAGAAUUAGAGAAGAAAUCUAACAUCCAGCAAUUUCGCAUGACUAUGCAAAAUUUUCGCAUAGCAUGCGAAAUGCCCAAAAAGAGUACAAGCUACAGAACAGAGAGUAAGACUGUGAAAAAUGAAUUUCGCACCCUAUGCGAAAUUUUGCAAUCCUUGCGAAAAUCCUCUUGUGUAAUUUUCAGAUAUUUUUGCACCGACUCCGUUAGAUUUUUAUCUCGAGAUAUUUUGUGUAAUUACUUAUUUUCUCCUUGUAAUCAAUUAAAGAUAUUUUUAGAUAUUUAGGAUAUCUAAAUAAGGAGUUAAAAUAUCUCUCUAUAUAUGUCUUAAAAUAUCUCUUUUGUAAGCUUUCGGAAGAUUUUCCAGAGAACUCUUGUAGAUUUUUGUAAUAAGAAAUACACAGAGCUUUGCUCUGCCUUACCUACUCAUUUUGUUUUUAUUUUCUUUCUAGCCAAACAACCUCUGAUGAUGUUUUCUCAGAGGAUGAGUGGCUAGGUUUUUCAUUUCUUGGACUGAAGGAAGCUAGGUAAGGGAUCCGGAUACAAAGGUGGGAGUUUUCCUUGUUUUAAAUGAGGAGAGUUGUUACCCGUUAAUGGUUUUUAUUUUUAAGGUUUAACUUAAAAUCCCUUAAAAUCACCUGGGCCAAUACUUGGUAAGCUUUUCAGACUCCCUGGAGAUCCAUUCGUUAUCUCUUAUGAGCCUCUGGGAGGUGGUUUAAAGAUAGGAUUACCUAAAAUAGCCAAUAAUUGGUAAGCUUUUCGGACUCCCUAGAGAUCCAUUAGUUAUCUCUUACAAGCCUCUAGGAGGUGGUUUAAAGGUAGGAUUACCUAGAAUGGACAAUAUUUGGUAAGCUUUUCGGACUCCCUGGAGAUCCAUUAGUUAUCUCUUACGAGCCUUUGAAGGGUAAUCCAAGGUUAGGAUCACCUUGAAUGGCCAAUACUUGGUAAGCUUUUCGGGGUCCAUGGAAUCCAUGGAUGUCUAUUAGUUAUUGACCGAAAUUUCUCUAUUGUACCAAAAUACUUAGCCUUUUUACGUAGUAACUCUGGUCAAGAAAAACUAGAGAAAGAGUCACUACGGCUUUUGUAGUAUUCCGGGUAUCGUUCUCAAGGACUGGCUUAUGAAAAUUGUCAAUACUAGAAUAAAUGAAUUGUUUUUUGUUUAAAUCCUUAAGUGAAAAACAAUAUGUGAAUAAUGUGAAACUAAGUAAAAGAAAUUGGAUUAAUAAGAGAAAAUGAAUAUUGAUUUUAAAUUCAAUUGAUUCAAGUUUGGGGUUUUCCACAAUCCAACCUAGGGUAUAGAAAUUAUAGAAAACAAGGGUAUUUUAAGUAAUAUGAUCUUAGGGUUUUGGGAUCCUUGGCCACUCGCGAUCAAGUUGGGUUCUAUAACUCAAAAUUGCAUCCGAAACCUAAUUUUUCCUUUUUCAAACAGAUUCCUAAAACCAUCAAAUGAAUGAGAUUGAUUAUCAAUUUAAGAUUUGGCUUUUUAACCCUUCCUACUCCUUAUAGCUUUGUUUAGGGGCAAAUAACGGUAGGGAAAACGAGGAUAACUAAUGAUCAAGAAUUACCAAGAAUCACUAGUAUCAAGUAAUAACCUAUCGUAUCAUUCCCUAAACGAACUCACAAGGAUAGGAUAAAAAAAUAUAAUAAAUUGUCACCCAACCAAUAAUUAAUCUCAUUGUUAUAGUAAUUUACCCAUUGUCCCUAUAGGUUUCCUAGCCCUUAGGUUUUCAUGCUUCAAGCCCCAAGUUGGCUCUUAGCCUCUCAUGGGGGUGAUGUCACAUUCACAAUCCAUAGUAGGGUAAAAAUCCAUAAUUUGAAUCAAAAGAAACUAAAAACAAUAUAUUCAAGAAAGAAGGAGAAGAAAACAAACCAAAGUUCUCGUCUUCUUCCACCUUCAAUGUCAAACUCUCUAGAAAAAAAUCCAAGAUCCAAGAUCCCUAAAACCUAGAAUUGAGAGGGUUUAUAUAAUAUCCUCAAUUACCUAACAUGUGGCACACUCUCAUUGGCCACUUAUUACAAAAUAAUUUCCUAAAAAUGAUUAAAAAAUAAUAAAAUGGUGAUUUCUAGUCGUGUGGGGUCCACCUAGGCCGGAUGGAGUGCUUUAGAUGCAAUUCCCGAGGUAGAGGAGGCGGAACAUCAAAGUGGCAGUGGGUGAAUUCGAAAUUGGUGUCAUUUCGAAGUGAAUUUCGAAUUCAUAAGUUGAAUAUAUGCAAUUCCCGGGGUAGAGGAGGCGGAACAUCAAAGUGGCAGUGGGUGAAUUCGAAAUUGAUGUCAUUUCGAAGUGGAUUUCGAAUUCAUAAGUUGAAUUUCGAAAUCAUAAGUUGAAUUUCGAAAUCAUUUCGAAAUGACCCUCCAGCUUGGUGCAGUUGUCUUCAAAUGGCCAUAACUUCUUCAUUUCAGCUCCAAUUUGCAAACCGUUUGAAGCGUUGGACUCCUGACUUCCCGAGCUUCGAAACGAUAUAUAGUAUGUAUAUAAUGGACUCCAGAAAGUGCUCAAAAUUUGUCCUCAAAGUCAGAGUAUAUAAUGCCAUCAGAUUUUUGAGUUCUAAAUUUCCAUGUAGCUAAAUCUUGCUUCAUGCCUCAUUUCCCAUGCUUCCUUGCCUUCUUUCUUACUCCAUAAUGGUCAUUUAUCAUCCUCCAACCUCAUGAUAUCCUUGUUUUGCCUUUCCUUACAUUCAAUGAAUCUUGACUCACUUAUGUCCUCAUUUAGCCCUUUCUUGAUCUUUCAAAAUCUAAAGUCAUUCAAUUUGCACAAUUUUCUUCCCUUGAACCUGAGAUAAAUCUCCAAAGUAUAGAUUAAACUCAUGGCUAGGGCCUUAGCAUUGAUUUAGGUCAAGUUGGGUGAUUUGAAUGUCCUUUGGUGCACAAAUCAUAUCGAAUAUGUGCCAUUAGAGCACAUAUUUUGGCUCCAAUCAGUUAUCUCUUACAAGCCAUUGAAAUAUGAUUCACAGUGAGAGGUCUUUAGUGUUUGAAACCAUUAAUGGGAAGCAACUACAGUUUUUCAUGGACCAGUGGGAUCAAAUCUUGAUUGCUAAAUACACACCGAUUCGGAAGAUAACCAUUCUUUAUGUUAUUAUCCCCAACGCGAGGAAAAGAUCUGAAAUCUCCCCCUUUUGUCUAAGGAACCUGAACCUAGUGACUUAAAACUCCAAGAAACCCUUUUCUUUGUAAUUAAUCUCAAUUACUACUUUUGGUUAACUUAAAACCAACUUUUUUCAACCAAAAUUAUGUUUUCUUUUAAAGCUAACUCAUAAAAGAAAAAGCACAAUUUCACUACUUUAACUAAUAUCACUUGUAAUAUGAAAACCCAUCCCUGUGGACGAUCCUAGAACCACUAUACUAUGCUAGCUAUGCUACCCUAGUGUAUGGUGAAUUAGGUUUAUAAAUUUUGUUGAUAACUCCCGUCUGAGGACUGAAUCAAAUAGAUCACCAAUUGGGGACGAAUCAGUAGCACUUUAGGUAAAUUCAUUUUAGUUGCAUUUUAAGAAAAUUCAUUUAGUUGCAUUUUUAGAAAAUCAUUUAGUUGCAUUCUAAGUAAAUUCAUUUAGUUGCAUUUUAGGUAAAUUCACUUAGUUGCAUUUCAGGAAAAUUUACUUAGUUGUAGUUUAGGUAAAUUCACUUAGUUGCAUUUUAGUAAAUUCACUUAAUUGCAUUUUAGGUAAAUUUACUCAAUUGCAUUUUAAGAAACUUCACUUAGUUGCAUUUGAGGAUAAUCCACUUUAUGUAUUUUUAGGUGAGUCUCAUUUUUGCAUUUUAGUGAAUUUCAUUGGUGCAUUAUUGUAAUUAAAUUAUUGCAUUUUUAGAGAUUUUUCAUAACAUACUUUGAAAGGUUUUCCAUCUUCUAUAAGAGGACAGUAUGCAACAUCAGUUGGCACAACAAACUCUGAGUGCCAGGAAAGUUCUCUUCUUUCUCGGAUUGACCACCGCACUUUAGGUAUCUCAUACUCAACUGGUACUUGUUCAUUGUGCUCUGGAACUACUUUAAAAGAUUUUGGUUAUUCUUGUUUUGAUUGUUUGUUUCCAAUUAAACUUAUAAUGUUCAUCUUUUUCAUCAAUGUGUAUCUUCUUCUUCACUCUGUAGCAUGUCUUCUACAAAGAUGAUAUUUCUACUGAUGAUAAAAUUGCAAGCAAUGGGAUCUCACAAGCGAUACCCCUUUACUCCAUUAGUAUACCCCAAGAAUAUGCAUUUUCUGAAUUUGGAUCCAACUUUAUUCUUUCUUGGUCAUUAUACAUCACAUAAGCAGGACACCCAAAUAUAUGUAAGGAGGAAAAGUUCGCUGGCUUACUAGUCUACAUAUCCAUAGGUGUUUUCAUCUCAAUUGUUGUUGAUGUAGACCAAUUAAUUAUAUAGCAAGCAGUUUUGGUUGUUUCGGCCCAAUAUGUUUUGGGUAGUCUUGCAGUCUUCAAUAUAGCUCUCAUUCCUUUUGCAACAAUUCUAUUUAUCCAUUUUGCUACACCAUUUUUUUAUAGAGUAUAAGCAAUAGUUUUCUGUCGUUGUAUGUUUUCCUGACUAUAAAAUGCAUCAAACUCCUGGCUACAGAAAUCUCAUAUAUUGUUUAACCUCAAACAUUUUAUCUUUUUUCUCAUUUCAAGCUCCCUCUAGGCUUUAAACGCUUUGAAUACUGGAAAAACAUUUGGCUUUCUCUUAAUAGGGUACACCCAACAUCUUCUAAAAUAAUCAUUUACAAACAACACCAAAAUGCUCCCAAGAUAUGUGACUGGUGAUUCCCAAACAUCAUAAUGAACCAAGUCUAGAAUGCUCUUACUUCUUUUCGUAGAUCUACUGAAUCUUAAUCUAUGUUGCUUACUGAUAACACAAUGCUCACAGAAUAAUAAACUUGUAGUUUUGAGUUCAGGAAGCAACUUUUGAUCAGAAAGAAUUUUCAAUCCUUUUUCUUUCAUGUGACCAAGUUUGUGAUGCCACCAUCUCAUUGUUAAUUCUUCUCCAAAGUUUGCAACAAAAGUCUCUACUUGUUGAUAUGUCCUCUCAUGCAACAUGUAUAGAUUUGCAGUAAUAUUUUCUGCCUUCAUCACCACAAGUGCACAUCUAAUAACCUUAAUGAUUUCCUUUUUAGCAUGGAAUUCAUAUCCAAUGUCAUCUAGUUGUCUUAUUGAUAGCAGAUUUUUCUUUAAGCCUUUUACAUGUCAUAUCUCUAGAAUAAUGUGACUCACACCAUCAUUCAUCUUUACUUUGAUGAAGCCCAUGCCAACAAUCUCCAAAGCAUGAUCAUUACCCAUAUACACUAAUCCUCAUGGGAUAGGUUCAUAUUGGUGAAACCCUUUUCUAUGAGAAGUCAUAUGUCAUGUUGUUGUUGAGUCAAUUAACUAAACUUCAAAAAAUCAUUUUCUAACUUCUACAAUUGUUGUUGCCUCAUUGUAUAAGAUUUUGUCUUCAUUUGAAGUACUUGCUACACAACUCUGAGUAUUUGAUAGCUCAAGCUCUUUCUCUUUCAUGUUUUUAUCUACUUCUCCUUUGAAAUGCCAACACUCUUUUUUUACGUGUCAUUGCUUUCCAUAGUGAUAACAUUUAGCUUUCUUCUUACCUUAGGACUUUGAUCUAUUUUGUUUACUCCCACUAGAACCACGUUUUGUUGAUCUCCCUUUAGAGAUAAUUAGAGCCUCGAUUUGCUGAGAAGAUAUUAUGUCUUCCUUGUUUUUACGCCUACUUUCUUCCUCAAGUACAAUAGUCGCAACAUCAUUAAAGACUAGCAUUAUCUACAAUGCACCAUUGGCCACAUUUAUGAUGAGAUGAUCAUAUGAAUCAAGUAGACUUUGGAGUAGAAGUUCAACACGUUCCUUCUCUUAUAUACUAUGUUUUAUAGCUGAUAGUUAAGAAAAUAGAGUUUUUAGGGUGUUGAUGUGUUCAAUCACCAAAGUUGAUUCUAACAUCCAAAGAGUGUAGAGUUUUCUUUUCAAGAAUAUUUUGUUGUGCAAUGACUUGGCUUCAUAUAAGUUUGUAAAAGUAUCCCAAAUUUCUUUUGCUAAUUAAUUGUAAUUUUAACAUGCUUGACAGUAUAUUAUCUGCUACUGCUAAAUGCAAGCUUGCAAUGAUAUCCCCAUCCAUUUGCUUUCACUUUUUAUCUUCAACAUUUUUUGGUCUUUCACCAAUUGUUUCUAGUUAAUUUUCUUUCCUCAAGAUGGCUUUCAUUUUUAUUUUCCACAGCCCAAAAUUGUUCCCAUUGAAUUUUUCUAUUUCAAAUUUUGUCGUCAUUUGUUUCACUUUUAUAGUGAUUAGUAACCCAGAAUAGGAGUAAGUGGUUGUGUUAAAUACACCAAAAAAGUCUCGAGGAAAGUAGAUAAGUCAUAGUGGUCCCACUCUCCUUAGGCUCUAAUUGCCCUUUUUGAUAGAACAUUCCUAGACAUGUACUAACCACACAAGUAACCAUCUAUUGUCCUAAACCAAAGCUCUAAUACCAUUGUAAUGAAAUGAUACCUAGAGCGAUAAUUUGAAAAUAGAAUAAUAAAAAAUAAAAAUGGAAUAAUAAAUAAAACAAUAGAUAAAACAAUAAAUAAAAUAAUGGACAAAAAUACUUACAUGAUAAAACCUUCUUAAUUAAAAUGGAAACUUCCACGGGACAAGAUAAAAAAAAUAUCCAUUAUAUGAAGACAAAAUUUCAACCUCCCUCUCAAUUAAAAUGAAAGAACAUAAAAGCUUACAAAAGAAUGAAAUCCUUUUUUAGGAUGAAUAGUAUAAGGGGUGGAAGCCUUCUUUCAUAGGACAAGGAAGUUCUCCCUUUUUUGUUUUCUUCUGAUGUGGAAUGACUUCAACCUUAACAAAAUACUGGAAAAACUAUUUGUCCUCUUUCUUUCAUGCACUCCAUGAUCUUGGUCAAUUCAUCUAAACACCAUUUCAAUUGAGCAUAAUAUUUUUUUUAAAUGAUCACACCCUUGAUUCUUCAAUUGUUUUCAAGAGUGAUCCAAUCAUUUCUCCUCUCUGAAGUUUGUCAUCUUUAAAGGUGUCAAUGUGUUUUGGACCCAAUGCCUUGAAGAGAUGAUGGGUGAAACCAUCAUGAGUGUCUUCACCUCUAAAACUCAAAAGCACAUCAUAUCUCCAAUAUUCGAUAGUAUGAGAAGAAGGAGAAACUCUUUUCAUACUCAUGGAAGCCAUUGUUAGGUUGUUUAUGGCCAAAUUAUAGGGUAAAUGAUAUUUAAGCUCCUUUCUAAGGGGGGAAAUAAAGUGAUGUAGGAAGCUAGGCUACUUUUUGUGAUUUUCUAAGAAGUUUUAAUCUUGGAAGAUAUCAAGAAGGCAUGAAAUUUAUGUGAAGAAUGAAAGGCUCUUUUGAGGCUCAUGGAAGCCAUGUAAGAAUUUUAAGUGGCCCAGUGUAUAUUAUUAUGUGACAUUUAAAUAUCAAAUUAAACAUUAUGGUCGAAUAAAUAAUAACGUUAAAAUCCUAUUCGUUAGUUUUCAAGAAGUUAGUUUCCUAAAUUAAAGGCACUUUGAUGGAAAAUGUACUCCUUAUUCUAUAAGGAAAUUGAUCUUCUCUUCACCUUAUAAAAUAAAUGUUAUAUUCCAUCAAUAAUAUAUAUGAGAGAAAACCUAAGGGUAAAAGGGUUAAGGGAGAACAACACGAUUUCUACUAUGUUUAUUGUUUGGUCUCUUCAAGAAUUCUCUACAAAUUAAAAGUAUAUCUUUUCUCAAUAAUGGAAAUGUGAAAAAUCAUAGUGUUCUAAAAUCCUUAGCUAUUAUGAUUUAUGCAAAAUUAGGGUUUGAUUUGCAUAAUUAAAUCAUUACUUUAGAGUUUAAUUGGUGAGCAUAUAAUACCAUUGACAUAUGUUGAUGAUUAAGUAACGUGUUGUGGACUCGCAUUUUUCACGUGCGUUCUCACUCAAACGACGAGACUCAUUUUUUAUUUAGUGAAAAUUUUAUUUUUUGAAAAAGACUUAGAGUCGCCACUUAUUUUAGUUUUUUUUAAAUGAAAACAAAAUAAGAAAGAAAACCAUGUGUGACUUCUUAUUUGGGAAAGACAAAUCUAUAAAAAUUGAGUUUAGAUAUGAGGGUCAGGUUACCUAUGGAGAAGGUACACUUAUAAGCCAUAACACUCCUCUAAACCCAUAUACCUACGAUCUCUACUAAAUGAAUCAAGGGAAUUGUGAUAAUUAAUUAAUUAAUUAUAGAUACCGAAAUUAAAGACACAAAUCAAAAUACACAAAAAUAAUUAUAAAAUCAAAUUACAAAAAUGCACAAGAUAAAUGAUAUGAGAAUUAUGAAAAAUGAUUUAUUGAACUAAUUAAUUAAAAAAAUAUUUCAAAAAUUAGUUUUUCAAGAAAUUUCAAAGGAUUUUAUUAAAAACAAUUUUGAAUUAAUAAUUUUAAUUUGUUUAUUUACAAAAAAAAAAAAGUUUCAAUAUAUUUUUAACAAGUGAUUUGAUUCAAUUUCAUUUGUAUUCAAUUUUCAAAAAAGUUAUUUACACUUAUUUUAUCAAAAGAAUUUAAUACAAAAUUUCAAUUUGACAAUAAAAAUUAUUUUUACUUCUUGUUACUAGAAAAAGUUACAACUUUAUUUAAAAAGUCCUUCAAUUUAAUUUCUAUUUACAAAGGAAUUCAUUUCUUUACAAGCUUUAUUUACAAAAAUAUUUUCGAUCCAAUUUAUUAAGAAAAUGGUUUUUGCAACUUGAAUUUGCAAAAAUGACUCCCCUCUGAUUCUCAUUAAAAGGUUAUUUUAAGACCUUCAUUUACAAAAAUUACUUUUAAUCUCAUUCUAAUUAAGGAAAUAGAAUUUAUUUAAAAAAUAUAUUUUUUUGGACAAUUUUAUUAAAAAAAAUAAUCUUUUGAGAAAUAUUAUUUAAAAGCUAGUUUUCUGAACAAUUUUUUUUAAACAUAAAUUUUCAGACAAUUAUUAUUAAAAACAAUUUUUCGAAUUUUCUUAAAAACAAAUUUUUUUGGAUUUUUCUGAAAGCAUUUUUAUGAAUUUUUAUCAAGAAAACUUUAUUUUAUAAAAAAAUAUAUAUUUUCUGAACCUUUAUUUUUAUUAAAACAAAAUUUCUAAGUUAUUGUUCAAUUUUGUUCACACCCAAUAAAUAUAUACAUAAAAAUAUUUACAGGAAUCAAUAACAAUAAAACUAAAUGGAAGUGGAAAAUAAAACGUAUAUCCCAACAAGCCUACAACAAGUUCAAUGCUUCAUUUAUAGUUUUCCUGAGCUUUCUUUCCUUCCAUGAAAUUCGAUUUUCCACUUGUCAUUGAUCUAUAUUCAAUGGAAGGAGCCCAUUCAAAACAAAAUUAAACCAAAUGUAAAUAUCUAGAAAUGUACAAAGUCCAAAAUAAAUAUUUAAACUUAAAUUCAAACUUCAAAUUAGUCAAAUAAAUUUUACUAAUUAAAAAAGGGCCCAAAUUAGUAAAUAAAACUCAACAAAAAUAACCCACAUGUUAUAGGCCUUAGUCCAAGAUCUCCAAAUUAAUAACUAAAAUACAAGCACAAUUAACCAAACCUAAAAUUUGAUAAUUAAAACAAAUUCCAUUAGACCUAAAUUUAAUAUCCCAUAAUCUAAAAGAAAUUAACCCAAUUUAAUAUGUAAACCUAAAUCCAUAACCAAAAUCAACUCAAUUUAAUAUGCAAACUUGAAGUAACACCCAAAAUAUACCACAAUUAUCUCAUAACAAAUCAAAUAAUUUAAAUGAACAAAAUCCAUAUCAAUUAUAAAUCCAUCCAACAAAUUUCAUUAACAACAAAUAAACCCAAAUUUUGUAUUAAUUCAUCAAAGCUCACAUUCCAUAUUAAUUCACCAAUUCAAAUCUCACAAAUAAAAUAAAAUAAUGCAUAAAAUAAACUUACACAUUUUUUUGGAGACCAAGAAUGAAUAGGAGAGAAAAAAAUGGCAGUGGAAUUGAGGAGAGAAAGAAAAGGAAAAAAAGGAAAAAAUAAUAAUAAAAUAGGCAAAUGGGUGAGGUGAGAAAGGGAGGGAAGGGGAAAAUGAGAAAGGGGAAAAGGAGAUGGUUGACCGACAGUGGCUUGCCAAUGACGAUUGGCCGGCCGUGUUGUCCACAGUGAAGGUUGAGUGAGUGUGGUGAGAGAGAAAGAAAGAAGAAAAGAAGUAGGAAAAAAAGAAAGAAAAAAAAAUGGGGAAGGGCAUGUACAAUCUCUAAAAGUGGGUUGUCUCCGUGAUGUGGGGGGGUACGGGAGAAAGUGGGGGUAGGUGGAAAGAGAGAGAAGAGAGAAAAAUAAAAUAAAAUAAAAUAGAGAAAAGAAGAAAAUGAAAAAGAAAAAAUGUAAAAUAUAAUAAUAAUAAUAAUAAAAUGUUCUACAAAAUAAUAAAACUAAGAAUUAAAUAGUGUCUAUGGACAAAAAAAAAAUAGAUGUAAUCAAGUUUAGAAUGUAAAGAUAAAAUGAAGCUCAAAAUCAAUGUAAAAAUAAAUAUGAGACAAAUUUUGAGGUCUAUCCAUGUAUACUUUUGAUGUUAUUGUGAUGAAGUUUAUGAUAAUCAAAGUUUGACUUUAUCAAUUUUUGAUAUAUUAUAUAUAAUGUAUGUUUAUGGUUAAUAUAUAAAGUGAAUGACUUUCUUAAUUCAUGAAAUUUAUUGAAUUGAUUUAUACAUCAACCACUUUUGAUUGAACCAUAAAUAUGAUUUUGUUCAUGUUGUUGCAUCUUUAUCAUCAAUAGAUUCUAUAUGUAAGUGAAAUAGAUUAUGUUAUAUAUAUAUUUAUGUCAAUAGUGAAUUUUGUAUCUUUGAUAGUAAUGUUUUAACGAUAUAUGUACUAUAUAUAAAGAACCAAGAAAAUAUUAGAAGGGUAAACCCAACGAGAGGAAGUACUACCUAAUUCAUAAAUAGUACAAAAUGGUGAUAUGGUGGUCGAGAAAAUACCUUCCACGAAAGAACCUAAUGGAUCUCUUUAAUAAAACAUUAAUAGGCGUCACAUCACUUGUGGCUGGUUUGUGUACCGCUUCCCCGCUUCAUCAAUUGGUGUCAAGUCACUCACAUCAAAGCUUCAUUCAGAAUAACCACCUUGAUGGGCCUUAAUGUAAUUAAGGAAUGUGGAAUUGGUAUAGUGUAUGUUAAUGAAGAGAUGAAUUACUCUAUCUUCACUCCUCCUAAUGAGUCAUCUGUUGUCCUUCAAGAAAUCCACGAGGAGGGACCUAGUGCAAGCGGGUGCUCUAAUAUUGAACUCUGAUUACUAUUCUGCUGAUGAGGGGGAACCCACUGCACCCCUACUGUAAGGAUCACUCUGAAUCAGAGAUGUAGCUAGAGCAACGGUUGCAAUGCAGCCAUUAUCAGAGCAUCCCUUGGCGAGGAGGAACCGGGCAGACAAAUGCUUGAUAUGCACCCAAAUCUUCCGAUAUCAACUAUUGGUGAGCUGUGUGCUUCCUUUGUUUCUUAUCUUGAAACUGACUUUGUUCCUUUGUUUCUAAUAUUUUUGAAACAUCAUAACCAUUGGAGUUUUCGGGUUGUGCAGUAGUGGUGUUGCUGACAAGCUUUUGAAGUUUGAUACAUGCUGGGUGGUUGUUGCUGGUUUUUGCUUUAAAUUUGCCUUGAUACAUGUUGAGUUGUUUAGCAAACUCACUCUUGACAGAUUUUGGUUAUUCUUUCCCACAUGCUAAUGUGAUAUAUCUCUGUUCAAAUUCCUAUUUUCAUUCUUAUUCUCAUAUACUGAACAUACACCCUUAAGGGCAUAUGUUCUCUUCUAAUGUUAGAACAAAAAGGAUCAUGAUAAUUUUUUUUUGGGGAUGGGUUCUUUUGGCUGAAUAUGAUAGAGCUGUUAACAGUUCAUGGUUACUUUGUAAGAAUUGUAAAUUCUUUGGUUGAUUUUUAUACCAUAUUUUGUAGUUUCAUUUUGAUGGAUUCUAAGGUAAUCCAUGACUCAUUUAUCUUCAUUUUGUUAGUAAUGAUGUAUAAGAUACUUGCAGCCAAUGUUUUGAAAACCGGACUAAACCGUUAUCGGCCAUCUCUCAGGUCGAGUUUUCCCUAGGGAACCAUUUUCAUAUUAAACCGGGCUUGAACUGCUCAAGUCGGUCUGGUUUGCACCAGGGAACUAUUUUCAUAUUAAAUCGGUGUUAAACCGCUUGAGCCAUGGUUGGAUCAUUGAACCGGACGGACCGUUCGGCUUCCUAAGAAGCAGUCAAGCCCAAAACUGGGCCAAACUUCCACUUGUUGUAGAAGCCCAAUAGGCUCUACAGCCAAUCAUCCAUUAAAAGCCCAAACCGGUUGAGCCCAAGAGGGUUUAAACGAGCCAAAGCCCAACCCAAUCCGAUGUGGGAUUGAUUCCAGGUGGUAAGGAAAAAAAGUUGUGCAUGCUGCAGGUGGAUUUGAGGUCAGCUUUAAAAUCAAGGGCAAGGCCAUUGAGCUAUAUGCCAUCCAUGUACAAUAAUGCUGUAAAACUAAAUAUAUAGAAAGAUUAAUGGUUUUUUUUUCAAAUAUUUUCAUGUAAAUAUUUACGUUCAUGUCUAUUUGUAUAAUAAUAAUUAUGAAAAUAAUGUAAAUAAUUAAUAUAAUAAUUUUAAAGUAAUAAAAUACAACGAGAUAAAAUUAAAUACUAUGAUUUUAUUUUCAUCUUAAAUACUUUAUAUUUAAAUAUUAUACAUAUUCUAUUUAAUAAGGUUUCAAAUAUUAAUAUAUUUACAUUUAUCUUUAUAAUUUAAUUUGAUAUAUCUAAUAUAAAAUUGAAAUAUUAUUUAAAAUUUUUAUUAUAUAUUCUAAAUUUUUUAUAAUUAUUUUUUUAUUUUAUAUAAUAUAUAAAUUAUAUAAUUAUUACUUCAUUGAUUCUAUUGUGGUUCAACCAUCGAUCCAAUCAAUAAACCACAAAUCGAUAACUUUUUCAAUCCAAUAACGGAUCUGGUUCUAAUUAUUACAAAUGGAAGUAAUUUAUUGCUUUGAGAAGGUUAAGGAAGGAAAGAUAGAAUAAGUCCUCCUCUAUCGAAGUCCCCUUUGGUAACUGGUAACAAAACCUAAGCUCUCCCUUGUAUAUUUCAUGACAUAAUUUUAAGUAAAGAGGUAUAUUUGGCAAAUAAUCAUUCUCUUCCCCUUACUUCCAUCCUGCUCACCGUCCUAGGAAAAAUUUAGCAUCUUCAACCUUGUACCACGCGUGCUCUCGGGUCCUAUGGCUUUGUUUCUAAUCCCCAUUUGCAAAAAGUUCAGUGUGUGAAGCCUAAGGGUCUUAACGAAAAAUCAUGGUAUAAAAUGUGAACCAACCAAAAGGCUUUAUCCAAUUCUUGUGGCCAUGCAAAGCCCUUGUCUUUCUCUAGCCGGAGACUUACUUGCAAGGCGACGGAAGUGUCGGUGGCGGAGGAGCCGUCGGCUGCGGGGGAUGGCGAGAACUGGGUGCCAGUGGUGCCGCUGUCGGCAUUGCCCAAGGGGGAGCGGCGCGUGAUUAUACAGGACGGAGAGACGAUUCUGUUGUUGUGAUUAUACACGAAAUUUAUGUGAAGAAUGAAAGGCUCUUUUGAGGCUCAUGCAAGCCAUGUAAGAAUUUCAUGUGGCCUAGUGUAUAUUAUUAUGUGAUAUUCAUUUAAAUAUCAAAUUAAAAAUUAUGGUCAAAUAAAUAAUAAAACUACCAGAAGUUAAUUUCCUAAAUUAAAGGUACUUUAAUGGAAAGCGUACGCCUUAUCUGAUCUUCUCUUCACCCUGUAAAAUAAAUGUUCUAUUUGAUCAAAUACACAUAAGAAAAAACCUAAGAGUAGAAGGGUUAAGAAAGAACAACACGGUUUCUACUUUGCUUAUUGUUUGAUCUCUUUAAGACUUCUAUAUGGAUUAAAAGUAUGUCUUUUCUCAAUAAUGGAAUUGUGAAAAUCAUAUUAUUCUAAAAUCCUUGACUAUUUUGAUUCAAACAAAAUUAGGAUUUGAUUUGCAUAAUUAAAUAAUUACUUAUGAGUUUCAUUGGUGAGCAUAUAAUACCACUGACAUAUGUUGAUUAAGUGACAUGAAUACUUUUGAUGUUAUUGUGAUGAAAUUUAUGAUAAUAAAAGUUUAUUUUAUCAAUUUUCAAUAUGUUAUAUACAAUGUAUGUUUAUGGCUAAUAUAUAAAGUGAAUGACUUUCUCGAUUUUUGAAUUGAUUUAUGCAUCAACCACUUUUGAUUGAACCAUAAGUAUGAUUUUGUUCAUGGUAUUACAUCUUUAUCAUCAAAAUAGAUAUAUAUCUAUAUGUAUGUGAAAUAGAUUAUGAAAAUACUAGAAGAGUAAACAUAUUGAAAGGAAGUACCACCUAAUUCAUAAAUAGUACAAAAAGGUGAUAUGCCAAUUGAGAAGAUACCUUUUGUAAAGAACCUAAUAGAUUCUUAUACUAAAACACUUAUAGGAAAAGUCUUUGAUUGUAACGGGGACAAUAUAGGUGUCAAAUAUGCACCUAAUUUACUUUUAUAGCAUUAUGUUUUGAGGGCUAAUGGAAGAUUGUUAGGAUAUCAUCCUACAAAGCAUUACAUGAUAUAAUUAGAAAUUUGGAUUUAUCAUUUAUUUAAUUAUAUUCUAAUUGCUCUUUUAUCUAUGCUUGUAAUAGAGAGUUCCCUAUAUUCAAAUCCCAACCCUAAUAUCAUAUAAAAUAAAGUUUCAUGCUAGUAGAAUAUCUAAAUAUAUUCUCGGUAGUUUUUGGUCAUCAUUGGCAUAACUUUGGGCUAUGCACAAUAACUUUCCAUAUAUUUGGCUUUUAGGUAUAAAUUUAAUUUCUAUAUGAAAUCGUUCAAUAUAUAACUUUUUGCUACAUGAGUCUAAAAGUUAUUAACUUCCAUGCAUGGUGCGACUGGUGGGGUUUCCAAUCACUUGGAAACCAUGUCCAGAUACAUAUGAAGAGAUCAAUAAAACCAACCUUCCACUUCCUACAAUAAUAGUUUACCAAGUGUAUCUUCAAUCCUAAGCCAGUCUGGUAUUCGGUGUUGCAGCUCCUGUAAACUGGCCUCUGCUUGGUCCAGCUCCAGAUAAAGCUGCUCUACUUCAGCUAUCUUCUCAUUCAAGCGCCUACGAAUCACGUCCCUCUUGCCCUCUGCUUGUGCAUACUCAACUAAAGGUUGCACUCCUGUAAACUGGCCUCUGCUUGGUCCAACUCCAGAUAAAGCUGCUCUACUUCAGCUAUCUUCUCAUUCAAGCGCCUACGAAUCACGUCCCUCUUGCCCUCUGCUUGUGCAUACUCAACUAAAGGUUGCACUCCAACAAAUGGGCUUCUUAACCAAUCAACCUUAACCCGCGCCCUUGAAAAGAAGAAGAAUUAGCUGAAUUAAUAUUAUUGAUGUUGAAGUGUGUAUUUAUACAAGGAGGUUUGAGAUCUUUUUCUACAAAUCAGAAAUCAGCUUACCAUAUUCUAGACUAUCCAGCUAUAAGUCAGGAAUUACAAUAGGAAAACUAACAUAUACAGAUCAUCUAUUCUUAAUAUGGAAGAUUUAGGAAGAUUGACUUUCCAACACUCCCCCUCAAGUUGGAGAGUGGAUAUCCUGCACUCCCAACUUGCGAAUCAUAGGAGCAAAAAUCUCCUUUCCCAAUGGUUUAGUUAGAAUGUUUGCAAGUUGGUGUGCUGAGCUCACAUGUCUUGUAAUAAUGGAACCAUCUUGGAUCUUGUCCCUAAUAUAGUGACAAUCCAUCUCAAUAUGUCUAGUACGCUCAUGGAAAACAGGGUUAGCUGCAAUGUGCAACGUUGCCUUGUUGUCACAAUACAGCAAGGCAGGUUCCUGAUGUAAAACAACCAAAUCUUUCAAAAGGUACCGAAGCCAUGUCAACUCACAACAAGCUCUUGUCAUUGCACGAUACUCUGCUUCGGUUGAAGAGAGUGACACUGUUUUCUGUCGCUUUGAUCUCCAAGAAAUCAAUAAAGGUCCAAGGAAUACACAGUAGCCUACAGUGGACCUUCUAGUAAGUGGACAACCUGCCCAAUUAGAAUCACAGUAGGCUCUCAAUCUAAAAUCAUUAUUCGAAGAGAAGAACAGACCCUGACCAGGUGUAUUCUUGAGAUAACGUACAACUCUGAACGCUGCUUCCAUAUGAGCCUUUCUCGGUUGAUGCAUAAACCAGCUUAACACAUGAACUGCAUAAGUGAUAUCUAGCCUCGACAUAGUUAGAUAUAUUAACCUUCCAACCAAUCUCCUAUAACGACCUUGAUCCUUGAGCAAAUCGCUCUUAUCAGACAAUUUCAAUCCUCGUUCCAUAGGUGUAUCAAUAGGGGCAGCGCCCAACAAUCCUGCAUCCUCAAUAAUCUCUAAUGCAUACUUACAUUGGGAAAUAAAAAUCCCAUUUUUAGAAACAGAAACCUCAAUGCCAAGAAAGUAUUUUAAAUCACCCAGAUCUUUGAGAUGAAAAUGACUAUGUAGAAAUUUUUUUGUUGUAGCAAUGCUCACAGGAUCAUUUCCAGUAAUCAGAAUAUUAUCAACAUAUAUCAAGAGGGCAGUAAAGGACUUGCCUUGUUUUCUGGUGAACAAAGAAUAAUCGACUCGAGAUUGUGCAUAACCGACGGAUUGAAUAGCUUCUGAGAACUUGGCGAACCACUGGCGAGAAGCUUGUUUCAGACCAUAGAGUGAUUUAUGAAGGCGACAUACCAAGUUUUCCUCCCCCUGUCGCCGAAGCCCUAGCGACGGAGACAUAUAUAUUUCCUCAUGUAAGUUGCCAUGAAGAAAAGCGUUGUUAACAUCCAUUUGAUGAAGAGACCAGCCACGGGCUGCGGCAAUGCAAGCAAGCAGCGGACAGAUAUGAUCUUGGCGGUGGGGGCAAAGGUAUUCUGAUAAUCGACACCUUCUAAUUAAGUAAAGCCUUUCGCUACCAAUCGUGCUUUGUAACGCUCAAUAGACCCAUCUGAACGGUGUUUAAUUUUAUACACCCAUCGACAGCCAAUCGUUGUCUUACCGGCCGAAAGUGGAGUGAGAAACCAAGUGUCAUUAGCUUGGAGAGCCUGCAAUUCAGAACACAUUGCCUCCUGCCACUCAGGAUGAGCGGCUGCUUCUAAAUAAGACCUGGGUUCUGUGACAGCACUAUGUUGAGCAACAAAAGAUCUAUAUGCAGGCUUAUAUCUGUGAUAAGAAACAUAAUUGGCCAGUGGAUGUGUACCUUUAGUUGGACCUGGAAUCAAGAAAGACGAUUGAUUGGAGGAAACGUGGGAACAAACAUAAUCGUGGAGCUUGAUUGGCGGGGCGAUAUGGCGGCUGGAGCGACGAAGAGGAGUGGCUGGUUUGGGUGAGUGUGUCUCGGCUGGAGGAACGGACGGGAUGGAUGCAAACGGUGGCACCGGAGAAGGCGAUACUAGAGUUGUAGAAGGCGGUGGUGAAGGGUUUGGAUCAAUCUGAGAAGAAGGUUCGAUAAUGAGUUCGGAAUGUCGAGAAAGAGAGGAAAAGUCGUCAUUUUCUGUGGUGGGAGACAGUGUGCUUGUGUGGUUGGAAAGAAGAGGGGAAAGUGCGUGAGAAGUAGAGUCAAGGGAGGAAGAGAUGUCGUGGGCCACCAAGGGGAUUGGGCCAGAAUUAUGGGUGAACGAAGAGAGAGUAGAGUUGGGCUUGAGAGAGACAUAAGGAAAAAUAUCUUCAUGAAAUUUGACAUCUCGGCUAGUAAAGACCUUUUUGGUUGAUAAAUCAAAUAAUUUGUAUGCUUUCUGACCAACAGGAUAACCAAUGAAGAUGGAUGGCAUGGCACGGUAAUCAAAUUUGUGAGAGGUGUGAACAUUGGUGGCAUAGGCUAAACAUCCGAAAACACGGAGAUGGAGUAAGAAGGUGGUUUUGAGUAAAGCAAUUCAAAAGGAGUUUUGAAAGACAAUAUUGGUGAAGGUAACCGAUUGAUGAUGUGUACGGCAAUGAGAGCACACUCCCCCCAAAAUUGAGUGGGAACUUGAGCAUGGAAUUUCAAAGCUCGGGCUACUUGUAAAAUAUGACGAUGUUUGCGUUCCACAACCCCAUUUUGUUAAGGCGUGUAAACACAAGAAUGCUGAAAGAUGACACCAUUAUCUUGAAAAAAAGGAACGAAGUGAGGUAAAUUCUCUACCAUUGUCACUUCGAAAAGUUUUAAUGCGAAAUUCAAAUUGUGUGAACACAUAGCUGAAGAAAUGUUUUAAAAGUGAUUGUGCUUCAUCUUUAUAUCGCAUUAAAAAUAUCCAAGUGAAACGUGUAUAAUCAUCGACAAUAGUGAGAAAGUAAUGGGCACCAAACAGAGAACGGUGUCGAUAACGACCCCAAAUGUCACAAUGAAUAAUCUCAAAAGGUUUUGUAGAAGAAAUAGCACUAGUACCAAAAGGUAAACAACUUUGCUUAGCCAAAGGACAUAUAGGGCAAGCAUUAUUGGACUGAACAAAAAAAUUCAAAAAAUUCUUGGCAAUGAAACUCAAACGAGAAGGUGAUACAUGGCCUAAGCAACUGUGCCAGAGAUCGGUGGAAGAGAUGGCGAGAUUGCAGGCUGGUUGGUUUGUGGAUGAGGAAUGGUUGGUUAAAGAUUUCUCCGUCGCUAGUGCCACCAAAUAGUAUAGUCCGUCACGUUGUUUACCCAAACCAAUCGUCCUCCUCGUAGCCAGAUCCUGCAAAAUACACCAAUAAGGGAAACACGUCACUGAACAAUUUAGACCUCUUGUCAAACGACUAACUGAUAUUAAAUCAACUUUGAAUGUAGGCACAGAUAAGACAUCAUGCAGAUAAUAGACGGAAUUCAGAGGCAAAGUCCCUUUCGUAACAAUAUUCGUUUUUUCUCCACUAGGCAACAAUACGAGCGGUAACGAGCAAUUUUUAUCUUUAUGCAAUAACUUAGAGGAUGAAGUAAUAUGAUCCGUCGCCCCACUAUCAAUAAUCCAAUUGCGAGAAGCGACUUUGGACAAACCUGGCUUUGUUACAGCAUUCACUUUGGAACUAGAGUUUUCAUCUUGGUUAUUAAGAAGUGACAAAAGUUGCUUGAGUUGGGCUUCUGACAAUGCAACUGCAGGUUUCCCUUCAUCUGCCUCAGAAACUUGGUUAGCUGCAGAAAAACUUUUAUUUCGAUUUGAGUUUGAGCCUAAGUUUAUUCUUGCUUUUGGAUGGUCUGGUGGGUAUCCAUGUAGUUGAAAACACUUUUGGACCCAAUGACCCAUAUCUCCACAAUACGAGCACUGGGGGCGUCCUCUUCCAGAACCCAUGCGGCGCCAAUCUUGAUCAAAAAAUGGUCUGCCAUCUUGUCCCUGAGAAGACCGAUUCACCCGGAAAUUUUGAGAACUAGAGGGGUGAUCAGUCGGUUCCAUCCUUCCUGUGUUCGAUCGAUCUAUUCCAUCCUUCCAAGUUGCCGAAGACUUGUCGUUGCUACGCACAGCCAUAGCAGCACUUGCGGCAGAUUCCGCUGCUGCGUUCGUCGAAGUGAGGAGGCGUUGUUUUUCUUCUUGAGAGACAGAGGAGUAUGCUUGGCGGACAGAAGGAAGAGGAUUCAUCAGGAGGAUUUGCCCGUGAAUAGCACUGUAAGAUUCAUUCAAACCCAUCAGAAAUUGCAUCAAUUUUUGUUGAUCUUGUUGUGCCCCAUGUGAUGCAGCGUUGUAGGAAGCCAGUUCAUCCCACAGGCCUUUCAAUUUUGUGUAAUAGGCAGAGACAGAGAGUUGCUCUUUUCAAAGACAAGCAAUAUCUCGCUGAAUUUCAAAGAUGCGAGGCGCAUUGCUCUGAGAGAAUCGCUCACAGAGAUCUUCCCAAACUUCAUGAGCAGUAGAAUAAUAGAUUACACUGUCCGCAAUUUCUGGAUUGAGAGUAUUGACGAUCCAGGAGUGAACCAUGUCGUUACACCGUGACCAAGUCGCAUAACCUUCAGGAUCAAUUUCUUCUGAAGGAGCCUUGAUCGAGCCAUUAACAAAACCCAAUUUGUUCUUGGAAUUUAAAGCUAGAAUCAUAGCCCUUUUCCAAGCUGAAUAAUUGUCUCCAUUCAAAGAUUUGGAAAUCAAAACCAAACCUGGGUGAUCUGAAUGGUGAGUGAAAUAGGGAUUGGAGAGAUCUGCCUUUGAGAAAUCCGUAGGAAUCUCUAAUUUUGCCAUGAUGAUUGAAGAAAAGAGAUGCUAUACGAGAGAUUAGAGUGUAGCAAUAAAUCAGGAUUUUAGUCCUGCUCUGAUACCAUGAAAAGAAGAAGAAUUGGCUGAAUUAAUAUUAUUGAUGUUGAAGUGUGUAUCUAUACAAGGAGGUUUGAGAUCUUUUUCUACAAGUCAGGAAUUAGCUUACCAUAUUCUAGACUAUUCAACUAUAAGUCAGGAAUUACAAUAGGAAAACUAACAUAUACAGAUAAUCUAUUCUUAAUAUGGAAGAUUUAGGAAGAUUGACUUUCCAACACCCUCUCCAAAUCACUCAAUGCUCUAUCAAUGAAGUAGGUGUCUGCACCAGACAGGCUACAGGCAGUAUUCUUCUGCAUCAGCUCCACAAUCUGCAGUAUGGAACCUUUGAUGAUCUCUACAAACUGGGGUGCUGUAAAGGAGCAAUUGGCAGUUACGUCUCCAUAUUUGGUCCAUAUUUGCUGCCAAAUCGACUCCCUGGUAUUGGAAGUUACACCAGAUCCCUCAACCAUCUCAAGAAGCCCUGCAGCAGCUGUGUUAGGAUCUGUGAGAGUUUUGUCUGUGUCCUCAGCUUCAGUUGGAGCGAAGGAAGUUUGGAUCUCCUAAAGCCCAAAAAAGAGAAGGAAAAGUAUAGAACUUGUGCUUGGAAUUAACCAACAAAAAAGAUUAAUUUUGAUGUAAAAGUGCCCAAGGAAAAAUAUUUUGGUAGUUUCAGUUGAAAAUUUUGACAAACCUUGUCAGCUCCCGAAGCACCUUCCACUUCAUCUGAAGGCCAAUUAAGUGUAUCUAGGCAUUGCAACCUGUGAUUAUGCUCAAGAUGAAGUUUUGUGAUCACCCAUUGUCCAUUGUCAAGUUUGACUUGGAUCUGGACAUUGCAACCUGUUCUUGUUUCUGAUCUCUGAUACUUUGUUCCCUGGUUGGGAUGCUUCUUGGUCCGGAAGCCUUCACAUGAACAAAGAAAGCAUCGCCCUUUCAGUGUACCAUUUGCUUUCCUUUGUACCUUUCCUUUUCUUACUGUAAAACCAAUUCUCUUGGCAUACUUUUUACAAAAUUCUUCAGCUUCUAACUCAGAAGAAAACGCCAUCCCUCUCCGUGGUAUCUGAUCAUCGUCUUCAGGAUUUUUCUCAUUUACAUUAACCAAUGUUCCAAUCUCAUCACCAUUUACAUUAAUAGCCAUUUCAGUCUCACCACUAUAGAACGAACUCCACCAAGAAUCAAAAUUAAGCUCAUCCUGUACAAAGUGAGAUAGAGAGAGAAGUUUUCUAUGAGAAAAAUGAGAAGCAAAAAGUGGUACAAUGCAUAACAAUAAUUUUCUUCUGUUACACCAACUAUUGAUUCAAACUACAUCUUAUCCUGUAACUCUUGUAGAACAAUGAAUUAAUAUAAGAAGAGUGACACUGUAAGACGGCUUAUAGACAAGUAGAUGGAGUAACCAAUUCUUGAUUUGCUGGUAGCAGCUUUAUUUGGGCAGAAAAGUUUUUGAAUUAUUUAUCUUUAAAAUUAACCGUUGUUCUAGAAAAUGGAUCGAGCUUACCUGGAUAGUGAGGCGCCUGAAGGUACCGCCAACUCUGUUGUGGUUUACUAAAUCAUCAGAUUCCUGUAUGGCACCCCGAACAUCUGGGCGUGAACCGAUGGAACUAUACCUGCAAGAUGAUAGGGUUCGAUAGACAUUCUGGUGCAGUUGAUGGGUGUGGAUCCAGAGGAUCGGUGCUUGAUUGCUUUGCUUCCGGCUGGUGCAGGACCCUCAAAUGUUUGGGAUCUCGCCUUCCCAAGCCAAGACUCCUUUUAUGGCUCUCGCAGCCUGCUGUGUGGGACAGCGUCCUUUUUCCUUGUUUGCUUUGCUUCCGUUCCCAAAUUCCAACCCACUGCGCUUUGACCAGAUGGUCCAAAUCUCCAUUUCUCGGCCACGUCGGUGCCUUUGGUGCUCUUUUCCCUUGUUUUAUUUCCUUCAGUGCCUUCACUACAAAAUACAUGGUCCCACCCACCGUUUUUAAAAUUCAACCCAUCUUAUCUAUUUAAGCAUCCGUUGUCUUUUUUAUAAUUCAAAGAUAAAGGUUUUUUAUCUUUCCUCCCAAGAGGCUACUACUCAAAAAGUCAAAACUUCAGAAACAUUAAAUAUAUAUAUAUAAAAUAGAGAAUUAUCAAAACGGUGGGCGGAAAGUGGUAAUCCUUUUUAAAAGUCAUCAUGUUGACCAAUUCUACUCCUCGGGUAAUCAUUUGAAAGAAAUUUUCAAUUAUAUCCUAUCUAAACUUUAUUUUUUUAUUUUUUUCUUUUGUAUUAUUAUUAUUAUUAAAUAUUAAUACUACUCUUAAUAUUAUUAUUUAUGAUAUUAGUAUUUUAAAUUUUCAUAUUAUUAUUAGUAUCAUUCUUAUUAAUAUUAUUUAUUAUUUUUAUGAUUAUUAUUCAUAUUUUUAAUAUUAUAUUAAAAAUAAUAUUAUUAUAUUUUUAUUACUACUACAAAGAAACCUUAGAAGAUAAUUUAUAUUUUUUCGUUCUUAGAACUUGUAAACUUUAUUAAAAAUUUAUUCUUUUUUUUUCAUUUUAUACUUUAUAUGUUAUAUUAAGAUUAAUUAAAUUAUUAUUAUUAUUAUUCUUAUUAUUGCUAUUAAGAUAUUAGUUUUAUAUUAUUAAUAUUUUAAUAAAAUAAUAUUAUAUCCAAGUUAUAGAUAUAAUAAAAAAUGCAUUGAUGUUAAUAAUAUAAUAGAAUAAAGCAAUGUUUCUAAUACUAUUAGAUUUGUUACAAAAUGUAAGUACAACAUUUAUCUAUUGAAUUUAUAACAUAAAUACAUUAAAAAUACGAUAUAGUACAACAUUUUUAAUAGUUUUCAUGUAAAAAUAAAAUAAAAUUUUAUCAUUUAAAUUUAUCUCAUUUUAACUGUUAUACAUUCCAUCAUGUUAAUGUCUUGUAAAUUACUAUUGCAUUUUUUUUCCCACAAAUAAUAGAUUCAUGUUUAUCAUCUCACAAAUAAAUUUUAAUUAGGAUUUAUAUUUAUUUUAAUUUUUAAAAUAUUUAUAAAUAUAAAACAUAAUACAAUAAUUUAGUUUACAACAUUAAACUUUACCUUGCUCCACAUCCUUUCAAAAAGCAAGGAUGACCUUGCCCCAUGUGCUUUCAAAAAAUAAGGAUGAAAAUAUGGAUAAUUAUGAAUAUAUCAGUUAUUUAAUUUUACUGAUACAUUAGAGAUGCGAAUAUUUUCAUACAAAUAUCGAUGAAUAAAAAAUUGAUCAAAACUCAUGAAAAUAUUAUGAAAAUCUCUAAAAAAAAUGAUAUAAAAAUAAUAAUAAUAGAAAUAUUGAGAUUGUUUUGUUAAAAUAAAUUGAUAUAUAUAUAUAUAUAUAUAUAUAUAUAUAUAUAUAUAUAUAAUAUAAGUUGUGAUAUUUAACAAUAAUGUUUAUAACUUGAAAACAUAUUUUAUGUAUAUACACCAAAUUUGAAUAUAUUUAACAAUAUAUAAGAAAUGAUAAUAAUUUGUAGAAGAAUUUUUUGUUUCACACAAUAACCAAAACUAAUUAAUUUAUAAUAAUUUUAUUAUAAUUAAUUUAUAACAUAUAUAUACAUUAAAUAUGUUCGAUUUAUAAUGUAGCAUGGUUGGUUGGCUGGUGGUGGGGGAUUUUCCCCAACUUGAGGUUCUACCUUUCAAAUGAGCGCAAUGUGUAGGCUGGUAAGCGAGCCCAUUGCAAGAUGUUUGAAAAAAAAAAAAAGGAAAAGAAAAAGAAAAAAAAUGAAUCAUGUGGCAUUGAAAUUAUUGGUGCAUCAGUCGUAUGUCGGCGAAAAAUGGCAAGAAAAAAAAAACUCAAUCGGUCAAUUUAAUCUACUAUUCUUAUAAACAAGUUUGUUUGGCUAAAGGGUAGAUUUCACAAACAUGCUUGGAAUCAAAAUAAAUUUCAAGAUUAAUUUUAGCAAGAACUUGAAGAGAACUGGAUGACGAGUGCCCAAGAUGCUAAUGCCAAAGAUUGGGAUGUUUACAAAUGGCAUAAGCCAAGGCUAGAUUUUGGUCUUGUGCUAGGUAGUAGAGGUCAUUAUGUUGCUUGCCCAAGCCAAUAGUCUUCCUUGUAGCAGUGUUUUACACAAUACAAAAAUUGGAAAAGAACAUCACUAUACAUUUAAAUGUCCAUGUUAGUUUACUAAAUGAUAGUAAAUUAACUUGAAAUUGUGAAACUUUGAGUACUUCAUCAAGUUUAAUGUGGGGUGAAAUAUUCAAUGAACUAAUCGACUUAAUAUGUGUUUGACCACCAUCUGGCAAACUAAUGGUGGUUAUCUUAUGCAAAUUUUUUAGAUCUAGUAAUUCAGUUGAAGAAGUCACAUGAUUUGCGGCUCCACUAUCAAUAAUCCAACACAUAUUUCUGAGUGUAGGUAAUCUUGAAUGAUUUUGGAUGAUAUAUUUAUACUUGUGGCAUUUGCAAAAUAUUGUGAGUUACCAUCAUUGUUUUUUUGAAUCAUGGCCAUUAGUUGGUCAUAUUCCUCAGUUGUGAGCCUUAAUCCGUCACUUGUUGGAAGAUAUUUUGCUUUUAUCUCCAUGACCUUGUUUGUUUCCACCUUCACAUUGUUUGCAUUUUAGUGACACUGAUUGGGAGACUUCACGUUCUUCCCAUGAAGCCUGUGACCUAUUGGAAAGCAAUAUAGGUAGUAACACUUCUCAAUGUUAUGAUAAUCACCGUCACAAUAAGAGCAAUGUAGCAAAGUUUUUUACCUUUAAACCUAGUGUGCUGGAGUCACCUUGUUGUGCCAAUCUGCAAGCAUGGCAUGACGGUUCAUGUUCCCAUGUUUGAUAUAAACUUCAACCUGUUUUUCUUAUUGAAGGACAAGUGAGUAAACUCGACAUGUAUCAGGUAGAGGUUGCAUAUCAAUAAGAUUUGUCCAUGAAUGGUAGCAUAACUAUCAUUCAAUCCCAUGAGAAACUGCAUAACUCUUUCUUUCUCAUCCUUUUCCUUGAGUUUCUCCAACCCUCCACAAGAGUAGGAUAACACUUCAUGAUAGGAUGAAAGUUCAUCCUAAAAAGCUUAAAGCUUUGUGUAGUAAACCGAAAUUGAUUGUUGGCUCACCUAUGUUCCAUGAUUUCUCGUUUGUUUUAAUAAAUUCUUGAAUUAUUUCCUUGAAAAAAGCAUUCUUUUAGAUCUACCCUAACUUUUGUUGAAGUUUCAACAUAAAUCACACUGUUGAUUAUGUCUGGAUGAAUGAAAUUCAAUAACCAUGAGAUCACCAUAUCAUUGCAUCAUUGCAUCAUUGCUAAGAAGGAAAACUAUCAUAUGUCAAUGGAGUUGGAGUCAGCUUGAUUGAACCUAUGACAAAUCCAAUCUUAUCUUUAGUACUCAAACUAAUUCUCAUACCCCGACUCCACGUGUUGUAGUUAUCUCCUUCAAGUACCUUAGAGAUGAGUACCAUACUCGGAUGGUUCGAGUGGUGUAGAGAGAAGGAAUGUGAGGCUUCUAUGGUAGCCUUAGACGAUGUCAACAAUCUCAUUCUGUUAUUAAUGUCCAUGGCAGCAACUGUAACAAGGAAUUAGGUUGCAAAAAUAUUUGGAAGAAUUCAAAGCCACCAAGUUUGGUGCUUUGAUACCAUGUCAAAAACAAAGUAAAACAGAAUAUUUUGGAAAUCUUCAGUAUAUUGAAUGUUUUGACUUACAAAGAAAAAAAUACAUAUAUAUAAAACAUCAGUUAGCCUAUUAUAGGAAACUAUGUGUAAACAGAUCAAUUACAAUCAAUCAAAAAAAUAAUCUCAUAUUAACAAAUCUUAUCCUAAAAUUAUGAGAUUCUUGAUUCUUUUCUUGUAAUAAGUUCCACGGUUGGAGUCAAAUAAAGCUCCAAUAAAUGUUCCAUUUUACCUUGAAUAUCUAGAAACUUCUUGAGCCCUGAGCAGCCAAAGAAAUUAAGAAUUUCAAGUGCUUCCAUUUUGAUGAUGCUCUAAAAAUUGCUAAGCUUUUUGCAGUUUUUCAAACUCAAUAAAAUAAGCUUGCUAAGCUUUCCAAUAGAUGGGUGGACCUAAAGCAAACUUGAACAACCAUCAAGAAUUAGUUUCUCCGGAUUGGGCGCACUAAAUGUGAUGUCUGGAAUUUCAAUUAGGUGUUGAAGAAGCUAUAACCAAAAAUAAAAAAGAAAAACCAAUAAUAAUAAUUACUUUAGUAUAUAAGCUUUCAUGGAGUUUAGAGAUUAACUAAAGAAGAAACAUGAAAAAAAUAAAAUAAAAUCACUCAUCAUACCAUGUCAUUUUCACAAAGUUGUUUUAAGCUGCUAUGACACAUGUUAAGUUCUACAAUGUCUUUUGCAUAAAAACUUUAAUAGUUUUUAUGUAAAAAUAAAAUAAAAUUUUAUCAUUUAAAUUUAUCAAACUUUAACCGUUAUACAUUCCAUCAUUUUAUCGUCUUGUAAAUUACUAUUGCUUUUUUUUUCCCACAAAUAAUAUAUUCAUGUUUAUCAUCUCACAAAUAAAUUUUAACUAGGAUUUAUAUUUAUUUUAAUUUUUUAAAUAUUUAUAAAUAUAAAACAUUACACAAUAAUUUAGUCCCAACUCAAGACUUUACUUUGUUCCACACCAUUUCAAAAUCCAAUGAUAAAAAAAUAUCGAUAAUCAUGAGUAUAUUGAUAUUUUGAUUUUAGGAAUAUAUCAUAGAUACGGAUAUUUUGACGUAAAAUGUCGAUGGGUCAAAAAUUUGAAUGUACUUAAUAAUAUAGAAGAAAUAAUGAUAAUUUGUAUAAGUAUUUUUUAUUUUAAAAUUUUGAUAAUUUUAUUCAUAAAUUUAUAUUUAUUUUGUAUUUAACACAGUAAUCAAAAUUAAUUUAUUUAUAAUAAUUUUAUUUGAAUUAAUUUAUAUAUAUAAUUAUAUUUGUUUAUAUAGAUAUAUGGUUUAGAGCCCGUUUGACAGUGAUUUUUAAAAGUGUUUCUACCCUUAAAAACACUUUUAAGUGUUUUUGGGAUGAAAAUAAAGUGUUUGGCAAAUUUUAAAAAACACUUUUGAAAAUCUGGAAAAACACUUAAAGUGAUUUUUAGAGAAUCACUUAACAGGUGUUUUUUUUUAAAAACACUUCAAUUUUUUUGAAAUAUUCCAAAAAUGCCCCCCAGUGGUCAUAUAUUGUUUUACUUUUAAAAUUAUCUUUUAUUCAAUGUUUUUUUUUUUUUUAUUGAUUUAGAUGUUUUUUGUAAAUAUUUUUUAAAAUUUUAGUAUAGUGAUAAAAAAAUUAUUAUUUUUAAUUAGAAAAGUCUUUUUCUUUUUUAGAAAUUAAUAGGUAAAAUCAUAUAUUGUUUUAAUUUUAAAAUUAUCUUUUAUUCAAUGUUAUUUUUUUAGUGAUUUAGAUGUUUUUUCAUUAAUAAAAAGUUUUUUUGUUUAUCAUACCAUUUUUUUUAAUUAAAAUUGUAUGUCCUUUUUGGUAAUUUAUUAAUAUUAAAAGUGUUUUUAUAUUUAUACAAUAUAUUAUCAAAAACACUUUAGAAUCAUUUUUUCUGAUUAUCAUAAAAGUGUUUUUCACAUAAACACUACAGUAGAAAACACUUCAAAUAAAAACACUUCCACUAGAAUCACUACCAAACGGGCUCUUAUAUAUGUAAUGCUGAGAAUGAACAUAUAUAUUAAAUAUGUUCGGUUUAUAAUGUAAAACAUGGUUUUCCCAAGCUCGAGGUUUUACCUUUAAAGUGAGCGCAAUGCGUGGGCUGGGAAGUGAGCCCAUUGCAAGAUUUUUGAAAAAUAAAUUAAUAUUUUAAUAUCCCUCACUUAAAAAUAAAUUCUCUUAUAGCAUGUUGAGACAAAAUAAAUAAAUAAAUAAAUAAUGGUCUAUAGAAAGCAGGUGGGUCAACAAGGACCCUUUGUCUUCGAUGAUCUCACUGGCAUUUAAUUUACUUGUUGCAGAAACUGCCUGUUCCUUACACUCUGCGAGUUUUGCUCAGACUUGACUUUCACAACUCAAAUUUCAGAAUCCAUCUUCUCUGCCGCCUCGUAAUGGCUGAUCCUUCUUUCCAACGGAGCUAUGAUGUGUUCCUGAGCUUUAGAGGAGAAGACACCCGCAAUAGCUUCACUGCCCAUCUCUAUAAGGAGCUACGCACCAAAGGAAUCAACACGUUCAUUGACGAUGACAAGCUUGAGAGGGGUGAUGUCAUUUCUUCUGCGCUUGUUGCGGCUAUUCAAAACUCCAAGUUUUCUCUCGUUGUUUUGUCAGAAAAUUAUGCAUCUUCCGGGUGGUGUUUGGAGGAGCUGGUGAAGAUUCUAGAGUGCAUGAGAACCAUGGGACAGAGGGUUCUCCCCAUUUUCUACGAUGUGGAUCCCUCGCAUGUAAGACAGCACAACGGAAAAUUUGGAGAAGCACUGGCUAAACAUGAAGAAAAUUUGAGAACUAUGGAGAGGGUGCCGAUUUGGAGGGAUGCUCUCACUCAAGUUGCCAAUUUAUCCGGUUGGGAUUCCAGGAAUAAGUAAUUCUCUACAGCUUUCCCAUCAUCAUCUUCAUCCUCAUAUCACUAAUUUCAAUAUAUGCAUCUGUUCAUUAAUUAUCUUGUUUACUUUAAUUUUACCUUUCUCUUUUUGAGUGAUGAACUAAUUUCAUGUUUAUACUUCAAAUUUGGCAGGCAUGAGCCUAUGCUUAUCAAGGGAAUUGCCACUUAUAUUUGGAAUAAAUUGUUUAGUAGAUCCUCAAAUUAUGCUGAUCAGAACCUAGUUGGAAUAGAAUCUAGCAUACGAGAAAUAAAAUCCCUGCUAUUUACCGAGUCUCUAGAUGUUCGCAUGGUGGGGAUUUGGGGCAUGGGCGGCAUAGGUAAAACAACCCUUGCCAGAGCUGUUUAUAACCAAAUCUCUCAUCAAUUUGAAGCUUGCUGCUUUCUUGAAAAUGUCAGUGAUUAUUUGGAAAAGCAAGAUUUCCUUAGCUUGCAAAAGAAAUAUCUUUCUCAACUAUUGGAAGAUGAAAAUCUAAAUACAAAAGGAUGCAUCUCUAUAAAGGCUUUGCUUUGUUCUAAAAAGGUUCUCAUUGUCAUUGAUGAUGUGAACAAUUCAAAAAUAUUAGAAGACUUGAUUGGGAAGCAUGGUUGGUUUGGUAUCGGAAGUAGAAUCAUCAUAACAACAAGAAAUAAGCAGUUGCUAGUUACACAUGGGGUGAAUGAAGUCUAUCAGGCUGAAAAAUUAAAUGAUGAUAAUGCGGUUGAGCUCUUCAGUCGAUAUGCCUUUAAAAAAGCCCAUCCUAUAGAUGAUUAUGUGGAGCUCUCUCAAUGUAUAGUGGUUUAUGCUCAGGGCCUUCCAUUAGCUCUUCGAGUUUUAGGUUCAUUUUUAUUUGAUAAGAGCAAACGGCAAUGGGAAAGUCAGUUGGAUAAACUAAAAAAAAUUCCUAAGAAGGAAAUUCAAGAUGUGCUUCGAGUAAGUUUUGAUGGGUUGGAAGAUAACGAGAGAGAUAUAUUUUUGGACAUCGCAUGUUUCUUUCAAGGGCAUGAUAAAGAUUAUGUAAUGGAAAUAUUCAGAUCUUGUGGUUUCUUCCCUGAUAUUGGAAUAAGAGUUCUCAUUGAGAAGUCUCUUAUAUCUGUUGUUGAGAAUAAAUUGAUGAUGCACAAUUUGUUACAAAAAAUGGGUCGGGAAAUUGUUCGUGAAGCAUCUCCUAAGGAACCUGGAAAACGCAGCAGGUUGUGGAUUCAUGAUGAUGUAAAUCAUGUAUUGACAAAAAAAACGGUAAGAGACAAAUGUAUAAACCCUUUUUUUAUAUAUAUAGGUAAUUAGGUUGGUCUAAAGUGCAACUUAGGAAGUACCAACUUUGUUUAAUUGCGUAGUUUAGUAUGUAUAUAAUUUUACUCACUUAUCCAUUACUCUUUUUUGCUAGGGAACCGAAGAAGUUGAAGGAAUAUCCCUUGACUUGUCCAGUUUGAAAGAGAUAAAUUUCACUAAUGAAGCUUUUGCACCGAUGAAUAGGCUCAGAUUGCUCAAAGUCUAUACAUUGAAUUUUCUCAUGGACUCCAAAAGAGAGAAGUGUAAAGUGCACUUUUCCCGAGGCUUUAAAUUUCACUGCGAAGAACUGAGGCACCUAUAUUGGUAUGAAUACCCUUUGAAAUCACUGCCCAAUGAUUUUAACCUCAAGAAUCUUGUUGACCUCAGCAUGCCUUAUAGCCAAAUAAAACAACUUUGGAAAGGGACCAAGGUAUCGCUAUGAUUUAUCCAUGUUAUUUUAUUUAGAUUGUAUGUACCGUUCAUGAAAAAUCAUCUUCUUAAGCCUUGUUUCUUUCACUGCAGGUUCUUGAAAACUUGAAGUUCAUGAAUCUCAAGCACUCCAAAUUCUUAACGGAAACCCCGGAUUUCUCAAGGGUUACCAACCUUGAACGGUUAGUUUUAAAAGGUUGUAUAUCUUUGUAUAAGGUUCACCCAUCACUUGGAGAUUUGAACAAACUCAAUUUCUUGAGUUUGAAAAAUUGCAAAAUGCUGAAGAGUCUUCCAAGUUGCAUUUGUGAUUUGAAAUGCCUUGAAGUAUUUAUUCUUUCUGGUUGCUCAAAAUUUGAAGAGUUACCUGAGAAUUUUGGGAACUUAGAAAUGUUGAAGGAAUUUUGUGCGGAUGGAACUGCUAUUAGGGUACUUCCCUCCUCUUUUUCUUUAUUGAGAAACCUUGAAAUAUUAUCCUUUGAGAGAUGUAAAGGACCACCACCAUCUACCUCAUGGUGGUUGCCAAGAAGAAGUUCAAAUUUCAGUAAUUUCGUAUUGUCUCCUUUGUCAAGUUUAAGCUCCUUAAAAACUCUAAGCCUAAGUGCCUGCAAUAUAUCAGAUGGAGCAACUCUUGAUAGUCUUGGCUUCUUAUCUUCACUGGAAGAUUUAGAUUUAAGUGAGAACAACUUUGUUACUCUGCCUUCAAAUAUCAGCCGACUUCCUCACUUGAAAAUGCUUGGGUUGGAAAAUUGUAAAAGAUUGCAAGCACUGCCAGAGCUUCCAACAAGCAUACGUAGUAUAAUGGCUCGUAAUUGCACAUCAUUGGAAACAAUCUCAAAUCAAUCAUUUAGCUCCCUACUAAUGACUGUCAGAUUGAAGGAACAUAUCUAUUGCCCAAUAAAUCGGGUGAGAUUUUCCUCCGGUAUAUCAUAAUUCAAUUUCCCACUAAAUAAUGCACAAUUUAAUUUCAUUUGUGGUAGUGUAAAAUAAAUGUCGAAUGAUUUAAGAUGGUAAAGCAGCAAGCAAUUUCUAUCUCUACUAACAUCCUCAUCAUGUUCAUUCUACAGGAUGGACUUUUAGUUCCUGCACUUAGUGCAGUUGUUUUUGGGAGUAGAAUACCAGACUGGAUAAGGUACCAGAGCUCAGGGAGUGAAGUAAAAGCAGAGCUACCUCCAAACUGGUUUGAUUCCAACUUCCUGGGUCUUGCUUUGUGUGUUGUCACUGUUCCCAGGCUGGUGUCACUUGCUGAUUUUUUUGGUCUUUUUUGGAGAUCAUGUACCUUGUUCUAUUCCACAUCCAGUCACGCUUCUUCCUCCUUUGAUGUUUACACUUAUCCAAAUCAUCUUAAGGGAAAGGUGGAGUCAGAUCACUUGUGGCUGGUUUAUGUACCGCUUCCCCACUUCAUCAAUUGGCAGCAAGUCACUCACAUCAAGGCUUCAUUCAGAAUAACCACCUUCAUGCGCCUUAAUGUAAUUAAGGAAUGUGGGAUUGGUCUAGUGUAUGUUAAUGAAGAGUUGAAUUACUCUCCCUUCUCUCCUCCUCCUAAUGAGUCAUCUGUUGUCCUUCAAGAAAUCCAUGGGGAGGGAUCUAGUGGAAGUGGGAGCUCUAAUAUUGAUGGCUCAGAAUCAGAGAACUCCGAUUACUAUUCUGCUGAUGAGGGGGAACCCUCUGCACCCCUGCUGUAAGGAUCACUCUCAAUCAGAGAUGUGGCCAGAGAAACACUUGCAAUGCAGCCAUUAUCAGAGCAUCCCUUGAUGAGGAGGAACUAGCCAGACAAAUGCCUGAUUUGCACCCAAAUCUUUCCAUAACAACUCUUGGUGAGUUGUGUGCUUCCUUUGUUUCUUUUCCUGAAACUGACUUUGAGUUGCUUAGCAAAAUACCUUACUUUCUAGUAUUCUGGAAACAUCAUAACUGUUGGAGUUUUUGGGUUGUGUAUUAGUGGUGUUGCUGACUAGUUUUUGGAGUUUGAUACAUGUUGGGUUGUUGUUACUGGUUUUUGCUUCAAGUUUGCCUUGAUACAUGUUGAGUUGUUUAGCAAACUCUCUUGACAGAUUUUGGUUUUCUUUCGCACAAGGUAUUGUGAUACAUCUCUGUUCAUAUUCCCAUUUUCAUUCUUAUUCUCAUGUACUAAACAUAUACCCUUAAGGGCAUAUGUUCUCUUCCAAUGUUAGAACGAAACAGAUCAUGAUCAUUGUUUUUGGGAUAUGUUCUUUUAUCUGAAUAUGAUAGAGCUAUUACAGUUAAUGGUUACUUCGUAAGAAUUGUAAAUUCUUCCAUUGAUAUUAUACCAUAUUUUGUACUUUCAUCUUGAUGGGUUCUAAGGUAAUCCAUGGCUCAUUUUUCAUUCAUUUUGUUAGUAAUGAUGUAUAAGAUACUCGUAGCCAAUGUUUUGAAAAUCAGACCAGUCGUCCAACCGAUUGAACCGUCAAUCAGCCAUCUCUCUAGUCUGAUUUGCCCUAAGGAACUGUUUUCAUAUUAAGCCAGUGUUGAACUGCUUGAGCCGGUCUGGUUUACCCUAGGGAAUCAUUUUUAUAUUAUACCGAUGUUGAAUUGCUCGAGUCGAUGGUUGGACCAUCUAAUUGGAUGGACUGUCCGGCUUCCUAAGAGUAGUCAAGCCCAAAACCAGGCCAAAUUUGCACUUGUUGUGGAAGCCCAAUAGGCGUCACAACCAAUCACCCAUUAAAAGUCGAAACAGAUUGAGUCCAAAAGGGUUUGAUGAUCAGUCAUUAUGGUCCGACUAGUAAAUCAUAAACUAGUAACUUUUCUAAUUCAAUAAUCGAUUCGGUUUUGAAAAUAUUGCUUAUAACUUAGGUUGUUUCUUCAUUUUCUACCGAGAAUGUUGUCUUAUAAUGCAGGCAAACUAUCACCAAUGGAGAAAACAUAGAGAAAAGAAGAGUUUUAUUUUUCAAUUUGUUUAGCCAAUAAAUACCUUUCUUUAAUUUACUUUUCAAAUAUGAUGACGUUCAGAAAUUAGGAAAACUUGCCCAUGAAAAUAUAAAACUUGGGUCUGCUCUGGAUUAAAGAGAAAUCAGACUUGGCGGUACAUGGAUGUUUGCCCAAAUAUAUGAAAUUAAUUUAAGUGAAAUUAGGGGAAAAGUAUACUAAUACCUGGAUUCUAGCAUAUAGUAAUGGUUAGGCUGGGAACUUGAAAAUAAAUUUUUUGUUCUUUGGAACUGAAAUAAUUUUCAGUUGACAGAUUUUAUUAUUCGAAACAAUUUUAUGGAGAAUUUAUUCUUAAAACAUAAUAUUUUUUAAGAAUAUAUUGAAGGUGUUUUCUUAAAAUAUUAUAAGAAAUAAUUGAAAAUGUAAAGAAUAUUUUAAAUAUUUUUGCAUUAUACAAUAUUUUCAUGAAAAACAAAUCAAGAAAAUUGCUUUUUCAAUACAAUAUUUUUAAGAACUAUUUUUAUUUAUUUUUUAAAUGUUAUCUAAGAAAACCCUAUACCUAAAAAAAGUCGCCAUAAAGCAUAGAAACAAAACGGAGGCAUAAUACCUCCGGAGGCACUGUAGAAUUUUUCAGCAUAAAAAGGUUGUUGUUAUUCUGAUUUGUUAGGUCAGUCUAGGUAACAAAACCUAAGCUAUCCCUUGUAUAUUUCAUGACAUAAGUUUAAGUAAAGAGGUAUAAUUAGCAAAUGAUCAUUCUCUUCCCCUUACUUCCAUCCUCCUCACUGUCCUAAGAAAAAUUUAGCAUCUUCAACCUUGUACUGCGUGUGCUCUCGGGUCCUAUGGCUUUGUAUCUAAUCCCCAUUUGCAAAACGUUCAGUGCGUGAAGCCUAAGGGUCUGAACAAAAAAUCAUGGUAUAAAAUGUGAACCAACCAAAAGGCUUUAUCCAAUUCUUGUGGCCAUGCAAAGCCCUUCUCUUUCUCUGCCCCACUUUCCACCCACACCUCUCACUCCACCCCCCUCACCUCCUCUCUCUCUCUCACCUCCCACUUCUCCAUGGCCACCGCCGCUGCCACCAAGCUCACGCCCCAUCUCCUCUCUCUCUCCUCCCCCCUCCGUCGCCGGAAACCCCUGCUGCACCACCUCCCUCCGCCGCUGCCCCGGAAUGACCGUUCUUCUGCCUUAACACUGGGACUCUCUAGCCGGAGAAUUACUUGCAAGGCGACGGAAGUGUCGGUGGCGGAGGAGUCGUCGGCUGCGGGCGAUGGCGGGAACUGGGUGC